RNAcentral lists this long non-coding RNA (92774 nucleotides) under Populus trichocarpa (black cottonwood). RNAcentral describes it as "long non-coding RNA (PTRI_LNC001060)". Lineage: Eukaryota; Viridiplantae; Streptophyta; Magnoliopsida; Malpighiales; Salicaceae. The record is from RNAcentral.
GACUUGCUCCCCAAGUUAAAAUCUCUUCGUAUCUCUCACUGUCCAGAUCUCGAAUCACUAUGUGCACAUGAAAGACCUCUCAUUGAUCUCAACUCUCUCCAUUCUUUGAUAAUCUGCGGGUGCCUUAAAUUAGUUUCAUUUCCCAAAGGAGGGUUACCUGCUCCAGUCUUGACACAACUUUACUUAUAUGAUUGCAAAAACUUGAAGCAGUUGCCUGAGAGUAUGCCUUCCCUCCUCCCAUCCCUUAACCGUUUGGUAAUACAUGGUUGUUCAGAAGUUGAGUUGUGUCCAGAAGGGGGUUUUCCCUCCACAUUACAAUCACUUGAUAUCUGGAAUUGCAACAAACUCAUUGCUGGCCGCAUGCAAUGGGGCUUGCAAACGCUCCCUUCUCUUUCACACUUUACAAUUGGUGAAGACGAAAAUGUUGAAUCCUUCCCUGAAGAGAUGCUUCUGCCCUCAAGUCUUACAUCUCUUAAAAUCUAUAACCUAAAACACCUGAAAUCUCUUGACUAUAAGGGGCUUCAACACCUCACCUCUCUUAGAGAAUUGACUAUAAGUAACUGCCCUCUGAUUGAGUCAAUGCCAGAAGAAGGGUUGCCCUCCUCCCUUUCUUCUCUUGUAAUUAACGGUUGUCCUAUGCUGGGUGAAAGUUGUGAAAGGGAGAAAGGUAAAGAUUGGCCCUAGAUUUCUCACAUUCCUCAUAUUGAGGUACUUGCCUAAAUAGUUUAUUCUGUUUUCAGUAAUCAAAGGCAAUUUCAGUAAUACAAAUUUGGAUGAAUGAAAUACAGAUAUUGUCCUAGAAAGUUGUAUGUUUUUAUUUGUUGUAUGUUGAAAUACAGAUAUUUUCUUCCUCUUGUAAAUAAUAAUAAUCAUCAUUCUAUUUCAAUAUAUUUUUUGCUAUAAUUAAUGAUACUAUUGUUCCUCCAUCAAAUGCCGGCAAAUAAACAUCACAUGCUUCAGAUUUUGAACUGCCAGCGCCACCCUUAAAAGACAACGGGCCUAGCAGAGCUGAAAAGGACUAAAAAAUAUUUAAGUAAUCUGCAACAGAUUUUUCAUUGUUGAAAAAUUUAAGUUAAUCAAAAUUCUCUCCUUUUCUCUUUCUCUAAUCUAUUCCCCUUCUCCAAAAAUUCAAAAUUUAAGUAAUCAAAAUCAAAAUUCAAGUAAUCAAAAGGAUUGAAAUAAGUAAUUCAGGCAAAUUCAAAAUUUAAGUAAUCAAAAGGAUUAAAAUCUCCAUUCUCUCCUUUUCUCUUUCUCUAAUCUAUUCCCCUUCUCCAAAAAUUCAAAAUCCAAAAACUUUUGAUUUAUCUAUUUUGGAAUAGAUAUAAAAAGAAGAGAUAAUAUAAAAUUCAUCCAGAGAAAGUGGCCAAUGUCACUCAAGAGAAAGGAUUAAAGCACAGACAGUCAUCAGCUUGAGAACUCACAGCAAAGAGUUCAUUGUUUUGCAGUAGAUACGUAGCUAUAUUAACUACACUACUUCCAGCAUGCACAAAUGCGACUUCUUGAUGGUUACGCUGCUAAAGACAUUUACAAAUCCCCAUCAAUACUGGUGUUUAUUCCUCGUGAUGAUCCAGUGAGCUGACAAUAAAAGAAAACCUUGGCAUUACUAGUAAAUCGUCACUGCAAGCAUAAUGCAAGCAUGGAAGAGAUUCAGGUAGGAAUUACCCUUGUCUUCAUUGAGAGGCUUUAACCUCCCUAGCUCCUUCAUCAGCAGGCCCAUUGUUUGAUGCAUCCUCUGAAGCGUCUAAGCAAGGAUUGCUUUUACACUGCCUGACAGGCUGAGCAUUGGUCAAGAGACUAGAAAGUUGAGACCCCCUUUGCGAAAAGUUUGGUUUACCUUUCGGAGUCUCAGACAGGCUUCCCGUUGACAGCUUUGCUAGGCCCAUUGUCUUGUGCUCACACGGGAGCUUAGUUGAAAAAGGUGAUUCAGGUGUAUCAGGAUGCUUCCCAGGAAUAUCCAUCGGUCUAUGAAACAGCAAAUGAGCCACAGUCCGGUCUACGGGAUUGGUCUGUGUUUCCACCUCAGGCAUCUUAACCACCCUGCAGUAUACUCAUAAAAUCCAUGAGGAAAAUGACAGGAAAGUUUGAGAUUGCCAUACUCUAAACAAAUUGAUAAAGACUUGAUUAAUAAUUUUGUGCAAACAAAUUGAAUAAUUUGAAAUGGGAAGGACGAGAUGUAAAGGAACAAACCCAUUGGAACAAGAAACAAUCACAUUGUCGCUUACAACAAAAAAUCGAGUUUCAGAUCAAAAGAGCUUAUGGUUUUGGCUGGAAGUAUCCCAUUUAGACAUAGAUGAGCCGAUUAGAAGAUGAUUUGAGUUCUUAAAUUUUCUUGCUUAAAAUGUAAUGUAACAUGAAUCUGCAGAUGAUCAUUAAAUUUGAAGGGAAAUUUAAUAUUUUUGCCCUGUUUAUCUAAAGUUGUGCAAGUUCUCUGCAUUGAUGAUUUCAGUGAAUUUGUACAGAUCUUGUUUUCCUUCUAUUCGUCCUUGAAUAAACUUAUUGCACUUGUUUAACAUUCUUUGUCUCUCUCUCUUAGUUAAAUCUAGUAAAAUUUAUCAUGUAUGUUGUGCCACUCAUUUAGACUUGGAUGUGUGUGUUUAGCUCUCCUUUUCGGAUUAAGGUGAUUAUGCACAAAUUCACUGGAAUCAACAUUGCAGAAAACUUGCAUAGAUUUUGUUAAUAUUGGAAAAAUUAAAUUUAUUUCUAGAAUGAGAAUGGAAAACAGAAAAUGGUGAUGGCAUUAAAAGAUCCUAAUUUAACAUUUCCAUUGAGCAAAAAUGUUAAAAAAAAAGAGAGAGGAUAGAUUAAAUUUGAAAACAGAAGCAUGAGAAAUGCAUUGCCUUAACCAACCUUCUUUGACUGCUGGUUUUCUCUUUUGCAGCAACUUGUUCGUCCCUGCUACUAUUGUUUGUACUGCCAGUAUCACUAGCAUAAUGCCUUUGCAUUGCACUUUGAGCCAGCCGGAACAAGCUAUCCCGAAUACAAAGUCUAAUUCUGACAUCCAACUGUUGUAAAACAUUGGUUUGGAAUCGUAACCAAGCACAAAUUAUUUAGCAGGGAAUGCAAUAGUACGUGAAGCAUACCUUUGAAAUAAUAUCUUGAAGCCUGUAGAGUACUGUGUCCUCCAUUGAAUAAUCAUUAACCGCCAGAGAGACUGUAUUGGAAUCGUCUUGCUCAAUAGGCGAGUUUGGGUCAAAUGAAGCAAGUGUACUUAGAUCCUCUACUUCAAGGUCAGCUCCUUCAACAUGCUGAAUUUGAUUUUCUUGGGAACACUUUUGAUGAACAAGCUGCUGCUGCUGUUUCUGAAUGGCAAGCAUCGCCUGAAUUUGUUGCCGCCUCCUUAAUUUUUCAAUCUUUUCCUGAGGUGUCAUUCUCUGGGGUUUCACUGGACAGUCAGCUAACUUGUUUAUAGGAUUUGCAUUGCCUGAAGAAACUUCAUAACCAGAAAUUUUAGGUCGAUGAUUAAAUGACUAGAAAUUUUGUUGGAAAGUCAGAAAACUUUAACAGGAUUCACAUUACCUGAAGAAACUUCAUAACCAGAAGCUAAAGGUUGAUGCUUAAAAUCCCCAGACUGAAUGUGGGACAACCCAGGCAUAGAAUAUGGAUUUGUAAUACUCCCGUAUGCAGAAGGGGCCACAAAUGGAAUGGAAAUCUGCUGGUACUGCAACUGCUCGGAACCCUGUAGCUGCUUCUGUUGGCUGAGAAUUGAAGGGGGAGAAGAUUGCAUAAUUUGGGGUGCUAAAUGAUCCUUAAGUUGACAGGCUGGGAUUCCAGAUGAAGUCCAGUUUCCAUAAAAAUCUUGGUAUGAUUUCAGUUCACCUUUUUCUUCCAGUUUUUCCCGACCUUUCAAGAUCUUCUUUUGCCUGUAAGUCUGAUCACAGAACUAUAAACAUAUAAAUAGACAAAUUACUUAGAAUAGAUCAUCGUUUUAACCAUCUAGACCUGCAGGGGAGUGACUAAGGCACAGUUAGUAUUUUAAUUCAGUACAUGGUUUGUAAGGAUAAAUUCAAUGUUAUUUUUUUUUUUUUAACUGUAACUUAUGAUCCAAAGGGCUUCUAUUGUUCAGAAUAUAUUGAGGUAUUAGCUAAUCUAUGCCAAGCAAACAGAAUUUGCAUGUCCAGGAUAACUUAACUGAUGUCUCCUGAAUUUUCACAUGUUAUUCCUUUCUCCUUCCUACAAUGGAUUUACUUCAGGCAAUCGAUAUCAUGGUUAAGUAAUGGAUUUGACAUCCAGGAUAACUUAAUUGAUGCAUUAUUGAAGUCAUGACUAAAUCAUGUAAAUCCAUAUUCACCCAACAUCCAAGUUUAUUCUCAUUCCAAAAAAUAAAACUAAAAAUAAUAGCAAGAAAUAUGAAGAGACGAAGAGGAAUUUAAAUAAUAUAAUUUCUCUUUUCUGUCGCCAUUUUCCAUUCCAGAGAAGUACUCAGGAAGUUUUCACAAGUUCAAGUGUAAGGUAACUUUUACCCUUCCCAGCUCUAAUUAGGUUUCGCUGUCCCUCCAGUCUAAUUUAAGAUCUAACAUGUGGAAACCACACUGUAUUAGUGAAAGGAUUAUAAUAUCAAGAUUUUCCAAUUUCAAUUCACUGAUAUAACUUUUCUUGAAUCCUGGACAAAAGAACUUAGAACAUCAAAAGAUCAUAGCAGGAUUCUAAGAAACAAAGAUUGUAUUUGGUGCUUAUUGAGUCUAAAAGUUAUCCUGGAUGAAAAGGGUAAAAAUCAGUAACAUGUCUGGUUCAGUAUCAAGAUUUUGAAAAUAUCAAAAGGAAGAAAAAAAAAAGGUAACUUAUUCGCUAAUUCAUUUGGAAAAGCACCAUUUUCCUCUGUCAGUUGAGAGUUAGCCGCCGUGUUCUUUCCCACAACAGCCAAAUCUGUCUGCAAAAGCACAAAAAAAAAUUUAAAAAAAAAUGCUAAGCUUCUCUCAGCUCCAGCACUUGAGCAUGGGGCAUUAAUAAGUGAACUCAUUACUGAAAAUUGAGUCGCUAUACCUGCUCCUUCAGUAUAGGCUUGUUUUUACCUUCAUCAUAUUGCACCGCAUCAACUGACCCACAAAUAAAUUUGCAUUUUUCCAUCAGUUCCAAGCUACUUUGUAAGGAAAAGGGAGGGAAGUGCCUUCAAAGAUACCUUCUUCAUAGCUUCUUUAGAUAUGAAUCCACACGACUUUCGUAAUCACCAAUCACUAUGCGCAGCUUCUCUUAUCAUCACAAGUUCCCAAGAAAAAUUAUAUUCUUCCCUCCUCCAGCCCUUUCCCUACAUAUUUCCACCAGCUUCAUAGCAAUGCGGCCCGUGAAAACGACUCCCAAAUUAAAACACUUGAGAAGCUCUAAUAGUUUUCCACAAAGACCUACUUUUCUUAUUAUUUCUUCCUCGUCACAACCACUCACUUUCCCCUAAAUCCCAUACCACAACCACUCCUUAAUCUUCAACUAAAUCGAUAUCUCUUAUCACUUAUGAAAACUCCAUCUAAUUUCCAAAUGAAUCACACCAUUUGAACACUUUGCCAAUUCCUAAUUCCUUCAAAAUUUUCAUCCAUUAAAAAAAAAACUGCAAGUCAUACUUUUUCACUUUAACACAGUUGUCCUUAUAAUCAAUCUUCCAAUAUAACCAUACUCUUGCCUCUAAAUCUGGCACGCAAAGCUUCUACAUAACCUUCCAACGUUACUUCUUGCCUCCCAAACUCCUCAAAGUUCUGGUGCCAAUAUAAUGCUAUUCCAUCAAGGGAGUUUUUCAGAAUCUCCAAUCUUUUCAAGAUCAAAAUGUUGAUUGCAUCUAUACAACCACUUACGGGCAUCUUCCCCAUCAAAGCUGGGAAAGUCACAUAUGGGUUUGUGCAUCCUAAACUGAGAGUGCUCACCUUCACUAGGUAGUCAAGUUAUUGCAACUAAAGAGUUGUUUGUUUGUCUCGGGUAGUAUUAGCCUCCCCUGUGGAAAGUUGUAGUGUUUGAAGAAGGGAUGUUUGUUGAUAAGCUAUUCCACUAAUGAGACCCUUGAGUUCAUUAAACUUAGCUUCAUGGUUGCUUUUUGCGGUCACCAGUUUGUGAUUGUAACUCCAACAUUUUCAUCAUUUGUUCAUAAUCUUAUGCUUGAUCCUUGCUGACAGCUUCAAGGGAGCUCUCCAGCUUUUUGAUGUCUUGAGAUCUAGUGUCAGGAGCCAUAUUCCAAAGCUACAAUGGAGUCUACUAAUCAGAGGAAUCAAUAAACUCGCAGUUGAUGAAUAACAGAAGAAGAGAGAGAAGGACAUAAAUUGGUUAAGCCGAUAUUUUUCAUUCUUCUAUUUUCACGCUGGCAUUCUGUUACCAAUACUAACUGAAAGAGCGGCUAAUAACAACUUCCAUUUAUACCUUCGCAAUGUUUGUUUACCGGAAAUUCAUUCCAAAUUUUUUUAUGUUUGUUUAUUAUUAAAAAAAGUUAAUCAACAAAAAAAUUCUGGUUGUUUAUCGUUAGAAAAUUUCAACAACUUCCAAUUAUCAAGCAAUAGCCAACACGUGCCAGGAGUCUCAGCUAAAUAAUUGAAACACCAAUCUGGCCUUUUGGUGUUGCACGGUGCUGCUGCUUCUUGGCUCUUGAUUUCAUAGAAAUGCUGCUCCCUCAUCCCUGGUGUUACACAGGCAGCUGCUGGCUCCUCUUGUAUCUUUUGGGUUUUGGCUUAGUUUGGUUCCCGCCGUUGUUUGUUCUCCGGUCGUCGAAGCUUGCUGCAAUCAUCCGACUCUGUUCUCAUAGUCAGAUGCUUCCUCGGUUUUCUCCUGGCAUUAAAAUUACAGCUGACCCUCAAAUCUUAUUGCCUCUGGUCAUUUUCUUGAAUGGUGCUUGGUGUUGUCUUCUAGUGUUUGCAGUAUCGUAAUUUGCUGGAGUUUUUGUAGUAUUUGAAUUGUGGGUGAUUGAGCUGCAGAAUUAGAGGGAAUUGAAUCCGUGCUAUGGGUUAUCAUGUGAUAUCAUCAUUCAUCAACAAUUAAUUGAAUGGGUUUCUACAUUAAAUAUUUUUAGUUUCUUAAUCAAUAAUUUGAAGUUUUUAAUUGGACGUGAAAUUAUUCUUAGAGAAUAAUAUAAUUAAACUAAAUCUUGGUUAAUUGAUUGCUAGCAAAGGUGUAAAUUUACAUGGCUUGAAAAUGAAGCUUAUCUUCUACUUAAUUUUAUCAAAUAAUAUAAUUUUGAAAUAAAUUAUUUAUAGAGUAGUUUUGAGUGAUAUAAAUCAAAUAGGAAUUAAAUCAUGUUAAAACAUUUAAUUUUGUUGUCCCUUCAUAUAUUACUAACAGCAACAUUACGUAUCCUAACGCUUUAUAAAUUCCAAACCACUCAUUUGAAACUAACGCUUUGUAUUAUUUUUAUAAAAUAAAAUAAAUCCUAACACUGAUGUGGACUAAAAUGUUUUUCAUAUAAAAUAUGAGGAUAAAAAAACUUUCAUGAACAUUUAUGAAAACCUAUUUUUAUCUAAGUGGGCUAGGAAUCCGUAUGCAUGUAUGAAAAUGAGUUCGGGCUUAGGGUGAUAGAUAUGGGUCAGUAAAAUGAAUUAUAUUUUAAUAAAUUUUAUCUAUAUAUAUUUUCUAAUCCAAGUAAAAUGAAUUAUAUUAUUUGUUUAAAAUAAAGUUAAUCUCAAAUAAAAAUUUUACUUUCUAAAAUAAAAUAUGAAUUAUAUUAUUUUAAAAAUUUGCUUGAGUUACUUUAGGUUUUAUGGCAGCCCAAUAACGAUACUCUUAACAGAAUACUGAGUUAUUGGGCCUAAAAGGCUAAAAGGUCCUGCGUCAGGAUUUAAUUUUCAUGGGUCCUUUGUUAAGAUUUAGGACUAUUGGAUCUUGGGUUUCUAAAUAUAAUAAUUUCUCUAAAAGUAUUAAUAUUAAAUAUAUUAUAAUUUGUGUUCUAAAUAUUAUUAGUUCAAUUGUAAUAAAAAAGAUAAUAUUUAUACUCCAAAUAAUAAUAUUGUUGAUAUUAGAACUUUGAAUUAUAAUAAAAAUCAUAAUAUUCAAAACAUAAAUAAUACUAUUUUUCAUAUUAAUACUUUCAAUUAUAACAAUAAAAAAAAUAUUUAUACCGCAAAUAAUAAUAAUAUUUAAACCGCAAAUAAUAUUGUUUUUAGUAUUAAUACUUUCAAUGAUAAUAAAAAUAAUAAUCUUUGUACUACAAAUAAUAAUAUUUUUGAUAUUAAUGCUUUGAACUACGGUAAAAAUAAAUAUUAAUAUUUUCAAUUAUAAUUAAAAUAAAAAUAUUUGUACUGCAAAUAAUAAUAUUUAUACCACAAAUAAUAAUAUUUUUCAUAUUAAAGAUUUAAACUAUAAUAGAAAUAUUAAUAUUUAUAACACAAAUAAUACUAUUUUUAAUAUUAAUAUCUUCAAUUAUGAUAAAAAUAAUAAUAUUUAAGGCGAGGCUAUUGCCCUCGCACUGGGUCAGGCCCGAGAACCACGUGGUGUUGGUGUUGGUGAUGGCUUGCCCUUGUCCUGGGUGGGAGCCAGGCCCGCGCCCCCAUGUGGGACACAUGGCGCGUGGACUAGCUGCCCUUGUGCUAGGUCAGGCUAGCGCGCCACGUGGCGCUGCGGCCGGCUUGCCCUUCUCACAGGGCUAAUGGGUCCUACAUUUGGACCUAAUUUUCUUAAUUCUUUGUCAAGACCUGAGGCUAUUGGGUUUUAGGUUUCUAAAUAUAAUUAUUUUCCUUAUAAAUAUUAUUAUUUUUAUUAUAGUUGAAAGUAUUAAUAUCAAACAUAUUAUAAUUUGUGUUCUAAAUAUUAUUUGUUCAAUUCUAAUAAAAAUGAUAAUAUUUAUACCCAAAAUAAUAAUAUUGUUGAUAUUAAUACUAUGAAGUAUAAUAUAAAUCAUAAUAUUCAGAACACAAAUAAUACUAUUUUUAAUAUUAAUACUUUCAAUUAUAACAAUAAAAAAAGAUUUAUACAGCAAAUAAUAAUAAUAUUUAAACCGCAAAUAAUAUUGUUUUUAGUAUUAAUACUUUCAAUGAUAAUAAAAAUAAUAAUAUUUAUAGCACAAAUAAUAAUAUUUUUUAUAUUAAUACUUUGAACUACAAUAAAAAUAAAUAUCAAUACUUUUGAUUAUAAUAAAAAUAAAAAUAUCUAUACUGCACAUAAUAAUAUUUUUACUACAAAAUAAUAAUAUUUUUUAUAUUCAUGCUUUAAAAUAUAGUAGAAAUAUUAAAAUUUAUAACACAAAUAAUAGUAUUUUAAUAUUAACAAAUAAUAAUAUUUAUGGUGCUUGGGUUUACCCUUGCACUGGGUCAGACCCUGAACUGAGAGACUUCAACCACCAAUCAAAUUAGAAUAGUAGAAAUAUUCAUGCUUUGAAAUAUAGUAGAAAUGUUAGAAUUUCUGUGCCGUUGCAUUUCAUGCCAGCUAUGUUGUUGACACUGGACUGAGAGACUUCAACCACCAAUCAAAUUAUUCUUAUUGACUUUUUGUGCGGUUUUGCCGUCAAAGUUCAGAAACCUUGGCUAUUAGAAUAGUCAAAGUGUUUAUUUUUGUAUUUUAAACGUGUCGAGACCUGGCGUGUGAGCUGUUCUACUUGUGCGCCCGUGUCAGCACCCAAUGACAAUGGAUCGGGUGUAAGGAUUGAAUGGCAAUGGGUCUGCUUGUAGAUCCAAUUCGCUUUAAUCCUUGCCGGAUCUAAAUAAUUUAUGUUUUAAAUAUUUUUUAUUUUUUAUUUUUAAUAUAAUAAUAUAUGUUAUAAAUAUUAUUAUUUUUUUAUAAUUUAAAAUAUUAAUAUAAAAAUGUUAUUAUUUAUGUUAUAAAUAAUAUUAUUUUUAUUAUAACUCAAAUUAUUAAUAUAAAAAAUAUUAUUAUUUCUGUUAUAAUCAUCCUCAGAAUUUUUAAUAUAAUUAGAUAUGUUAUACAUAUUAUUAUUUUGAUUAUAAUUAAUAAAAAAUUAAUAAAUUAAAAAAAUAUUAAAAAAUAUUAUUUUUUGUAUUAUAAAUUUUUACAAUAUUUUUUAUAAAAAUAAAAAAUAAACCCACCACCACGUAGCAGGCAUCCACCUAGUUGGGUGCAACUGUGCAAUUGCCUUGUAAAAUUGCCUUAUUCAGUAGUAUUUGUAAUUUGGUGUAGAGCUGGUAUCAUUCUUUGAAAUCAUAGUUAUUACGUCAUUGAGUUAACUCGUGUGUUAAUUAUAGGAUCAAUCAUUUUACUUCAUUUUUUUCUUUAAAAAGAACAAAAUUUUCACAAACAGAUAAUCCUAUUGCAUCUUAAACUUCAAGUUUCCAGCAACUAAACAAUAUCUACAUUCAAUUAGAACUUGUGGUACAAUUACCUGACAGCGAAAUAAAAAAGGAGGAGGAGGAACCCCCCUGGAUCUAUUACCGGACAUAAUAAUAAUCAUCAUUCUAUUUCAAUAUCUUUUUUUGCUAUAAUUAAUUUUUAAAGUUGAUUUGAUUAGUAUUGUACUUUUCUCAUUCUAACAUUCAAAUCCUACUAUUGUUCCUCUAUCCUGUUCUGCUGCAAAUAAACAUCACAAGAUCCUUGUCUUCGAUCUAGGAAUUGCUGGUUCUACUAUCUUGUUCUGCUGGAGGAUCAUCACGUGCUUCAGAUUUUGAAUUUAGUAAUAGAAAAUCCAUUGCUAAAAAGGAUUAAAAAAAUAUUAAAUUAUUUAAGUGAUCUGCAACGGAUUUUUCAUUGUUGACGCGGCAACAUCAAAUCUGCAACUGAUUCAAAAAAUAAAUUAAACCCUUAAUUAUAUAAAAUCUCCAUCCUCUCCUUUUCUCUUUUUCUGCAUCUUCAAAAAUUCAAAUUUUUUUCUCCAUCUCUUUCUCUAGUCUAUUCACCGCCUUCAAAAAUUCAAAAUCCAAAAACUUUUUCAUAUUAAGUAUGAAUUUUUUAUAUCAAAAUCUAACUCAAUCAGGUUUCAAGUAUUCAUGAACGACUCCAAACAAUUUUGAUAUCAAGAACAAACCAACAUCAAAUCAGAACAAAUUGUUCAUAACCGAGAAAAGUAAAGCCCAGAACAAAGAAGAAAAUAUAAAAAACCGUUGGUUCCCUGAUGUGCUCCAGUUUCCGGCUUCCAUCAACGGUUUUCUUGUGUUUCACAAAAGAGGUUACUAUCUUGGGUAACGUCCAAAUUCCAUCUAUGGAAUGAUGCAGCCAAAACUUGGCAAAUUCUCGUAAUCGUUGUUCUCUGUAAUCUGUAAAGAAGCUAUCAAUAGCUAUGGCCAUAAACGGUGUAGGAGUUCUAAAUCCUAGCACCCACCCAGCAUUGUUUUGAAGAAGUAUAUCUUCUUUGCCUGUUCUUUACCCUUUUUUAUGUAUGUAAUACGUAUAUACAAGCAUUCAGAUUGCUUUGAUUUUUUUGUUAGGAAAGUAUUAUGUAAACUAGAUUCAUAAUUUCUAAUUUGUAAGAGAAUAUAUGAUCUUAUUUAAAUACAUUAAAAAAUUAAUUUCUUCAUUUCUCUUAAUUUUUAAGAAAAUCUUUCUUCUCUUAUAAUUAUAGUUAUUGUUUUUUUAAAUCUAAAAUCAAUGUCAUGGUUAAAUAGAAUGGUAUGUUGUCCUUAUUUUUAUUAAAUUAAAUUAAAAAAAAAAACUAAAUUUCUUAAAGAAAUUGCUGUUUACCAUGACCAUGAUAAAGUUGUUCUUUAACCAUUAAACCUUUUAAACCUCUAUGAUUUUUUAAUUUACAAAUUGUUUUCAAAUUAAGGAAAUUCUUAAGAAAAUCUAUCAUAUUAUAUAUUUUUUUAAUUUCACCCCUAUAAUUUUUUUAAUCUUUUAAAUUUAAUUUUUAUUAUUUUUAAUUACUAUUUGUUUUUACAGUUUCAUCUUUCUUGGAUUUUUUUUGCCUAUGAAAUUAUAUCCUUAUUUUUUUAUUGUUAUAUUUUUUGUUUUUGCAAGUCAUCCGAGUUUACUUGAUUUUUUUUCUUUUUUAAGCUGAUGUUUUUUUUUUUUUAGUUUUGUUUUGUUAUUUUUACUUUAUAGAGUUAGCUCUAAGUUACCAGAUUUAAAAUUAUUUUUUUAUAGUUUCACCUUUAAUAUUGAAUUAUUUGAUAAUACAGGGGGUACAGUUCUAGGGUUUUUUUAAUUUUUUUAAUUCUCAUUGUUUUAGUUAAUUUAUUGUAGUUGUAUUUUUUAUAUAUAUUUUGAACCAAUUAGUUGUAUCUCAAAUUUUUUAUUAUGUAAUAUUAUUUUUUUAAGUUAAAAAAAUACUUCCUCUCGCAGUGGAGCACGGACAAAUGUUCCAGGGUACAUUUUAUAAGAUAUGAUCCCAGGAUACGAUGUAGAUCUUGUUAAGUAGGUUGUGGAACUUGCAGGUUCAAAUGGUUUGAAGAUUCUGAAGACAUUAUUUAUCCAGAUUUCAAAGAAGAUAACAUAAUGGUUUUGGUGAAUUGUGCUCGAACUCUUUGCAUUUCAGGAUCCUCUACUGGUCGAUACAGGCCUUGACACGUCCUGGAUGACUGGAUGCUGCCGGAUGUGACCUGAACCAUAGCUUGAUGCCACCGACCUUUCUGUGGCUCCUGGCUCCAUGUUCCUUAUUCAAACCAUUCAUAAAGGUAUCUUAAAUAGUGCAGCCUGAGCUUUACCGGUUACGCUUUUUUUUAGGAAGAUUAUUGUUAAAUUAUUAUUUUUUUAAAUAUAUUAAAAUAAUUUUAUAUUUUUUAUAAUUUUUAAUAUUAACACAUUAAAAUUAUCAAAAAUAUUAAAAAAUCAAUAAUUUAAUAUAUUUUCAAAUAAAAUAUAUUUUAAAAAAACAUACAUUACCACUAUUCUCUCAAACAAAUAAUCCUAUUGCAUCUUAAAUUCCAACAAUGAGUACCCCGAUCAAACAAUAUUUACAUUCAAUUAAAACUUAUGGUAUAAAAUUACCUGACAGCGAAAUAAAGAAAAAGGAGGAACCCUGUAUCUAGGAAAUUUCUAUUAGGCCUACAAUCCGAGGCUGUAACUGGAUCUACACUGAAGAAAUUUCGUGGGAAAUGGGUUGGGAGAAAUUUCUGUGCUGAUGCCAGCUAUGUUGUUGACACUGGACAGAGAGACUUCUUCAACCACCAAUCAAAUUUGCUUGUAAUGUGAGGGAGUGUGGGAUACAAUUGGUUGCAGGCAAACACAAGUAAAUUUGUACAGAUCUUGUUUUCUUUCUAUUUGUCCUUGAAUAAACUUAUUGCACUUGUUAUCCCACUUUUUCGACGAUGGGAUCUCUUGGCAAAUAAAGCGAGGACAAACCGAGUAAAAUGUGGGACCUAACUCCAUUUUCCUGGAACACGCAACUCACGCAUACACUAACUCCCGCCCUUUUCCUCGCUGGAUCCUUGAUAUCUUCAAGGGGUGCAAGCGCCUUGUUCGAGGAUUGAGCAUAAAAGACUAAAAGAGUUAAAGAAAUACUAAAAGACAUAAAGUGAAGUUUUUUAUAAUAUUCAUAGCAAUGUUCAUCAGCUAAUUUAUAAUUUAUAAUUUAUAAUUUAUUUAUCUGCUAAUUAUCAAUGAAUGAAAAGUGAUAAAAGAAAAGGAGAAAAGGAGAGAAGAAAUAAAGUGAAGUUUUCUUCCGCAUUAUUAGCACAUCACGUGAAAAGAAAGAUUGGCAUCUACUAAAAGCAAUCCCAAUCAAACCCAUUUUUUCGACGAUGGGAUCUCUUGGCAAAUAAAGCAAAGGACAAACCGAGUCAAAUGGAGUCCACAGCAUAACAAGGGUCGAGAGAGAAAAGGCUUUUGCGAGUUCUGUGUUCUGUAUACUUCUCAAGGGGAAAAAAUAAUGUUUUGUUAGGGAUUUGUUUUUGAUAGAAUUGUUAGAGAUCUUAGCCGAUGCAUCUGGAUUAUAAUUUUUAGCAUUUAUACUAUUUUAUAGCGCUAAUAUCUUAAAAAACUUAUUUUCUAGCUUUUUUUAUGGUAUGAUGAAAUAUUAAAAAAUAUUUUUCAACUCAUUAUCCUUAAUACAAUUAAAUUUCAUAGAAUAGUCUAUUUUUUAGAAAUAUAGUUUACUAUAAGAUUUAUUUGAUAAAAGAAAUUCACUUUGUAACAAUGCACUAGAAACUAAAAAAAAAGAAGCUAAUGAUCAUUUAAAAAUAUAGUAUAUUGGAAUCAUCUUGCUCAAUAGGUGAGUUCGGGAGUUUGGUUGCUUAACAGGUGAGUGAAGGUUAAAUGUACCCAAUUAAAUAAUAUCUAUAUUCAAUUAAAACUUAUGGUAUAAUUACUUGACAGCGAAAUAAAGAAAAGUAGGAACCCUGUAAUAUCUAGGACAUUUCUAUGCUCUUUAAAUUAGGCGUCCAAACUGAGGCUAUAAUGAGCCCUGAAUCUACACGGAAGAAAUUUCAUGGGAAAUGUAAUUUCAGAAGACCAUGACUCAAAUCAGCGGCUGAAAUCCAAUCACUCAAGGGAUGGUGACACGUUGCCUUAUGUGGGAGACAGCUGGUCUCCAGUACGAAGAGAGACAACAAUAUUUUUUUUAUUAAAAGCGAGUGUACGAACUUCCACGUAUUUUAAUUUAUUUUAUUAAUUUUAAAUUUAAUAAUUAUAUAAAUUUUUAGUAAUUCUAAAAAAAUUUAAAUUCAUAACUAUUAAAAUACAAAUAUAAAACUUAAUCAAUUAGGUGACUCCACAAUAGUAUUUUCAUUAAAUAGAGUGUUUAUUUUUCUCAGUGUCUUUGUUCUCGUGACAGCUCAUGAUGAUGGGGGCUUAAAAAAAAUUAAAGAGAUUAUUUUCACUUGUGAUUUAUUUGAUUUAAAUAAGUAUUUAAUUAAAAUUAUAAUUAAAAAUGUUGUUUAAUAAAAAAAUAUUUUAAAAAUAUUUAAUUAAAAUUAUAAUUAAAGAUAUAUUGUAACUAAAAUUACUAUAAAAAAAAAGAUCCUAGUGAAGGUGGAGAGGAUGAGAAUAAUGAUUGGAUAUCUUAAUAAUUGUAAAAAGAAAGUAUCUUUUUAUGGUGAAGUUAUCGGUAAAUGAGAAAAUACUGAGUUUUGUAGCUCAGAAAAAAAACGUCAUUCAACUAAUAAAAUGAUCCAUCUACAUAAAAAAAAAAAAACAUCAUUCCCAGGUGUGGAAGAUAAAAUUAAUCAACAUAAUCUUAUUGGAUUGCAUUUUAUUAUUCAUAUCAAACAAUCAGUAUCCUUAAUAGUGAUUUUUGGAUAUUUUUAUUUUUGCAACUCAACUAUACUUUUUAAUAUAAUAAUUUUUUUACCUAAUUUUUUAUUAUUAUUAUUUCAGUAUCAUUUUGUUAUUUCUAACCGUUUGCAUUUAUGAGGUUAGUCCUGAAUUCAUGAAUUAUCGAUUUUUAAAAUUAAUGUAAGUUGAUUUUUAUUAUUUUUUAUUUUUUUAUUUUUUUAAAUUAAUUUAUUUAAAUUUUAUCAUUUAAUUUUUUUUUUCAAGAUUUCUUUUUAAGAGACUAACCCUUCAUUGACAAGCACUAAUGUACUCUGAAAAACAUAAUCUCAUUGCAUCUGACGCUUUAAAUUCCAACAAGGAGUACCUUCACAACGAAAUAAAGAAAAGUAGGAACCCUGCAUCUGGGAAAUUUUUAUGAGGCUCCAAUCUGAGGCUCUAACGAGCCCUGAAUCUACACACAAGAAAUUUCGUGAGAAAUGGGUUGAUGUCAGAGGGAGAUCAGGAAGCGUACUUUCAGAAGACCAUGACACAAAUCAACGGCUGAAAUCCAAUCACUCAAGGGAUGGUGACAUGUUGCCAUGAGUGGGAAACAGCUGGUCUCCAUCUGAAUGUUUAAAGAUGAUUGGGUAUCUUAGUAAUUGUAAAAACAAUUGAUUUUUUUUUUUGAUGAAGUUGUCGGUGUGGAUGAGAAAAUACUGAGUUUGUAGCUUAGUAAAAACAUGUUGAUGUUACUUUUUAUUAGCUCAUGGUUGGCCCGUAAAUUGUAAUGGGUCCCACAAUCACAAACCUAUGAUUCACAUGUAAUUUAUGUUUUAUAUAUUUUUUUAAAAUUAUUAUUUUUAUAUUUUUAUACCAUUUUCAUUUUAAAAAUUUUAAAUUUAAAAAAUAUUAUUUUAAUAUAUUUUUAAAUAAAAAAUACUUUAAAAAACAAUAAUAUCAAUCAAUGUUUUAUAAAUUCUUUACAAUCGCUUUUACAUUUUUUUAGAUCACAUCUAAGAAUGAGGGACACCACAAUAAAGUCCGUUGUUGCUACAUGAUUAAAGGUAAUUGUCUUGCAUUUACCUUUAAAACUGCUAUCAAGAAUUAAUUAAUUGCGUCAAUUCAAUUCUUUCUAUUGACAUUGAUACCAAACAUGUUAAUUCAUGAUAUAAUUAAGCAAUUCAAUACAAAUUUACUAAUAUAAUUUAUUUCGGCUUAAACCUUUGAAUAUAGCCAAACUCAGAGGUUAUGCAAGUGAAAUACCUUAAUAAUUAAAUUAAAAAAAGAAAACAAAAUAUAAUGUAUAAAAUAUAAUAAUACAAUGUAUAAUUUAUAAUUUAUUUAUUUGCUUUAUCAAUGAAAAGUGAUGGUAGGAGGGAGAGAGAGAGAGGAAAUAAAGUGAAGUCUUCUGCUGCCUGAUCACAUCACGUGAAGAGCUUGGCAUUUAGUGAAGUUUUUCCGAUCAAACCCACUUUUUUCAAAGAUGGAAUUUCUUGGAAAAUAAAUCAAACACAAACCGAGUAAAAUGGAGUCCAGAGCAUAACAAGAGCCGAGAUUGAAACAGGAAAUGCAGGAAAAAGAAGAUGGGCCCUUGUUUUCUCUUUUUAUGGCCGGCGACCGGAUAUAUAAAAGGGAGGAGAUGAAGCUUUCAAAUUAUUUACAAUUUUGCGGUCACUUAUUGUGUCCAUGUCAUUUUGUGUAAUCGCCCAGCUACCGGUACUAUUUUAACACUGUUAAAAGUCUAAAUAAUCAACAUUUCCCCAAUUUAUCUCUAAAAAAAAUUCACUUCAAUUAAUAGCAACUUUUUUUUAUUUCUUAUGUCAAUGUUUACCUCUUUUUGAUAAACUCGUAUGUUUUUGUACCAGAGGUCUCAAAUUAUUCUGUCCAGUUAUUGCUUAUUUAAAUUCAUUAAAAUGUUUUAAAUAACUUUUUUAAAUUUUAAUCCCAGAGUUUACAUACAUAAUACAUGAGUUAUAUACAUUAUGAUUCAAAAUAUUGUUAUAACUAAAUUUAAAAAAAAUACAAAUGAUCAAACCAUUGAUGCUGGUGAUGCUCUCGUCUCCAGAAUGGUCCGCUUGUACUUGGCUGAUGGAGCUGAGGGAAAGCCAUUGGCUGCAGAGUGCGCACUGUGAUUUUCGCGAAAUGAAUUAGGGCAGGGAGCUUUUUAGAAGCAAAUUUUGUUCUCCGUCAUUUUGUAAAUUCUCGCAGCUGCUUGUUAGACGCCAUAAAUAGUCUAAGCUUGUUGUUGAGAUUUUUUAUUUUCUGUAUAUGAAUUUAGAGUUAAUUUCUUGAAUAUUAAGUUUUCUGAUUUUUCUAUAUAAUUAAUUUUUUAAGUUGAUUUGAUUAGUAUUAUUGUACUCUUCUCAUUCUCAAUAAAAAAAAAAAGAAAAAAAAACCAGAAGAGUAUUUUCUUUCUAUUGAAAACAUUUGUGGUUAGAACAAAGUAAUUUUCACUGGAGUGUCGUUUUGGGAUGCAACAUGAACUUUACCUGUCUAAUUUGUACGGCAUGAGAAGAUGUUGCUUUCCAUGGCUUCCCCCUUAAAAAAAUUCCAUCACAUUUGAGAAUUUUGAUAUAAAAAAGAUAUAUCUCUUUUAAAGAAGAGAAGUGAUACCUAAAAUUUAUAAAUGAUCUAAACUCUUAAUUUUUAAUCGAUGUAAAAUGUUAGAGUAUCAUGUUCCUGAAAAAAUCUUUUUAAGUGUAUAAUAUGUUGCAUUGAUAGGUUUGAAUGUUUUUAUUACUGAAAUGCUUUUGAGAAGCGGCGUGCGUGCGGCUCCUUUGCAGGCCAAAAACCGCCCUCUACCUUGUUGUUUGGAGAGGAGCAUUAAGAGCUGGGGGUGGUGGUGGGGGCACAAGUCAGUUUUUUUUUUGUUAUUGUUGUAUUUUUUAAUUUAUAUUAUUAAAAUUAUAUAAAUUUAUUAAACUCAUUCGAAUAAAUAAAAUAUGUGUCUGAAUUGUUUUUUCUUUGAAAAUGCUUAUGUCUCCUUAACUUACUUUAUUUUACAAUAGAAAAAUGUAGGCCGGCUCGCGGGACCUUAUCUAGUAAUACAUAAGACCAGUAUCAUUUUUAGGCUUAAAUUUUGAUUAAAGAGAACAUUAACAUGUUUAGUAGUAGUGCAUACUGUUUAUUUUUGCGUUUCAAAAAUAUUCUUGAAAAAAAUUAAAAUAUAUUUUUUAUUUUUUUGCUUUAAAUUAAUAUUUUUUGUGUUUUCAAAUCAUUUUGAUGUGAUGAUGUCAAAAAUAAUUUUUAAAAAAUAAAAAAAAUAUUAUUUUAAUAUAUUUCCGAGUAAAAAAUACUUUAAAAAUUAACCACAAUCAUUAAAAAAAAAAAAAAAAAAAGAAGAAGCAAGAGCAGCAAGUUGGAAGCGCUUAUCUUGCUCCCAAAUCUUCUACAUAACCUUUCAAUAUAAUGCUAUUCCACCAAGGGAGUUUUUCAGAAUCUCCAAUCUUUUCAGGAUAAAAACAUCGAUUACAUCUAUACAAUCAUUUAUGGGCAUCUUCCCCAUCAAAGCUGGGAAAGUCACAUAUGGGUUUGUGCAUCCUAAACUGAGAGUGUCACAGGCUUAGACGCAAAGGCACGUNNNNNNNNNNNNNNNNNNNNNNNNNNNNNNNNNNNNNNNNNNNNNNNNNNNNNNNNNNNNNNNNNNNNNNNNNNNNNNNNNNNNNNNNNNNNNNNNNNNNGCAGACCAAGAAAGUUACUUGUGGGCAGUUACGAAGCAGUUACGAGGAAGUUGGUUUUCUUUAAAAUGUGCUGUCUAGAGUUAAUGAAUCUGUCAAAGUGCAUUUUUAUUUGUAACUUCCAUUGUAUGUAGGUGUAUUACAUAGGGCCUAAACAUGUGUAACAUGUAGAUCGGAUUGUGCAUAACACACAUACAUUGUUAUUGUGUAUUCCCUUUGUUGAUGGAUAAAUAUAGGUUGAGUUGUUUCCUGUAAAUUGCUUGUGUUGUGUUGAUCAUUAGCUUGUGUUCUUUGUCGCCAAAAUUGGUAAGAGGUGUGGGGAAAACCUCUAGGUGUGUGAAACACUUAGACUCUAGGCAAACACGAGUGGCUUAGAAAGAUGGUUGAGUCUAGUAACGGGACUAGACGCCCGCGCUGGGAUUAAAAUUGUGAUGAAAAUUUUAUCGUGACAGAGAGUGCUCACCUUCACUAGGUAUUAGCCUCCCCUGUGGAAAGUUGUAGUGUUUGAAGAAGGGAUGUUUGUUGAUAAGCUAUUCCCCUAAUGAGACCCUGAGUUCAUUAAACUGUAAUAUGUUGCAUUUAAUAGUUUGGGGCAAAAUUAUAUUAACCCUGAUUAUUUUUUAAGUGUAUAAUAUGUUGCAUUUGGGGCAAAAUUAAUAGUUUUAAAUGCGUUUAUUACUUAAAUGCUAUUGAGAAGCACUUACAGGGUCCUUUGCUGGCCAGAAACUGCCUUCCAUUGUGGUGUUCACGGCAGAGCAUUAGGGGCUGUCUGAUGGUGGGGCACAAGUCCAUUGACGAUUUUCUUCUUCACCUUUUUUUUUUUUUUUCUUCAUCUUCUUUUCUUUCUCCUCUCCUCAAAUACAAAAGUUUCCUUUUAUUUUUUUAAACAAUUUAAUUUUUUUUUUAUUGUUAUUUUUUUUAUCUUUUAUAAAUUUUUUUCUUUAAUUUUUUCUUUAAUUAUUUGAUUUUAUUUAAUUUUUACAUCAAAAUUUAUCCUUAUUCUUUUAAUUACUAUUUUUUUCUAAUUGAAUUUUUUUUUUAAAUUACAUCCAUCAACAUUUGAUUUCCAUUUAUUUUAAUGUCAAAUUCAAUUAAUUUUUUUUAUUACUAUUUGUUUUAUUUUAUAUCAUUUUUUAGUUGCCAUUUUUUUUAAAUUUUAUCUCUCAUUAUUUUGUGAAGAAGAAUUUAACUUCAUUAUUUUUUAGGGUUUAUCUUCUAUGAAAUUUGUCUUAACUCUUGAGCUCAUGACUAAGAUCACGAGUUUCAAAUAUUAACACAGAAUUACUCUCUAUUGUUACUCUCUAUUGUUCCGACCGGAUCGGGUCCGAUCCAAAGCUAAAUGCAUUGAACUGGGUCUGAUCCAGUUAAAAAAAAUUAAUUUUUAUUUUUAUUUUUAAUUGUGUUUUAUUCAAAAAAUUAGAAGGAGAUCGCUUGAUGACGUAACAUUUGCAGAAUUUGAUCGCAAUCUCAAUUUUGUUCCUGAUGUUGUUGCGCGCUUAAGAAAUCAAGAAAACUGUAGUCCUUGUCGGAUGUAUUUCGUACGUGAUGGAAUUGUAGAUAUUUUAAGGAAACAAUAAAAAAUAUUUUAUAUAAGUAUUACUUAUUUCAUGAUAUAAUAUCAAUAGUUAAACUUACAAUAUUUAAAUUAAAAACCAUCAAUAUAUAUAUAUAUAUAAUUAUUUUAUAACCCUAAUUUAAAAAAUAUUAUUUUAACUAAACAAAUUAAAUUAAUUUUUAUUAACAAAAUAAUUUUUUUUCAAACUAAAAGUUACCGCAAUAACAUAAUCACUCUAAACUAUCACUUUCACCACUCAGAAUAUUUGUCAUCUAAAACACUGAGCUGGAGCUAUUGGAGGAAGGAGAGAAAAGAAAUAAAGUCUCCAGCUGAAUGAUCACAUCAUCACGUGAAAAGCUUGGCAUUUUAAAAAAUGGAAUCUCGAGGUAAAUAAAUCAAAGACAAACCGAGUAAAAUGGAGUCCAGAGCUUAACAUGUUACCAGUUACAGAGCCGAGAGAGAAACUUUUUGCGAGUUCUUUACACUAAACUUUUUUGCAAUAUUGUUUUAACGGGUUAGUAUUAAAAAUAAUAUUUUUUUUUUAAAAAUAUUAUUUUAAUAUAUUUAUAAAAAAAUAUUUUAAAAAUCAACCACUAAUACACUAUUAAACACCCCUAAAUAUUUUAUAAAUUCUUCAUAGUAGCUUUUACAUUUCUUUAGAUCUCAUUUGACAAUGCUUUACACCACAAUAAAAAAAAAAUCAUGUUUUAUGUUUUUAUUGGCAAAAUGUAACUGCAACCGCAUUAAAGUUCGCUGUUGCUGCAUUAUUAAAGGUAAAUGUCUUGCAUGGAUUGACUACCAGUCAUAUUUUUUUUCCUUUGUUUUUUUGUAAGUUACUAAAUUUAUAAUGGUAUCAUUUUAAGAGAUUUUUUUUAAAAUACAACUAUAUUAAAAAAAUUUAUAAUUAUUUUUUAUUUCAGCAUAUCAAAAUAAUAUAAAAACAUCCAAAAAUUAUUAUUUUAAAGCAAAAAUAAAAUUAAAAAAUUUCAAAGUUUUUCAAAAGAGUUUCUGAAACGCAAAAAUCCAUAAAACUCAAUUAACAAAAGAAGGUAAAAACUGAUGCACAAAAACUACAUUUCACACUCAAUUUUUUAAUGGCCCCGUAAUAUAAAACACAUUUGGUUUGUUACCAAACAUUCUGUUACGUUUGUUUCACCGUAAACGUAAAAGCCAGCGAGAAACAGACGCAACUUUAAGUCUUAUUUGUUUGCUGAAAGUAGUUUCCUUUUGAAAAAUGGUUUUCUUGGAAAGUGGAUUUCUAAAAAGUGAAUUAUUUUUUGUUUGGUAGUGUAAUGAAAAAUAAAUUGAAAAACAUCUAGUGUUUGGUUAUGUCAUGGAAAAUGAGGUAGAAAAGAUCUUAUUAAUAUUUUUUUUCAAGUUUAUUAAAAUAAUAAAGAAUAAAUCUUACAAAUUAAAAAGGUGAAUGAGAAUGAAAUUGAAAAAAAAUUCUAAUUUCAUAAAUUAUCUCAAAUAAAAUAAAUAACAAUUAAAAUAAUGGAGAUCAAAUUUAAAAGAUAAAAAAUUGAAAGAUGAUGAAAUUAAAAUAAUAGUACUUACAAUUUCAUAAAUUAUUACAAAUAAAAUAAGUAACAACCAAAAAAAUGAGGAUCAAAUUUGAUAGAUAAAAAAUUUCAAUUAAAAAAAUAAUAGGAGAAAAGCAAAUAACAAUCAUAAAAAUAAACACCAAAGUUAAUAUAAAAAUCAAAUUUAAUCAAAUUCUAAGGAGUGAAAUUGAAGAAAAAAAAUUCAAAACAAAAUAUAUAGCAAUCAAAAGUUUAAGGACCAAAUUUGUUAUAAUUAGCAAAUAAUAUGAUGUUUUUAAUUUUUUCACAACUUUUGAAAAGUGUUUUAUGCCCGAAAAAAAGGAAAAAACUUUCCUGGAAACUAAACCAAAUUUUUCUUUGACCAGAAAAUAUUUGUGGUUGAUUAAUUUUUCUAAUAACAUAUAAAUACAAAAAAGUUCAAAAAAUAAUUUUAAAAAAACCACUUUCCACCAAAUAAACAAACAAAGCAUUAAUAAUACUACUUUUUGUAUAGUCUUAAUAGUAGGAACCUCUUAUUUGAACUCUAGGCGUUUAUUUUUUGAAAAGUGAUUUCCGGAAAAUCACUUUUUCAAAUUUUUUUGUGGUUGGUUGCCAUUAGAAAAGUUGAUCAACAGAAAAAACUUUACAGUCAAAAGAAAAUUUGGCUUGAUUUUCAUAAAAGUGUUUUCCUUUUAUUUUGAGCGGAAAACACUUUCCGGAAGUUGUGAAAAAUUUAGAAAUGUCAUAUUAUUUGCUGAUUAUAUCAAAUCUGGUACUCAAACUUGUGAUUGCUAUAUAUAUCUUGUUUUGAAUAUUUAUUUUUCAGUUUCAUCCCUUCCAAUUUAAUUUUUAUUUUAACUUUGAUCCUUAUUUUUAUAAUUGUUAUUUGCUUUUCCUUUAUCAUUUUUUAAUUGAAAAUUUUUAUCUAUCAAAUUUGAUCUUCAUUCUUUUGAUUGUUACUUAUUUUAUUUGAAAUAAUUUAUGAAAUGGUAAUUAUUAUCAUUUUAAUUUCUUCAUUUUUUUUUAAAGAUUUGAUCUCUAUUAUUUAUUUUAUUUGAGAUAAUUUAUGAAAUUAUAUUUUUUUUCAAUUUCAUUCUCAUUUAACUUUUUAAUUUGUAAGAUUAGUUUCUCGUUAUAUUAAUAAAUUUUUAAAAAUAAAACAUUAAUAAGUUCAUUAUCAUUUUCUUUGACAUAACUAAACACUGAAAAAUAUUUUCCAACUUUUUUUUUAUUAUAUUACCAACAUCAAAAAAUAAUUCACUUUAUCAAAAUUUAUUUUUUACUUUUCAUCAAAUAAACUACAUCUCCCACUUUUAUGCAUCACCUGCUGUCUGUUUUUUAUUCUAAGUUUGCAUGUAAAGUGUUUUUAAAAUUUAUAAAAGAAGUUACUGUUUACAUUGCUGUAGCCCUCGAGUAUACAAAGAGAUAUUCCUGGGAAGUAGCUUUAUGCCACUUCCCUUGAAUAUCCAAGAAGAUGCAUAAUUUUUUUAAAAAAAACAUUAAAAAAAAACAUAAUAAUUUACGAUGGAAGUCCUCAUAAUCAAUGCAUAAAAUGUUUUUUUUUUUGUUAAAAAUAAUUUUUAAUAUCAUAUAUUAAAAUAAUUUUAAAAUAUAAAAAAAUUCAAUUUUUUAUUGAAAAACUAAAAGUGCUUCAUAAGAAAGAGCGAAGGCGAUAUUCAUUAUAACUUUACUUCCCCACCUCUCUCGCCUACGUGCAGCAACCACUACUAGAUGUUCAUGGCGUCUUCUUCUUCUUCGUCUAGACCUGGUUGGGAUUACGAUGUAUUUCUAAGUUUUAGAGGUGAAGAUACUCGCAAAAAUUUUACGGAUCAUCUUUUCACUGCUUUACAGAAAGCAAAAGUCCGUACAUUUCGAGAUGACGACGAACUUCGUAUAGGUGAAGAAAUCUCCUUACAACUCCCCAAAGCAAUACAAGAAUCCAAGAUUUCUAUAGUGGUUUUCUCCAAGGGCUAUGCUUCCUCCACUUGGUGUCUUGAUGAACUUGAAAAGAUUCUUGAUUGCAAACACACAACUGGUCAGAUUGUUAUACCUGUUUUCUAUGAUAUUGAUCCUUCUGAUAUUAGAAAACAGACGGGGAGUUUUGCUGAAGCCUUUGAUAAGCAUGAAGAACGUUUUAAGGAAGAAAUGGAGAAGGUCCAUAAGUGGAGAAAAGCUCUCGUGGAGGCUGCAGAUUUAUCUGGGCUGGAUCCUCACAGUAUCGCAAAUGGGUACUUCUUUUCUUUCCCUGUAUCAAUAGCAAAUGCUUAUAACUUUUACUCUUAUUAUGUUUUGUAUUUUAAAUUUGCAUUAAAUUCAAAAGAUUUAUCUUUCAUCGAUGAGUGAUGACUUUUUUUUUCUAUGCGCAGGCAUGAAUCAAAAUUAAUUCAAAAGAUUGUCGAAGUAGUUUCAAGUAAAUUGAAUCCCAGAUUUUUGUCUGACGAUAGGCCGCUGAAGAGGUUGAAGACAACAAUGAUAUCUGGUGGUGGGCUGCUUGACGAUGCUGAGGAGAAGCAGAUAACAAAUACAUUUGUGCGGGAUUGGCUGGCCGAGUAUAAAGACGCUGUCUAUGAGGCCGAAGACUUCUUGGAUGAGAUUGCUUAUGAAGCUGAAGCUCAAACCUUCAUUAACCCACCUGGAAUAAUGGGGUUGAGAGAGAUAGAAGAAAAAUCAAGAGGCCUCCAGGAGAGUCUAGAUUACUUAGUAAAACAAAAGGAUGCCCUUGGUUUGAUCAACCGCACUGGAAAAGAACCAUCAUCAACUAAAAGACCAACAACUUCUCUGGUGGAUGAACGUCGUGUUUAUGGUAGAGAUUAUGACAGGGAAGCAAUACUGAAGUUGCUUGUAUCAGAUGAUGCAAAUGGAGAAAACCCAGGUGUUGUUCGCAUAGUGGGCAUGGGCGGGGUUGGUAAAACCACGCUUGCUCAGCUUGUGUACAAUCACAGCGAAGUACAGAGGUGCUUCAAUCUCAAAGCUUGGGUUUGUGUUUCAGAAGAUUUCAGUGUUUCAAAGUUAACCAAGGUUAUCCUUGAGGAGGUCGGCUCAAAGUCUGAUUCUGGGAGUCUGAAUCAGCUCCAGAUUCAGUUGAAGGAGAGGUUUCGGGAAAAUAAAUUUUUGCUUGUUUUAGAUGAUGUAUGGGAAGAAAAUUAUGCUGAAUGGGACACGUUGCUUACACCCUUGAAAUCUGGAGCACAAGGGAGUAAGAUUCUUGUGACAACACGCAAUGAAAGGGUAGCAUCAGUCAUGUCAACUGUUCAAACUCGUCACCUAAAAGAAUUGACGGAAGACAGCUGCUGGUUCUUGUUUGCCAAACAUGCAUUCGGUGAUGAAAAUCCCAUUGCGCAAGAAGAGUUAAAAAAAAUUGGUAGAGCAAUAACGAAAAAGUGUAAAGGCCUGCCUCUAGCUGCAAAAUCACUCGGAGGUCUGCUAUGCAACGAAAGAGAAGUCGAGGAGUGGCGGGAUAUUUUGGAAAGCAAUCUAUGGGAUUUACCCAAAGACAAUAUCCUCCCAGCUUUGAGAUUAAGUUAUCUUUAUCUCGUGCCACAUCUGAAGCAAUGUUUUGCUUAUUGUGCCAUAUUUCCAAAAGACUAUUCAUUUCGAAAGGAUGAAUUAGUGCUCCUGUGGAUGGCAGAGGGCUUCUUGGUCCGCUCUGCAGUAGAUGAUGAGAUGGAAAAAGCAGGUGCUAAGUGCUUUGAUGAUCUCUUGUCAAGGUCGUUUUUCCAGCAAUCAAGUGCCUCUCGCUCAUCAUUUGUGAUGCACGAUCUCAUGCAUGACUUGGCUACACAUGUGUCCGGUCAAUUUUGCUUCAGCUCCAGUUUGAGGGGAAAUAAUUCUUCCAAGGCCACCAGAAGGACUCGACAUUUAUCACUCGCAGUAGAUACGGAAGACACGGAUGGUGAAGAUACCGAAGAUGGAGAUACGGAAGGUGUUUUUUCAAGCACAAUAUUAGAAAACAUCCGUGAAGCCCAACAUCUACGCACAUUCCGAACUUCUCUAGACAAUCAGAUGUGUCCUCCCGAAUUUGAUAAGAUCUUUCAGUCAACACAUUGUCGCCUACGAGUGAUAUCGUUGUCUAAUUGUGCCGGUGUAGCUAAGAUGCUUUGUUCAAUUAGCAAGUUGAAGCAUUUGCGGUAUUUGGAUCUUUCCUGGUCAGAUUUAGUAACGUUGCCUGAAGAAGUGAGUGCUCUUCUCAAUUUGCAAACGUUGAUCUUGAAAAGGUGCCAACAACUUGCUAGUCUACCUGAUCUUGGAAAUUUGAAGUAUUUACGACAUCUGAAUCUUGAAGCAACAAGAAUAGAAAGGUUGCCUGAAUCUCUGGAAAGGUUAAUCAACUUGCGGUAUCUUAACAUCAAAUACACGCCUUUGAAAGAGAUGCCACAAUAUAUAGGUCAACUGGCAAAGCUCCAAACGUUGACUGACUUUCUCGUGGGAAGACAGAGUGAGACUAGCAUUAAAGAAUUGGGAAAGCUACGACAUCUACGGGGAGAACUUCAUAUUGGGAACCUUCAAAAUGUGGUGGAUGCUCGGGAUGCUGUUGAGGCAAAUUUGAAAGGUAGAGAGCACCUUGAUGAGCUGAGGUUUACAUGGGAUGGUGACACUCAUGACCCGCAACACGUGACAAGCACACUUGAGAAAUUAGAGCCAAAUAGAAAUGUGAAGGAUCUUGAGAUUGAUGGCUAUGGAGGUGUAAGGUUUCCGGAGUGGGUAGGAAAGUCCUCUUUCUCGAAUAUAGUGUCUUUGAGGCUCAGUAGAUGUACAAACUGCACCUUCUUACCACCGCUCGGGCAAUUAGCUUCUUUAGAGCGUCUCUCAAUUGAAGCAUUCGAUAAAGUUGAGAUUGUGGGGUCUGAGUUCUAUGGGAAUUGUACUGCUAUGAAGAAGCCAUUUGAAUCCCUCAAAACAUUACGGUUUGAAGGAAUGCCAGAGUGGCGCGAGUGGAUUUCAGACGAAGGCAGCCGGGAAGGCUUCCCUCUUCUAGAGGAGCUUUUAAUCCAAGAAUGCCCGAACCUUGCAAAGGCCCUACCAUGUCACCACCUUCCACGUGUAACAAGUCUUACAAUUCGUGGAUGUAAGCAGCUCGCGACUCCACUUCCUAGGUUUCCGGAGUGGGUAGGAGAGUCCUAUUUGUCAAAUAUAGUGUCCUUGAAGCUCAUUAGAUGUACAAACAGCACCUCCUUACCACCGCUCGGGCAAUUAGCUUCUUUAGAGCGUCUCUCAAUUGAAGCAUUCGAUAAAGUUGAGAUUGUGGGCUCUGAGUUAUAUGGGAAUUGUACUGCUUUGAAGAAGCCAUUUGAAUCCCUCAAAACAUUAUCUUUUAGAAGGAUGUCAGAGUGGCGCGAGUGGAUUUCAGACGAAGGCAGCCGGGAAGCCUUCCCUCUUCUAGAGGAGCUUUUAAUCGAAGAAUGCCCGAACCUUGCAAAGGCCCUACCUUGUCACCACCUUCCACGUGUAACAAGUCUUACAAUCGGUGGAUGUGAGCAGCUCGCGACUCCACUUCCUAGGUUUCCUGGGUUGCUCUCUCUCAUUGUUUUUGAUUUGCACUCCCUAGAGUCCCUACCCGAGGAAAUUGAUCAAAUGGGUUGUUCACCCUCUGAUUUAGGGAAAAUUAUAAUCCACCGCUGCGCUUCUCUCAAAGGCGUCGCACUGGACUUGCUCCCCAAGUUAAAUUUUCUUCGUAUUCUUGACUGUCCAGAUCUGGAAUCACUAUGUGCAAAUGAAAGACCUCUCAAUGAUCUCACCUCUCUCCAUUCUUUGGAAAUCGAGGGGUGCCCUAAAUUAGUUUCAUUUCCCAAAGGAGGGUUACCUGCUCCAGUCUUGACACAACUUGAUUUAUAUGAUUGCAAAAACUUGAAGCAGUUGCCUGAGAGUAUGCCUUCCCUCCUCCCAUCCCUUAACCGUUUGGGAAUAUAUGGUUGUUCAGAAGUUGAGUUGUGUCCAGAAGGGGUUUUCCCUCCACAUUACAAUUACUUUGGAUUCGUAAUUGCAACAAACUCAUUGCAGGCCGCAUGCAAUGGGGCUUGCUAACGCUCCCUUCUCUUUCACACUUCGAAAUUGGAAUGGACGAAAAUGUUGAAUCCUUCCCUGAAGAGAUGGUGCUGCCCUCAAAUCUUACAUCUCUUAGCAUCUAUGACCUCCAACACCUGAAAUCUCUUGACUACAAGGGGCUUCAACACCUCACCUCCCUUACACGUUUGAGAAUAAGUCGCUGCCCUCGGAUUGAGUCAAUGCCAGAAGAAGGGUUGCCCUCCUCCCUUUCUACUCUUGCAAUUUACAGGUGUCCUAUGCUGGGUGAAAGUUGUGAAAGGGAGAAAGGUAAAGAUUGGCCCAAGAUUUCUCACAUUCCUUACAUAAAUAUUUCCCAAGAUUAAAAGAAGGUUUUCUUUCAAUCGUCCAACAUAUUGAGGUAUUGCUACUAAAUAGUUUAUUUUCCUUUCAGUAAUCAAAGGCAAUUUCAGUUAAAAUUUGGAUGAAUGAAAUACAGAUAUUGUCCAUUUUGUCUGUUUUUAUUUGUUAAAUGUUGAAAUACAGAUAUUUUCUUCCUAUUGUCUCUCAUUCAUCUUCAUAUAUAAUAAUCAUUCUAUUGCAAUAUCUUUUUUGCUAUAAUUAAUGCUACUAUCAAAUGCGGCAAAUGCGGCAAAUAAACAUCACAUGCUUCAGAUUUUGAACUGCCAGCGCCACCCUUAAAAGACAACAGAUUUUUCACAAAAACUGACAAUGGCAAGGGCAGUAAUGGACUCGUUAAUCCAUCGAUGCUUCUCGAGAAGAUGACCAAUCAGAAUGCAAGCACAAAGGAGUGCCACAAACAAGGUAAUUGAAUGGAUUGGGGCUUGAUCAGGUUCCAUACCAUCCUCAAACCGAAAUUCAUCGUAUCAGAAUUGGACCCAACCCUAUAACUAUACAAGGAAAACGAAAACAAAAACAAAAACUGUCAAACAAACUGAAAUCAAUCAAAUUCAAGGUGAUCGAUCACGCAAUUAAUACACAGAGUAACUAGGGUUCCAAAUUACUUCUACAAAAGAAAUUAAUAAAAAAAAUGAAGUGAGAACCUAGAAAGACUCCUUCUCUGAUCUUUUUAGUUUUUACCUUGCAGUUGCAGCCUUGAGAUUCUCUUCAGAUAAAAAGGAAAAGGAAAGCGUUUGGAAUAAUAUAUAUAUAUUUGGUUCGAAGAAAGAGGGAGAGAAAACUUAAAAGCCAAGCAAGAGAAUAUGUUGUCCUUUCUGAGAGAAAGCCAAGUGUGAGGAGUGGAAUGGAGACGACGUCAACGUGUGUGGGCGUGUGUUCGCCUGGAGAGAACGAUUUUAAGUAUAUAUUCCCCCACUUCUGCUGCUGCUGCAUCUGACUAAACGAGAGAUAACCCGGAUUUAUUUGAUUUUGACUUGGAGAGACAGUUUGGCCGUUUGGGGGAUGGAGGGAAUCUUAAUGCAAGCAAAAACCGCGAAACUGCUUCCCUUCCUUUAUUUAUUUAUUCCUUUAUUCAUAUCACGUGAUUUCGAGGGUUCCACACAGGAUAUCACGUGAUUUCAAGGGUGCCGGAAUGUCUUUAAAAAGAUUGUUUUUUAAAAGUAUUUUUAAAAAACAAUAUAUUAAAAAUAAUUAUUUUCAACAUUGAUAAAUUAAAAUGAUAAAAAAAAACAUCAAAAAAUAAUUUUAAAUAAAAAAAUAAACUUUUGUGAAACGUUUUUUUGUACCUUGUCCCUAAACCUCAAUUUUCAUUGCCUAGCAGAGCUGAAAAGGAUUAAAAAAUAUUUAAGUAAUCUGCAACAGAUUUUUCAUUGUUGACGCGGCAAAAUCAAAAUUCAAAAUUUAAGUAAUCAAAAGGAUUAAAAUCUCCAUUCUCUCCUUUUCUCCUUUUCCGCAUCUCCAAAAAUUCAAAAAAUUUUCCCCACCUCUUUCUCUACAAAAAUUCAAAAUCCAAAAACUUUUGAUUUAUCUAUUUUAUUAUUACUUAACUUUGAUUAAAAAACUUUUCUUGAAGUUUACUUUCACCAAAGAUCUUUUAUAGAUAUAAAAAGAAGAGAUAAUAUAAAACAAGUAGAUACGUAGCUAUAUUAACAACAAUACUUCAAGCAUGCACAAAUGCGACUUCUUGAUGGUUACGCUGCUAAAGACAUUUACAAAUCCCCAUCAAUACUGGUGUUUAUUCCUCAUGAUGAUCCAGUGAGCUGACAAUAAAAGAAAACCUCGGCAUUACAAGUAAAUCGAUCGUCACUGCAAGCAUAAUGCAAGCAUGGAAGAGAUUCGGGUAGGAAUUACCCUUGUCUUCAUUGAGAGGCUUUAACCUCCCUAGCUCCUUCAUCAGCAGGCCCAUUGUUUGAUGCAUCCUCUGAAGCGUCUAAGCAAGGAUUGCUUUUACACUAACUUACAGUGUCACGACCCGAAUCCCGGAUCCAUGACCGGCACAUAGACAAGGUUCUCAUCCAAGGUUCCAUACCUAUACGAACCCAAACUUACACACAAACUUAUCCUAACUCAAUCAGAGUUCAACGCAGCAUUAAUAACAAAAUCAACUUCAUAAUAUAAUUGAAUUGUCUUAAUACAAGAGUUCAUAUAAUUCAUAGUUUUGGAGCACUAACUUGACAAAAAAAAAAGGUACAAAUUACAACCAAAAAGCAGGUUUGGAAGGUUCAACAAAAGUAACCUGCUAUCAAGCAAUAAGCCUGAAAAGAAUAAUAAUGAGAGGGUGAGUUCAACAACUCAGUGAGUAGAUAGCGUUCAAAAUACACACACGAGGUAAUACAGUAAUGAGAAAUAUAUAUACAAGUAUGACUCUAGGUUCUUAUAGAAAUGUUUCUCAAAUAGGCCAUAACAAGAAUAUCAUAUGGUAAAACUCGUCAGAAAAUCAAAAUGCAAUGAGCAUGAGGCUCCGUACUGUGGGAUGAUCAGUCCACACAGGUUGGUGACUCCCCCGACCAACUAAGGUUCAGAUACGAUGUGCACAAAGACUAACACUACCCUGUUAGCAUGGGUAUUCUGACUGACAUACCAUAGGUUCAUAAUCAUAAUCAAACAGACAUAUUCAUAUCUCAAAGCUCAACUCAUGACAUCAAUCAAAUGAGGAGCUAUCAAUUCAGAAGUCAAUUCAGAAUAUAUAUACUGGUUCAUAUCAAUAAUUCGGAUUCAACAAUUGAUCAUGCUUAUCAUAACAAGGAUAAUAAUCAACAUAUAUAUUAUCAAGAAGCAUGAUCCAAUUCAUAUUAACAAAUCAAAUAUUUAUAAUAUUUCUCAUGCAUAUGGAAAAUUAUCCACUCACCUGACUAGAAAGCAAACAGAAGUAAAAAUAAGACACCGAAGAAAAUCCUACUGACGUCCCGCCGAUAGAAUAUCAGGAUUAUCUGAAUACAAAGGAGGCAUAUUCAAGAACGACUCGAAAGAAUAUUUAACUUAUUUAAUACACUUAACUAGGUGUAUUCCGUAAUCCUAUAUGUUUUUGAACUAACUAGUCAAUUUUCUCAAAAACCCAAAACUCUAACGGUUUUUCCGAAAUCUAAUCCAUAACAAAACAAAUAAUAAAAUUGGUAAUAAUUUACUAAAUAACCCUCAAUUAUUCAUCAAACCAAUCUGAAAAAGGUAAUAUUACAGCUAGGGACUAAUCUGUAAUUUAUCAUAUUUUUAAGGCCAAAUUGUAAUUUUCGUCUAAUUAGAGGACCAAACUAAACAUAUCAUAAAUUCAUGAAUAUAGUGGAAUUAUGUCCAUAAUUCAUCCUCAUUUCUGUCCAGAUCAUCUCAUUAUACUCCAGGGACCAUUCUGGAAUUUUACCAAAUUUUUAGGGUCAAAUUGUAAUUUUUGUCAAAUUGGAGGACCAAAUUGAAAGUGUUAAAUUCUCUUAUCUAUACAGUAAUUCUGUCCAUAAUUCAUAUGUUAUUCUGUUCAGAAUACCGGAAUAUGCUCCAGGGACCAAUUUGUAAUUUUCCAAAGUUCAGGACUAAACUGUAAUUUUCGCAAAUUGAGGGACCAAAUUGAAUUUUCGUCAUCUUCAACCUCCAAUCCAGAAUUUUAACAGAAACCUACUGUUCUCCCCUGAUUUUUAACUCAAAAUUCACCAUUCAAACAAAAUUAUAACUCAAAAUCAUCACAAUCUUCCAUAAUCAACUAAAUCAUCAAUUAACCACAACAAUCAACCCCUAACAUUCAAUUUAAUUCAUCAGUUAAACUCAAAACACAAAUUUCAUAACCCUAACAUUUAUCAAAACCGAAAUUAAAGCUAAAGAAAACAUAUUAUACACAUUAAAGCAUAAUCUUACCCCUUUUUACUUAUUUCCUCCAACUCCUUUUCUUUUUCCCUUAUUUUCCUCUCUUUUCUCUUCUUCUUCUUUCUCACUUCACUCCUGUGGUUCUCUCUAAAUUUCAGAUUUCUCUCUUUCUUUUUUUUCGUUUUUUUACUUUGAAUUUACACUUUUUCAAGUUUUUAUUGAAAUUACCACUAUACCUCUCAUUUAUUUAUUCUAACUUUUAAACCUUCAAAGGUUUUAUUGUAUUUUUCAUCUCAUUAAUUCAAGACAUUACAUACAGGCUGAGCAUUGGUCAAGAGACUAGAAAGUUGAGACCCCUUUUGCGAAAAGUUUGGUUUACCUUUCGGAGUCUCAGACAGGCUUCCCGUUGACAGCUUUGCUAGGCCCAUUGUCUUGUGCUCACACGGGAGCUUGGUUGAAAAAGGUGAUUCAGGUGUAUUAGGAUGCUUCCCAGGAAUAUCCAUCGGUCUAUGAAACAGCAAAUGAGCCACAGUCCGGUCUACAGGAUUGGUCUCUGUUUCCACCUCAGGCAUCUUAACUACCCUGCAGAAUACUCAUAAAAUCCAUGAGGAAAAUGACAGGAAAGUUUGAGAUUGCCAUACUCUAAACAAAUUGAUAAAGACUUGAUUAAUAAUUUUGUGCAAACAAAUUGAAUAAUUUGAAAUGGGAAGGACGAGAUGUAAAUGAACAAACCCAUUGGAACAAGAAACAAUCACAUUGUCGCUUACAACAAAAAAUCGAGUUUCAGCUCAAAAGAGCUUAUGGUUUUGGCUGGAAGUAUCCCAUUUAGAUAUAGAUGAGCCCCAGUGGCGGAGCCACAGUGGGUCAAAAGAGAGCAAUUGUCCCCUUAUUUUUUUUAAAUAUUAAUAUAUUAGUGAGAGUGAAUUAUUGCUACAGCCUACAGGUAAGGAAAGUUUUUAACUUUUAUUAUUGUUGACUAACUUGACUUAUAUAUACAUAUAUAUAUAUAUAUAUAUAUAUAUAUAUAUAUAUAUAUAUAUAUAAUUACAGCUCCCCAACUUUUCCCCUUUUCCUUUUUGUUUCUCCUGUCUAACAAAACAAGGGUUUUUUUUCAGCUGCCGUUCUUGCCUCUCCUCGUCUCCUGAAUGCAAAUUUCUCAUGGAUUAAUUUUUUUUUGCGUUUUACUUUAUACUUUAUUUUUUCUAUUUAUUUUAUUGUUUAAUUUUAGUUUUAUUCUUUUAUAAUUAGUUAUUAAAAAUAUUAGGGUUUAUGAUAAUUUAGGGGUUUUGUUAUAAAUAUGUUCAAAAUAAAUAUUUAAAUCUGCUAAUUUAAUUAAUUAAAUAUUUAUUUUCUUAUUAUAAAUAAAUAAAUUAAUAUUCAUGCAAAACCACUAUUCUUGACAUCUCUUGCAUUGAUAGAGUAGUUUAUUGAAAUUUAAUAUUUUUACAUGAUUUGUUUGUAAGUAAAAUAUCAAGUAGAAAACAUGUUUUUCAAGCAUUGUCCCUCUUAUACAUACACUAGGCAUUGUUCCUUAAUUAAAUGUCUAGAAAUGAUUAAGUAUAAUUUAAUCAACAUACUUAUUAUAUGCAUAUAAAUAUGAAUUGAAAUAGGUUUUGAUUUUGAUGAAUUGACGUGUAUUUUGCUAUUAAUUUUAUAUGAAAGAUGUAUAAUUAUUGUGUAACUCAACUGACUUUUGUUUAAUAGUGAAUUAUUAUGUAGUUGUGUUAAUUAUUAUGUAGACACUAAUGAUAAAAAAAUCCAGCAGGUUCAUAUUAAAUUAACAUGUUACUAGACAAAUAUUUCAAGCGUAAAUCUAUUGAGGAUGAAGAGUCAAUCAAAGCUUCAAGUCAUGUAACUCAAUCAAGUUCAAAGAAAAGUCAUAUUGAAAUCAACCCCGACACUCUCCUUGUUGACCCUGGCUUAAGAAGACCAAUUUAUAAGUACCAUAUAAAUGAUAGGGAUGCAAUCCGAAGAGCUUAUCUACAAAAAGAUCCUUGUCAACCUUCACACUAUGAUUUUCCAUAUAUGUUUGAAUUGAUUUCUAAUGCAUGUCUAUAUAAUAUAGUAUUUGUUAAUAAUUUGCCUCCUCAUUUAAAAAACUCUGGCUCCGCCACUGAAUUGAGCCGAUUAGAAGAUGAUUUGAGUUCUUAAAUUUUCUUGCUUAAAAUGUAAUGUAACAUGAAUCUGCAGAUGAUCAUUAAAUUAGAAGGGAAAUUUAAUUUUGCCCUGUUUAUCUAAAGUUGUGCAAGUUCUCUGCAUUGAUGAUUUCAGUGAAUCUGUACAGAUCUUGUUUUCCUUCUAUUUGUCCUUGAAUAAACUUAUUGCACUUGUUUAACAUUCUUUGUCUCUCUCUCUUAGUUAAAUCUAGCAAAAUUUAUGAGGUAUGUUGUGCCACUCAUUUAGACUUGGAUGUGCGUGUUUAGCUCUCCUUUUUGGAUUAAGGUGAUUAUGCACAAAUUCAAUGGAAUCAACAUUGCAGAAAACUUGCAUAGAUUUUGUUAAUAUUGGAAAAAUUAAAUUUCCUUUUCUAAUUAAAUGAAAAUCUCUACUAAAUAAUAUGCUAUUUGAAUUGUCACUGCACUCAUGAAUGCUGCACCAGGGUAAAGCUACAAAUGUCAGUUUAAUAUCUGCCUCUACCUAGCUCGGCCUACAAUACCAAAGCUUCUCUCCUACAAAUGCCAGUUUAAUAUCUGCCUCUACCUAGGUUGGCCUACAUACAAUACCAAAGCUUCUCUCAACUAAACAUGAUGACCAGCACUCACAACCAUAACAGAACCAGUGGAAGCCAACUACUACAUAUUUGAUCAACAAGGUCAAAUUCAGUCAAGUUUUUAAGGAAAUCCAGUGAAAGAGGAACCUAAAAUUUUCUGUUUAGAUUUUCUUCUACUGCUAAGAACAAGCGCGGCCUUAAAUUGAAUUGUUUCAGUCACUACUCCUCCAUUGUAAAUAGAGGAUACCGCUUUCAAUAUUUAUUUCUAGAAGGAGAAUGGAAAACAGAAAAUGGCAUUAAAAGAUCCUAAUUUAACAUUUCCAUAGAGCAAAAAUGUUAAAAAAAGAGAGAGGAUAGAUUAAAUUUGAAAACAGAGGCAUGAGAAAUGCAUUGCCUUAACCAACCUUCUUUGACUGCUGGUUUCCUCUUUUGCAGCAACUUGUUCGUCCCUGCUACUAUUGUUUGUACUGCCAGUAUCACUAGCAUAAUGCCUUUGCAUUGCACUUUGAGCCAGCCGGAACAAGCUAUCCCGAAUACAAAGUCUAAUUCUGACAUCCAACUGUUGUAAAACAUUGGUUUGGAAUCGUAACCAAGCACAAAUUAUUUAGCAGGGAAAGAAUGCAAUAGUACGUGAAGCAUACCUUUGAAAUAAUAUCUUGAAGCCUGUAGAGUACUGUGUCCUCCAUUGAAUAAUCAUUAACCGCCAGAGAGACUGUAUUGGAAUCGUCUUGCUCAAUAGGUGAGUUUGGGUCAAAUGAAGCAAGUGUACUUAGAUCCUCUACUUCAAGGUCAGCUCCUUCAACAUGCUGAAUUUGAUUUUCUUGGGAACACUUUUGAUGAACAAGCUGCUGCUGCUGUUUCUGAAUGGCAAGCAUUGCCUGAAUUUGUUGCCGCCUCAAUUUUUCAAUCUUUUCCUGAGGUGUCAUUCUCUGGGGUUUCACUGGACAGUCAGCUAACUUGUUUAUAGGAUUUGCAUUGCCUGAAACUUCAUAACCAGAAAUUUUAGGUCGAUGAUUAAAUGACUAGAAAUUUUGUUGGGAAGUCAGAAAACUUUAACAGGAUUCGCAUUACCUGAAGAAACUUCAUAACCAGAAGCUAAAGGUUGAUGCUUAAAAUCCCCAGACUGAAUGUGGGACAACCCAGGCAUAGAAUAUGGAUUUGUAGUACUCCCGUAUGCAGAAGGGGCCACAAAUGGAUUGGAUAUCUGCUGGUACUGCAACUGCUGGUACAUCUAUAAUCAAAGUAAAAGGCCAAGAUUCAAAAUAUCCAAAAGAAAUAUUACCUACUUAUAUGCCAAAAAUGGCCAAAACUCUGAAUCCUGAAUAUGUGAAUCAAAGGUAUCUCUAACUGAUGCACCAUCAGCAGUCUCCUAUUUUGACUUGUGAUUAAUGACCUAGCAGUUCACUUCAACAACAUCAUUGAAAGGUCCCUAGUGAACAUAAGUUUGAAUUUCAGACCCAGCAAGAAGAAGUUCAUUUUCCAGUAGGCAUGCAUAUCACCUUUUUAUCAAUAUCCAUGGAAGACAAAAACCAAGCAAUAUCAAGUUUUUUUCUGCUGGAUAUCCAAUAAAAAAUACCUCAAAGUGUGAACAUCUUUAAGAAGGAGGAUAUCGCAUUGCACCCCAUCAACUGAUCCACAAAUAAAUUGGCAUUUUUCCAUCAGUUCCAAGCUACUUUGUAAGGAAAAGGGAGGGAAGUGCCUUCAAAGAUACCUUCUUCAUAGCUUCUUUAGAUAUGAAUCCACACGACUUUCGUAAUCACCAAUCACUAUGCGCACCUUCUCUUAUCAUCACAAGUUCCCAAGAAAAAUUAUAUUCUUCCCUCCUCCAGCCCUUUCCCUACAUAUUUCCACCAGCUUCAUAGCAAUGCGGCCCGUGAAAACGACUCCCAAAUUAAAACACUUGAGAAGCUCUAAUAGUUUUCCACAAAGACCUACUUUUCUUAUUAUUUCUUCACUCUAUAUAUGUCAGUGUGCCAUAUUCAAAUACUACUGAUCGAUUCUUCCUCCUCACAACCACUCACUUUCCCCUAAAUCCCAUACCACAACCACUCCUUAAUCUUCAACUAAAUCAAUAUCUCUCAUCACUUAUGAAAACUCCAUCUAAUUUCCAAAUGAAUCACACCAUUUGAACACUUUGCCAAUUCCUAAUUCCUUCAAAAUUUUCAUCCAUUAAAAAAAAAACUGCAAGUCAUACUUUUUCACUUUAACACAGUUCUCCUUAUAAUCAAUCUUCCAAAAUAACCAUACUAUUGCCUCUAAAUCUGGCACGCAAAGCUUCUACAUAACCUUCCAACGUUACUUCUUGCCGCCCAACAAGGGCGGCGGCAUGCAUGGGCUAGGGUAGGCUCUAGUACAGGUCAAGAUUUUAUCAAUAUUUUUGUAUUAGUUUUAUGUAAAGAAAAUAUGAUGCUUUAGUUUGGGUUAAAAUUUCAGAAUUUUUAAAGAAAUUCAGAAAUUUGAUAAAAAAAAUCAUAAUUUGACCAGUUUUACGUUAUUGAGUGUAAUUUUUAAUCUGAUUAUCAGAUUGAGCUAAAAUUUUACGAGGGAUCUUAAAAUAUAUUGAAUAAAAUCUGGUUUAAAUUUUAGAAUGAACAGAGUUUGGUAGUGCUAACAAAAAAAAAACAUCAAAUAAAAGCAAAACGACUCAUUAAAGGUAAAAUUGUUAUUUGCCAUUAAAAAAUAAAACAAAUCAGUUCUUCCUUCCUUUAUAUGUUGCCGACUGGGCAGAAGCAUAAUAGAAAAUGAAAGAAAAGAAAAGGCGAGAGAGAAAGAGAGAAAAAUAAGGGAAAAACAUAAAAAAAAUCCUAGAAAAAAAGAUAAGAAAAGUGAGAAAAUAACCGUGUAAACUUACAAAGUCCAACUUAUAAAAUAUUAAUCUAAGUAAGAAUCAAGUGAAGAAAAGAGGAAUUGAGAGAGAAACAAAAUUUAAUUACUCUAUUUUUAAUUAAUAUAAAAUUAUUAUUUUAUCCCGAUUAAGAGAUUGCUACAAACUCCUCAAAGUACUCAAAGAGGGACAUAAAUUGGUUAAGCCAACAUUUUUCAUUCUUCUAUUUUCACGCUGGCAUUCUGUUACAAAUACUAACUGAAAGAGCGGAUAAAAGAACAACUUCCAAUUAUCAAGCAAUAGCCAACACGUGGCAAGAUUCUCAGCUAAAUAAAAGAAACACCAACAUUUAAACGAUGUGUCUGGGUGGUAAUUGAAACGGUGUGUUUUGUGACACAAUACCCCUACAAUCGUCUAACAGCCAUGCGGUGCAUUUAGUAGGAUUCAAACAUCUUGCAACGGUCACUAGAUUCAAAUGCUCUCCAUCCUCGCCUCCUCCCCUUGAUGAUUCUUUUGACCCUGCAAGUUCUGUGACAAUCUCUCUCUCUCAAUUAAAUCUAGCAAAAUUUAUUCUUUCCAACUUUAUUUGUUUUGACUGAAAAAUAAUCUUUUAUUUUUGUACUUCACAGGCAUGUGGUGGCAAAAGUCGAGCACUAUAUAUAUAUAUAUAUAUUCCUGAAGAUACAUAUGGCUGGUGAUUAGCGGAUGAUGGUGCCAUUAAGACUCUUGGUGUGUACCCUCAUCCUUUCUGCUUAUAGUUGAGUCCAUUUGCAGCUUCAAUGGCUACUAUCAGUUGCUUUGGAACCUGAUAUCACUAGUCUCAUUAUGGUACAGACAAGCUCAGGAUGAUCAAUCCUUGAGAAUCCACAUCCAACCAGAAAUAAACCGAAUUUCGAGCAUAAAUGACUCGAACUCGCUGGAAUGCUUUGGCACCUCCUUCAAUCCUAGUUUGGGAAACAGAAACACUAUCACCAUUAGUUUUCACCGAGGAAGACAGCACCCCCAUUCUCUCCUGCUGUGCUGAUGAUGGGGCAUGAGAGAUAGUCCAAAGGAUUUGCCUCCCUCCUGCCGCAAGCAAUUAGAAUGGUUAUCACCAGACCUAUAAGGAUCAGUUUUUCUUUUCGGACUGAAAAAAACAUGAAGAGAGAAGUCACCAUAUGUGUACCUAGCCGCAGAGACAGCUGUUUCAGUGCUGGGGAAAACUCCAGGCUCUGAUAAAUCUUUGGCAGAUCGUUCUGUGGCGAACGAGGGCGGUGGUAUACUGCAAACUCAAAAGCAAUUUGUGACACAGAUUACUCAAAAUUAUGCCACAAGUGUCAAGGGUGUAAAUCUAUCAUGAAAUCAUCACGUCGUUGUUUUCCACUCGGUAUAAAAAAGAAGUCACACGCCUUAGAGGUUAAAUAAAUUUAUGAAGUUCACCAGCAUAAUUCACACUAAUUCCCCUCUCCAACUUGCACCUCAUCAAUUUUUAUACCUUUACUCUCGAACGAAAAUAAUAAUAUCUAAGUUAUUAAACCCAACUUGAAUUAUAAUUCAAGCAGUGGGUUAACAUAAAUCAAUACAAAGUGAUGUGACUUUUAAGAGUUUUUUGAAAAAACAAAUUAAAAUGAUGUGAAUCUUUUUUAAAUUAAACUGAGUUUUAAUUGAUUAAAUAAGUUGGAUUACACCAGUCAAAUCCUAUCCGAUUUAAUUUAAAAUCCAAUCCAAUCUCUUAACUUACCUUGAGUUGGGUUAACACUAUUAUUGACAGACCAAAUUCUCAAUCUUUAUUUAUUAUAAUCACGAUCCAACUCAUUAAUUUUAAAUGGGCCUACAAAACCUUCAACUUGCCAUAAAAAAUAAAACUUCAUACUCAUACUCAUUAGCGGUUCUGCAUCCUAUUUUAUAAAAGACACUCCAACAUAAUUAAAGUAGUAUUUAAUAUUUUGGUAGUAAUUAUUCUUUAAAGUAUUUUUUAUUUAGAAAUAUAUAUAAAUAAUUUUUAUUUUUUAUUUUUAAAAAUUAAUAUUUAACAUUAUAUAUUAAAACAAUCUAAAAACAUAAUUUUUUUAAAAAACUAUUAUUAUUUUAAAAAAACUGUAUCACCAUACAAACAAAUCCAAAAACACAAUUAUUUUAAAAAAAUUAUAUCACCGUAAAAACAAAUAAUUUUUAAGAGUGACAGUGAGCAACAGAAAUAAACCAUGGCAGAAACUAAAAACACCUUUAAUGAAAAUUGCGCUUCGAUUCACAACGUUUUCAUCCUUGACCAAUGCUCGACAAAGUAGACGAUGGGUCAAAAUAGGGCUAAUAUGCUGUGUAUGUUUGAUAAUGCAGUGAAUAUAAUUUUCUAAAAAUAUUUUUCGAUUAAUAAAAUAUUUCUUAAAGAAAUUUUCAAUAAUUUUGUUAAGAAAUUUGCGUGGACAGACAUUUUAAAGAAUGAUGCUAAAUUUGGUGUUACAUAGGCAGCUGCUGGCUCCUCUUGUAUCUUUUGGGGUUUGGCAUCGUUUGUUUCCUGCCGUUGUCUAUUCUCCGGUCGUCGAAGCUGACUGCAAUCCUCUGACUCUGUUCUCAUAGUCAGAUGCUUCCUCUGUUUUCUCCUGGCAUUAAAAUUACAGCUGACCUUCAAAUCUUAUUGAUGAUAUGCCUUUGGUCAUUUUCAUGAAUGGUGCUUGGUGUUGUCUUCUAGUGUUUGCAGUACUGAAUAUGAAAUGAGCUACGCCUGGUUACUCAAUUCAUUAACCUCCCUACUUUUAAUUAUAUAUAUAUAUAUAUAUAUAUAUAUAUAUAUAUAUAUAUAUUUUCUAAUCCAAGUAAAAUGAAUUAUAUUAUUUUUUAAAAUAAAUUUAAUCUCAAAUAAAAAUUUUACUUUCUAAAAUAAAAUAUGAAUUAUAUUAUUUUAAAAAUUUGCUUGAGUUACAUGAGGUUUUAUGGCAGCCCAGUAACGGACUCUUAGCAGAAUACCAGGCUGUUAGGCCUCCCUUUUCAUCAUUUUGAGCUUUACCGGUUACGCUUUUUUUGAGGAUGAAUAUUCUUAUUUAUUUUAUUUUUUCAACUUAAGGAUGAACAGUAUGUUUAUUAAAGACUGCAUUAACAGCCGGCUGCUAUUUUGAGUUCUGCGGGGCUUUUUGGAAGUGCCUUCCGUUUAGGGAAAAUUUGGAUUUUUUAUUUAAUUUUUUUUUACAUAAUGUUUAAAAUAAUUUUAAAAAAUAAAAAAAUUAUGGUAAUGUAUUUUUACUUACUUUAAAAAUCAUCCACUUGAUUAAUGGGCAUUAGCUGUUUAACACCACAUGGUAAAAACUUCGGGUUCCUUCCCUACGUACCCUUUUCCUCACUGGUUCUACAAUGUCUCUGGGUGGGUCCAUCUGUGCAAGUGCCUUGUAAAAUUGCCUUAUUCAGUAGUAUUUGUAAUUUUGUGUAGAGCUGGUAUCAUUCUUUGAAAUCAUAGUUAUUACGUCAUUGAGUUAACUCGUGUGUUAAUUAUAGGAUCAAUCAUUUUACUUUGUUUUUUUUCUUUAAAAAGAACAAAAUUUCUUGUAUUGACCUCAGUGUAUUUAGAUAAGAUUUUAUCAGUACAGUUGGGUAAUUAAGAAUCUAGUUGAGUCAAAUGGUUUUUGAUCAUAUUAAUGUUUUUUCUAGUUGAAUUUUAAACAUGAUCUAGAUUAGACUCUAGAUUAUGAAUUCCAUGUAUUAACUCACCAUCAAAUUUAACAGCUUUGCUAUAUUUUGGAAUAACAUAUAUAUAAAUAAAAAAAUUAAUAUAUUUUGAAGUAAAAUAUAUUUUUAAAACAUAUUUAAAAAAACAAACAAUAUUUUACUCACAAACAGAUAAUCCUAUUGCAUCUUAAACUCCAAGUUUCCAACAAUGAGUACCCCCAACUAAACAAUAUCUACAUUCAAUUAGAACUUGUGGUAUAGUUACCUGACAGCGAAAUAAAAAAGAAGAAGUAGGAACCCCCCUGGAUCUAGGAAAUUUCUAUUAGACCUGCAAACUGAGGCCGUAACGAGCUUUGGAUCUACACACAGGGAAGAGUAAUUUCAAUAGACCAUGAUCCAAAUCAACGGCUGAAAUCUAAUAACUCAAGGGAUAGUGACACGUUGCCAGGAGUGGAAGACAGCUGGUCUCCAGUACGAAGAGAAACAGCAACGUUUUUGUUGUUUAAAAUGGAGUGUUUGUCUUCAUUGUUUCAUGGGAAAUGGGCUGAUGUCAGAUGGAGAAAUUUCUGUGCCGAUCCACUGGAGAGAGAGACUUCUUCAACCACCAAUCAAAUUAUUCUUAUUGACUUUCUGUGCAGUUUGGCACUUUCCUUCGCUCAUUCUCUCUUUGCACCACAAACACUUGGUAUUUUAAAAAGAGAAACUAAGCACGGUUUUGCUGUCAAAGUUGUUGUUUUCGUAUUUUAAAAGAGUUUUUUUAAAAAAUUAAUUUGUUUUUUAUUUUUUAUCAAUUUUUUAAUUGUCUCCAUAAUAGAAAGAUACCAUCCCCACAAUACAAAACUCUUAAAAAAAAAGAUACCUGUCGUUGUGCUGUUUUAUCGAUAUCACAAGCCACGCGAGUAGCGUGAUUAGAGUGAUUUUGUAUGGGACCCAGUUGUGACAUCAGCUGCUUUUGUGUUUUUUCUUUCAAUCACAGCUUGAUAGUAGGCAUGGCAUGAUUGAUGAUUGAUGGGGGGAGGGGAAAUGGGAGCCACACGAUCCAUUUCAUGGUUGGUUGGUUUUUUUAUUAACGUGGUUUUACUGUCGGUUUGCUUCUAUUUUAACUAAUUUUACAAAUCUAAAAUAUAACUAGUUAACCUGCUGUUGUAUUAUUUUAUUUCACGGUUGUUUCUUGCUUGUGGAAGAUCAUGUCAUAACGGAUCUUACGGGAUCGAUACCUUGCUCGGUGUUGAUUUACUACAAUGGCUGCACGUGAACCCGUCCACCAGAACAAAUCCCAACCAGUGUCCGUCUAUCACACUCAAAUUAAUUUGAGAUUUCUGUUCCAGUGCCUCCAGAGAAGAGUAUAGUUGUUAAUCAUCUUUUAUUUUUGUGUUUUAUAAUUUUUUUAGGGUAAAUUCUCAUAUAACUUAUCAUAAUAUCUAAUCUCUACAAACCGACUGCAUCAUUAAAUUUAAUUUUCUUGAAAUAUUUUUUAUGAACAAGCUCCCAUUGCUGUUUCUGAUGACAAGCAUUGCUUAAUUUGUUAUUGCCUCCUUGAUUUUAAAUAUAUAUUUAAAAAUUAUAAAUCAUUUACAUAUAUAAAUUUGGAUACCGAGGUUAAUCAUGUUGGAUAAUAUCACUUCCACCUCCAUAUCCAAACAAGUAAGGUUUUUUUUAUCCAUCAUUAUGGAACAAAAAUCCCUCCAUAUUCACUUUUAUUCAGGUAAAUGGAUGUGAACGGGUUCAAUUGUCAUUUCUAAAAUUAAUUAAGCCCAAGUUAUCGAUAAAUGUAUUAGGAAAUCAAGUUUUUAUUAUUUAUUAUGAUUUUUAAUAUAUUUAUAUAGUAAAAUCCCUCGUAUAUAUAUUGAAUGCUCUUUCUCCAUCAAAGCUAAUGGAAAUGUGUAUAAAUUAUCAUUUUCUCCCCCAUUUAAGUUUUUGACAAUCAAUCGAUGGUUUGAUAGCAUUUAAUAUAUAGAUCACUGACCUGCUGGUGAGCAUUACCAAGCAUGUUCUGCAGCCGAAGCUAGAAAGACUACCUGCUGAGCAGAAGCAACAACUGGUGGAUAAGUAUAAGAUGGAAGACAAACAGGUAUUAUAUAGCUCUGAGGUGUGAUGGCAAAGAUUGAAUAACAUUAUAAAGGGGACAUACUCUUGCUUUCAGCAUCCUCGUGUGGAUUUAACUAGCACUCAUCUCAUUUCACAUUCACAGGCCUCCCUGUUCCCAGAAAUUAGCUCAAUGCUCCUUUUAGUUCCUCAAGAUUUAAUUUUGGUGGAAUCUAAUUAAUAACAGAUAAAAGCAACAUUCAUAAGCAGAUUGUUUCAGAGCUCUUAACUGCAAGUUCAGGGGAAAUGCAUUUAAGCCUGGAACGGUGCGGGGCCUGUAUCUACGUUUAUGCCUAAGAAUAGUUUCUCUUAAGUUAUGAUUAGAAGUAUAAAUUUGAAGUCACAAGCUAGCAGUGAUGGUGAAUUGUGUUUGAACUCUUUGCAUUUCAUCAUCCUCUACUGCCAUGACACGUCCUAGAUGACUGGAUGCUGUGGAUGUGACCUGGACCAUAGCCAUGACAGUCUCCUUUCCUACCCUUUUCCUCGCUGGUUCCUUGACAUCUUCGGGUGGGUGCAGGUGCCUUGUUAAAUUGUCUGAGUCAUUAUCGGUAAUUUUGUGCAGAACUGUUAUUAUUCUUUGAAAUCAGACCGGGUUCGAGGAUCGAGUAUAAAAGAAUUUGGAAUCAUUUUAUUAAAAUGAUUUUUUUAAAAACAAAUUCCUUAGUAUUUAUUUAAUCAAGUUUAAAUCAGAUUUUUAUCUGGUCAAAUAAAUCAUUAAAAAUUCAAUUGAGAUAAUAAGAUUUUAUCAUAUCACCAUUUUUUCUAAUUCAAUUUUAAACUUGGUUUAUAUCAAUAUUUGGAGGAUGUGCUCUCCAUAUGAAAUCAGUAUGCAGGAAAGAGUUUAAAAACUAUACUAUAUAUAGAAAAAAUAUUUUGAAAUAAAAUGAUAUAUAUAUAAAACCCUCAAGGUCUAGGGUCCACCGGUGAAAGCAUGAAGUGAAGGGUUCUUCUGCAUUAUUAGCACAAGUGAAAAGAAAGAUUAUAUUGGGCAUAUAAUAAAGUUAUUCCAACCAAACCCUCUUUUUCGACCGAUGGGGUCUCUUGGCAAAUAAAUCAAGGACAGACCGAUGGGGUCUCUUGGCAAAUAAAUUAUAAUUAAUUUUUUUUUGGAGUGAUUUUUUAUCUUUUGAUUAUGUAAAAUUUAGUAUUUUGUUUUUCCUUUAGCUUCUGCAAUUUGAUAUUUACGUUCAAUUUCUAUAAUUUGUGUUGUGUUUUGGAGUAAUCAUAUAAUUUCGAGAAUAUAUUUAUUUAGUUUCUGCGAUAUCUAUUCACUUUCUGUAAUUUGAUACUUUAUUUUUCGUUGCUUUUGCUUUCUGUUUUUUUAUUUGUUAAUUAUGGCUACCGAAAUAGAUGAUUCGUUUCAGUCUGUGAGAGGUUGGAUGAAAAUAAUUAUUCGUACUAGUAAUGAGAAAUUUCUUUAAGGGUAAGAAGAUGUGGGUGUAUGUUAGUGGAACUUAUAUGAUACCCAAGAAUACCGAGAAAAGUGAUGUUAUUUUGAUAGAUAUAUGGGAAGCAAAUAAUACAAAGAUUAUUAUUUGAAUCAACAAUUCUGCCGAGCAUUCUAUAGGUAUAUAGUUGGCGAAGUAUGAGACAACAAAGAAGAUUUAAAAUCAUCUGCAAAGAUUAUUCAUGCAAUCAAAUUUUAUAAAGCAAUAUAAUACCCCCAAAAGUCAUGGUAGUAAUGAAUAUUUGAUUUUUUUUUAAUGAAAACUAGAGAACUAUAUUAGAAGAAAAAAACCUGCUAUUUAGGAUUAAUUAAUUGCUUUAAUUCAAUUCUUUCUAUUGACAUUGAUACCAAACAUGUUAAUUCAUAAUAUAAUCAAGUAAUUCAAUUCAAAUUUACUAAUACAAUUCAACUCCACUUAAGCCUUUGAAUAUAGCCAAAUGCAAAGGUUAUUAAAGUGAAGGAUCUUAAUAAUUUUUAUGCUUUGCAACCCUAGGAGCCACACAAAAUAUAAUGUGUUUAGACCAUAUUUAUUUGCUGAAAAGUAAUUUCUUUUUAUAAAGAGAUUUUAUCAUAAGUGAAUUAUUUUUUUAUAUUUGAUAAUACCAUGAAAAAUAAGUUGGAAAAUAUCUUUUAAUAUUUAAUUAUGUCAUGAAAGAUGAGGUGAAAAAUAAUUUUUUUAUUUUUUAUUUUUUUUCAAGUUUAUUAAAAGAAUGAGAAACAAGUCUUACAUAUAAAAAUAUUAAAGGAGGAUGAAAUUGGAAAAAAAAUUUAUUUUCAUAAACUAUUUCAAAUAAAAUAAAUAACAAUAAAAAGAAUUAGGACCAAAUCUGAUAAAUAAAAAAAUUUAAUUAAAAAAAGAUAAGAUAAAAGAAAAUAAAAAUAAAAAUAAAAAGAAUGAGAAUCAAAGUUGAUAUAAAAAUAAGAUUAAAUCAAAUUAUACGGGAUAGAAUUGAAAAAAAAACAUUCAAAACAAAAUGUAUAGCAAUCAAAAGAUUAAGGACUAAAUUGGAUACAAUCAAUAAAUAACAAGAUAUUUUUAAAUUUUUUACAAUUUCUAGAAAAAUUUUUCAGUCCAAAAUAAAUAUAAAAUAAUUUUCUAGAAAUCAAAUCAAAUUUAAUAUUUUUUAUUUUUAAAAAAUGAUUUUUAAUAUAAAAUAUCAAAAUAAUUAUAUGUAAAGUAAUAUAAAUAAUGUUUUUUUCAUUUUAAAAUAUUAAUAUAUUAAAAUAAUAUGAUAACAUAAAAAAAAUAUUAAAUUAAAAUAAAAAAAAUAAUUUUAAUAUUUUUAAAAUACGUUCAAAAAGAAAUUCCAAACACUAGCAAUAUGGGUGCUUCAUAAGAAAGAUCGAAGGUGACAUUCAUUAUAACUCUACUGCCCCACAUCUCUCUCCUACCUGCAGCAACCACUAAUAGAAUGUUCAUGGCGUCUUCUUCUUCUUCUUUGCCUAGACCUGGUUGGGUUUACGAUGUAUUUCUAAGUUUUAGAGGUGAAGAUACUCGCAAAAAUUUUACGGAUCAUCUUUACACUGCUUUACUCCAAGCAGGAAUCCAUACAUUUCGAGACGACGAAAAACUUCGUAGAGGUGAAGAAAUCUCCUUCCAACUCUCCAAAGCAAUACAAGAAUCCAAGAUUUCUAUAGUGGUUUUCUCUGAGGGCUAUGCUUCCUCCACUUGGUGUCUUGGUGAACUUCAAAAGAUUCUUGAUUGCAGACACACAACUGGGCAGAUUGUUCUACCUGUUUUCUAUGAUAUCGAUCCUUCUGAUAUUAGAAAGCAGACGGGGAGUCUUGCUGAAGCCUUUGGUAAACAUGAAGAAAGUUUUAAGGAAGAAAUGGAGAAGGUCCAAAAGUGGAGAAAAGCUCUUUUGGAGGCUGCAAAUUUAUCUGGGUUGGAUCGUCGCAGUAUCGCAAAUGGGUGCUUCUUUUCUUUCCCUAUAUCGAUAGCAAAUGCUUAUAACUUUUACUCUUAUUACAUUUUGCAUUUUAAAUUUGCAUUAAAUUCAAAAUAUUAUCUUUCAUCGAUGAGUGAUGACUUUCUUUUUCUAUGCACAGGCAUGAGUCAAAAUUAAUUCAAAAGAUUGUCGAAGACGUUUCAAGUAUUUUGAAUCCCAGAAACAUAAACGAUAGGUUGCUGAAGAGGUUGAAGACAACAAUGAUAUCUGGCAAUGGGCUGCUUGACGAUGCUGAGGAGAAGCAGAUAACAAAUAAAGCUGUGCGGGAUUGGCUGGCCGAGUAUAAAGACGCUGUCUAUGAAGCCGACGACUUCUUGGAUGAGAUUGCUUAUGAAGCUCUACGGCAGGAGUUGGAAGCUGAAGCACAAACCUUCAGAGAUCAGACGCAGAAGCUUCUUUCUUUCAUUAACCCACUUGAAAUAAUGGGGUUGAGGGAGAUAGAAGAAAAAUCAAGAGGCCUCCAGGAGAGUCUAGAUGACUUAGUAAAACAAAAGGAUGCCCUUGGUUUGAUCAACCGCACUGGUAAAGAACCAUCAUCGCAUAGAACACCAACAACUUCUCACGUGGAUGAAUCUGGUGUUUAUGGUAGAGAUGAUGACAGGGAAGCAAUACUGAAGUUGCUUCUAUCAGAGGAUGCAAAUAGAGAAAGCCCGGGUGUCGUCUCCAUAAGGGGAAUGGGCGGGGUUGGUAAAACCACGCUUGCUCAGCAUGUAUACAAUCGCAGCGAAUUACAAGAGUGGUUCGGUCUCAAAGCCUGGGUUUAUGUUUCAGAAGAUUUUAGUGUUUUGAAGUUAACCAAGAUGAUCCUUGAGGAGGUCGGUUCAAAGCCUGAUUCUGAUAGUCUGAAUAUUCUCCAGCUUCAGUUGAAGAAGAGAUUGCAGGGAAAGAGAUUUUUGCUUGUUCUAGAUGACGUUUGGAAUGAAGAUUAUGCUGAGUGGGACAAGUUGCUUACCCCCCUGAAGUACGGAGCACAAGGGAGUAAGAUUCUUGUCACAACACGCAAUGAAAGUGUAGCAUCAGUCAUGCAAACUGUCCCAACUCAUCAUCUAAAAGAAUUGACGGAAGACAGCUGCUGGUCCUUGUUUGCCAAACAUGCAUUUCGUGGUGAAAAUCCCACUGCUCAUGAAGAGUUGCUAGAAAUUGGUAGAGCAAUAGCGAGAAAGUGUAAAGGCCUUCCUCUAGCUGCAGUAACACUCGGAGGUCUGCUACGCACCAAAAGAGAUGUAGAGGAGUGGGAGAAGAUAUUGGAAAGCAAUCUAUGGGAUUUACCCAAAGACAAUAUCCUCCCAGCUUUGAGAUUAAGUUAUCUUUAUCUCCUGCCACAUCUGAAGCAAUGUUUUGCUUAUUGUGCUAUAUUUUCAAAAGACUAUUCAUUUCGAAAGGAUGAAUUAGUGCUCCUGUGGAUGGCAGAGGGCUUCUUAGUCCACUCUGUAGACGAUGAGAUGGAAAGAGCAGGUGCUGAGUGCUUUGAUGAUCUCUUGUCAAGGUCGUUUUUCCAGCAAUCAAGCUCAUCAUUUGUGAUGCACGAUCUCAUGCAUGACUUGGCUACCCAUGUGUCCGGUCAAUUUUGCUUCAGCUCCAGGUUGGGGGAAAAUAAUUCUUCCAAGGCCACCAGAAGGACUCGACAUUUAUCACUCGUAGAUACGAGAGGCGGUUUUUCAAGUACAAAAUUAGAAAACAUCCGUCAAGCCCAACUUCUACGCACAUUCCAAACUUUUGUACGCUAUUGGGGUCGUUCUCCUGAUUUUUAUAAUGAGAUCUUUCAUAUAUUGUCAACACUUGGGCGCCUACGUGUGCUAUCCUUGUCUAACUGUGCCGGUGCAGCUAAGAUGCUUUGUUCAACUAGCAAGUUGAAGCAUUUGCGGUAUUUGGAUCUCUCUCAGUCAGAUUUAGUAAUGUUGCCUGAAGAAGUGAGUGCUCUUCUCAAUUUGCAAACGUUGAUCUUGGAAGAUUGCCUCCAACUUGCUAGUCUACCUGAUCUUGGAAAUUUGAAGCACUUACGACAUCUGAAUCUUGAAGGAACAGGAAUCGAAAGGUUGCCUGAAUCUCUGGAAAGGUUAAUCAACUUGCGGUAUCUUAACAUCUCAGGCACGCCUUUGAAAGAGAUGCUACCACAUGUGGGUCAACUGACAAAGCUCCAAACGUUGACUUUCUUUCUCGUGGGAGGACAGAGUGAGACUAGCAUUAAAGAAUUGGGAAAGCUACAACAUCUACGGGGACAACUUCAUAUUAGGAACCUUCAAAACGUGGUGGAUGCUCGGGAUGCUGCUGAGGCAAAUUUGAAAGGUAAAAAGCACCUUGAUAAGCUGAGGUUUACAUGGGAUGGUGACACUCAUGACCCGCAACACGUAACAAGCACACUUGAGAAAUUAGAGCCAAAUAGAAAUGUGAAGGAUCUUCAGAUUGAUGGUUAUGGAGGUGUAAGAUUUCCGGAGUGGGUAGGAGAGUCCUCUUUCUCAAAUAUAGUGUCCUUGGUGCUCAUUAGCUGUAGAAACUGCACCUCCUUACCACCGCUCGGGCAAUUAGCUUCUUUAGAGAAACUCUUAAUUGAAGCAUUCGAUAAAGUUGUAACUGUGGGCUCUGAGUUUUAUGGGAAUUGUACUGCUAUGAAGAAGCCAUUUGAAUCCCUCAAAAGAUUAUUUUUUUUAGAUAUGCGAGAGUGGUGCGAGUGGAUUUCAGACGAAGGCAGCCGGGAAGCCUUCCCUCUUCUUGAUGAGCUUUACAUAGGAAAUUGCCCCAACCUUACAAAAGCCCUACCCAGUCACCACCUUCCACGUGUAACAAGACUUACAAUUAGUGGAUGUGAGCAGCUUCCUAGGUUUCCUAGGUUGCAGUCUCUCUCUGUUUCUGGAUUCCACUCCCUAGAGUCGCUCCCCGAGGAAAUUGAGCAAAUGGGUUGGUCACCCUCUGAUUUAGGGGAAAUUACAAUCAAGGGCUGGGCUGCUCUCAAAUGCGUCGCACUGGACUUGUUCCCCAAGUUAAAUUCUCUUUCUAUCUAUAACUGUCCAGAUCUCGAAUUACUAUGUGCACAUGAAAGACCUCUCAAUGAUCUCACCUCUCUACAUUCUUUGAUAAUCCGGGAGUGCCCUAAAUUAGUUUCAUUUCCCAAAGGAGGAUUACCUGCUCCAGUCUUGACACGACUUAAGUUACGGUAUUGCAGAAAGUUAAAGCAGUUGCCUGAGUGCAUGCAUUCCCUCCUCCCAUCCCUUUCGCAUUUGGAAAUAAGAGAUUGUUUAGAACUUGAGUUGUGUCCAGAAGGGGGUUUUCCUUCCAAAUUACAAUCACUUGAGAUUUGGAAAUGUAACAAACUCAUUGCAGGCCUCAUGCAAUGGGGCUUGCAAACGCUCCCUUCUCUCUCACGUUUUACAAUUGGUGGCCACGAAAAUGUUGAAUCCUUCCCUGAAGAGAUGCUUCUGCCCUCAAGUCUUACAUCUCUUCACAUCUAUGACCUAGAACACGUGAAAUCUCUUGACUACAAGGGGCUUCAACACCUCACCUCUCUUACAGAAUUGGUGAUUUCUAGCUGCCCUCUGAUUGAGUCAAUGCCAGAAGAAGGGUUGCCCUCCUCCCUUUUUUCUCUUGAAAUUAAAUAUUGUCCCAUGCUGAGUGAAAGUUGUGAAAGGGAGAAAGGUAAAGAUUGGCCCAAGAUUUCUCACAUUCCUCGCAUAGUUAUUUUCCCAACAUCAGCGGAGCAAAAAAGUAGCAGUUAAAAGGAGCUUUUCUUUCAAUCGUCCAACAUAUUGAGGUAUUGCUACUAAAGAGUUUAUUUUCUUUUCAGUAAUCAAAGGCAAUUUCAGUUAAAAUUUGUCAUGUUCCACUAUUAAUUCUAUGCUUAUUUUUGGCAGGAUCCAAAUCCAUCUUUCUACUUACAGUUCAUGAAGGCUCUGUCACCCUUCCUUCUUGCCAGAACGAUAUGCACAGGAUAAAAUUGAUCUGCUUGCUCCCUCAGCUAUGACUCAUUGUGAGCUUUUCCAUUUGAUGUUCUUUCUCAGUUACUCUGUAUUUCUCCACCAUUAUUAAUUCUUUGCAUUUUCAUGUCAGUAUUACCAAUUGCCCAUUUUCACUAAACAAGAUUGUUUUUCAAAUAUCAUUACGUAGCUAUUUGUGUAUUUUACAUAUCCUUUUCAUGCUCUUGGUCUAAAUCCUCUAUUGUUUCUUUGCAGCAUUCUGAUCCAAAUUUUCCUCUACAAGCAUGGGCGGCUCAUAAGUUUGGAUGAAUGAAAUACAGAUACUGUCCAUGUUGUAUGUUUUUAUUUGUUGGAUGUUGAUAUACAAAUUUUCUUCCCAUUGUCUCUCAUACAUCUUCUUUCUCAUUUUAAAAUGUUUAAUGAGUUCUUUAAAAUAACUAAUUUAUAAUUUUAUUAUUGACCAUGCUUUAUUGUAGGUCAAGUUAAGUUUUUCUUAAAAAUAAAAAAUUAUUUAAAUUGUGAAUGUUUUAAUUUUUUCUGGUAAAAAAAAUUUAAAUCGUGUGGUGAUAUAUUUGGUGUGAGUUGAUUCAAUUUGCAGUUUAAAAAACAACCUAGAUAACCAAUAAAAAUAUAAUUUAACUUAUAAAAAAUUUCAAGAUUACAUAUAUUUUUUUAAUAUUAAGAUAACAACAAAUUAAAUUGAUUUGGGUCAACUCAAGUUAACUUGUUAAAUUCAUAACUUGAAUUAUGAGACUAUGAUAACUAUGUAGAAAAUAAAUUAUUAAGUCUAAUUUUCAACCAACCAAAUAUUAAAAGAUAAAAUUAAAAUAAAUAAAUAAGCCAUUUGGAGAUUGACCUGAUGCGACUUAAUUGAUUUAGCUUGUUUGAAAGCAACCCUGACAACCAGUAAAAAUAUAGUCUGACUUAGAAAAAAUUUCAAAAUGACACUUUUUUUUAAUAUGAAGAUAACAAAGUAAUAGAUUGAAUUGGGUUAACCAAAGUUAACUUGUUAAAAUUUUUAUCCAGGUAUGAGACUAUGAAGUCUAAUUCCUAAUCAACCAAAUAUUGAAUGAUAUAAUUGAAAAAAUAAUCAAUUAAAAAAAUAAUCUAAAAAUAUGAAUUGAGUUAACUUGUCAAGUCCAUAGCCUUGGUUAUAAUAGAGAUAUAAUCUUAUAGAAAAAAAAUAAAAAUAAAUUAUGAAGUUCAAUCUUAAUUAGCCAAAUGUUGAAGGAUAAAAUUAAAAAAAAAGAAAUCAAUUUUAAAAAGAACAUAAAAAUAACUCAAGUCAAUCCACCAAACCCAUAACUAGCUCGUCAUGAGAUCGAAAUAAUCUUAUAAAAAAAUUACAUGAUUUAACUCAUUAAAUAUGUGACUUUGGUUACAAGACCGAGACAACCUCUUAAAGAGUGAAUAAAAAUAAAUUAAAAAGUGCAAUCCCUAAUUGACCAUGUCAAACCCGAUGUGAAUGAUGCAAUUUCUAGAAAUUUGAAUUAAAAAAUAACAUAAAAAUGAUUUAGGUCAAUUAGGGUUAAUCGGUUAAGCAUCAUUUUUAGACAAUGAGGCUAGGAUAACAUAAUAAAAACAAAAUCAAAACAAACCAUGAAGCUUAAUUCCUAAUAAAACAUAAUAUUAAAUAAUAAAAUUGAAGAAAAAAGAUCAAUAAAAAAAUUGAGUCAAUCGGGUUAACUUGCUAAGCUUGCGAGUUAGGUUAUGAAACAUAAAUAAUCCAAUAAAAAGCAAAUUCACUAUUGAAGGACUCGUGACCCAGAUCAUGAAAUCAAGAUAACCUCUUAUAAACAAAAUUAAAAAACAACUCAAUUUAAUUUGGAUUAAAAUGCCAAAACCCCCGUCUCUAAUCAUGAGACUAGGAUAACCCUGUAGAAAAUAAUUUGAAAUAGAUUAUGAAGCUUUAUUCCCAACUGACUUGAUAUCGAAUGAUAAAAUUGAAAAAAAAAUUCAAUUAAAAAACAUAAAAUACAACUCGAGUCAACUUAGGUUAACUUUUUAAGUAUUAUUUCUGGGUUACGAGGUUAAAAUAAUCUAAUAUAAAACAAACAAAACAAAACAUGAAACUUAAUUUUUAAUUAAUCUAAUAUUAAAAGAUAAAAUUAUAAAAAUUAAAAAGUUAGCUAAAAAAAUCAAGUUAACCGAAUUAAUCCAUCAAAUCCACAAUUUUUAUUAUAAAAGUGAGACACCUUAAUAAAAAAACAUUCAUUAAAAAAAGCACUCAUUCAAAUAAUUGUAUAAAAUAUAAUAAUAUAAAGUAUAAUUUAUGAUUUAUUUAUUUAAUUUAUCAAUGAAAAGUGAUAGAAGGAAGAAGAGAAAAGAAAUAAAGUGAAGUCUUCUGCUGCAUUAUCAUAUCAUGUGAAAAGCUUCGCAUUUUGUGAAGUUUUUCCAAUCAAACCCCUUUUUUUAAAAGAUGUAAUUUCUAGGAAAAUAAAUCAAAGACAAACCGAGUAAAAUUCCAAAAGAAGAGAAAGAUGGAAUAGCGUUUCAGUUGCGGCUUGUAUACGUGUUUCAAAAAUAAUUUUUUUAUUUUAAAUUAAUAUUUUUUUUAAUGUUUUUAGAUUUUUUAAUUUGUUAAUAUUAAAAAUAAUUUAUAAAAAAUAAAAUAAUUUAUUUUAAUAUAUUUUUAAAUAAAAAACAAUAGAAACCCGUGACCCCUUAAAUGUACUCCUAAGCAUAACAAUUUAAGAGUUAAAGAGCCGAGAGAGAAAAAGCUUUUGCCAGUUCUUUACACAAAUUCUUUCCCCUUCUGUCAGCUGAACAAAAUCCCCUCUUCUUCUUCUUCUUGUUUGUUUACUCUUCCUUCGUUACUUUGCAAAGAGGAGAAACCAUGGCCGGGGCUUUAGUAGGAGGAGCUUUUCUUUCUUCUUUCCUUAAUGUUUUGUUCGACAGGAUGGCCUCUCCCCAGGUGGUUGCCUUCUUCAGAGGCCAAAAAGUCAACAAUUGGCUGCUAACGAGGUUGGAGACAGCAAUGACAUCUCUCAGGGUGGUGCUUGACGAUGCCGAGGAGAAGCAGAUAACAAACCAAUCUUUCCUGGGAACUUGCUUAGUUAAAGGAUUAUCCAUACGAUACUAUUUUUAUAUAUAUAGCAGUUUGUAAUGAAACGGUUGAAGACUAGCAAGACGACGACACAAGAGAACAGUUGGGUUCCGUAUGAUCAAGGAUCUGAUGGAGUGGUGAUUUCUUCAAAGAAGUUAGAUUCGGUGACUGUAAUUUCUCGAGGGAGAAUUGAUGAAGACCCUGAUAAUGGAAGAGAAAUACAGCAAGGGGAUAAAGAUUGACACCCUAUUUUGACUUGGAUAGGUGUUGUGACAUGAUGAGUUGCUGUCAAACAUAAGCAAGGAAUGGGGAGAAAUUUGGAGAACAGAAAUUGCACGAGGGCACAUGGAGAUUGUGUAGGAGUACCCGUGAUCCAACGAGGUACUGUAAUGAGACAACAGAUGCAAGGAGAAGAAGUGUUCCCGGAUGAAGCUCAAAGUAAAGAUUGUGAAAAGGAUGUACAACAGGAAGUCUCUUGUGCUCUUGAUGAAGACAACAGGCGAGGACCUUUCCAAUACAUGCAAGGAUAGAAAGAGAGCUAUUGCAGAGGCACCUAAUUGAGGGGGUGCGAACGCCUAUGAUAAAAGACGACCGCCUAUGAUGAAAGGCGAAGACACCAAAAAGAGUUGGUGUAGGUGGAGCUGUCAAGCAGAAAGGCGCAAAAGCUCCAAACAUAGAAAAUGAGAUGGAAGAUUGCGAGGAGUGUACCACAACUCUCUCUUUCUAUGUGUUCAAUGGAAGUGAUCUCUCCCAUAGUCCACAUGGUGGUAGAGAAUCUUAGAGCCACAUUGAAGCAUCUCCGAUGAAGGAGGAUGAGAACGCAUCAUGACGAGCGGAGACACCUCAGACAGAAAGUGUGCGGGCCACGAUAUGAGCCUAGUUCAGACCGCCUUAUGAUAACAGGCGAAGACACCUUAAAAAAGGUGUGAGAGCCACGAUAGGAGCCCCAGUUCAGAAUGCUCCAAAGCCAAUGUAAUGGUUGGAUAUGAGUGGACAAGUGUAUGGAUAGCCAAUGAAGUGGCUAUGAUGAGUAUGGAGACAAAUGCCAGAUUGACUUUCAUUGCCUCUAGGUUAAAGAUCAAUGAGCUAGAUAACAUAUGCCUUGGACAAUAAGUGGAUGACUUAUGGAGCAUUAAGACGCGACUGAUAAGAAUGAGCAGAGUACAUGCGCAAGUUCCGGGAAUAAGUUGACUCUUGUCAAGGUGGUGAGCUCGGUAAUGGCAUUGUAAUACUCAGAGUAUGAAGAAAGAUAUGGAUCAACCUUUAAUGGGCUGCCCCCAUGGUUAAAGGUGGAGAACUACCUGGACUCUUAGAACUAAAAGCGAGAGACUCAUGGAAAAGUAAGGUGUGGUUCCUAGAGUGGAACAGAGGGCAGACACAACUUCGGGAUGAGUAGAAUCUUGGAAGAGUGGUGAGCUCGUGAUCACAUUGAAAUACUCAGAUAAUGAAUGUCGCACUCGGAAAUAGAUAAUUCCAUUUGAGGGGGUGUUGUAAGCCUUGAUGUGAGGCUUGAUAAAUCAUUUCGGAUUGAGCAUGGUUAAUACGCUCGAAGGGGAAUUUUAUCCCAGAGACAAGCGUUAACACUCUUCAGAUGUAAUGUGACAGACCAUCUGGUUGUAGUGAUCCUUUUGUGUAAGAAAAGGUGUGCUUUGGUGACUCUGGUGAUUGAAAGGUUUGGCGAGUACCUGUAAACUUGGCCAAAGAUGCUCUCAGAAUGGUAAGCUUGGAAGAGUUGCAAGAUGCAAGCAUGUGCUGAAGAAGCAAGAGGACAAUUACCCACAUAAAUGGCAAAGGGGGUGAUUGUUAGAAUAUUACCAAUUAUGUGGCUGCCAUUGUCAAAGAAGAUGGCUGCCAUUGUCAAAGAAAAAAGGCCAACUUGUGAGAGUCAAAGAGAGUUGUUGAUGCAGCAUUUGCAGCCUUUUAACAUUGUCAAAGAAGGAGGCUAUAAUGGUGGGUUGUUGGUGGCAGCUGCUAAUGUCAAAAGAAGCUGCAACAACCAUUAACAAAGAGUAGCCACCAUUGUUGACAAAGGAGCAAGAGGAGUUGUUAUUGAAGCCUAUAAAUAGACACCAAGAGUGCAACACAAAGUGAGAGAGAGAGUCUUGUAGUAGAGCUACAAAAGAGAGAAGAAGAGAGAAAAAAAGAGAAGGGCUGCAACCAGCAGCCCUGCUGCCUUAUGCAGCUACUGCCCUAUGUAGCAAUGUGAGAUGGGAGUUGAGUGGAUGUGAUCCUCCUCCGUGUGUUGUAUUCUUUCUCUAUCUCUAAUAAUAUCGAUCUCUCCAGUGGAUGUAGGCGAUUUGCCGAACCACGUUAAAUAUUGUGUUAGUGUGCUUAGUCUCCUUUAAGCAAUGAUCAUGAACACCACCGUUCCGCAAGGGGGAGCAGAAAUCCCCAACAAUACAGAAGUUGCUUCUACCAGACGAUGCCAAUGGAGAAAACCCAGGUGUGGUUCCUGUUACAGGGUUAAAUUCGUCAGGCUGUAGGUUGACGAAAGUAUUGCUGGACAGUAGCUAUGAGGUGGCAGCCCGCAUGACGGUAGUGAAAAUCGGCAGCAUGCAACAGCAACGCAGCAGUGUGCUGACAAGAGCUGGAGACUUGGACUAUGGAUUGUCCAAGGCUCGAUGAAACAGUGCUGGAAUGACGUGAUGGGACAGUGUCGAAUUCGGCAGCAUUGAUGAGAUCAACAGCGUCGACAAAAUUGGCAGCAGGGGCUGACGAUAGGUCUAGGCGAUGGACAGUCCAUGACUGGACAUAAUACACUACUGGCAUGAAUGGCAGCACGCAUAGGUAGUGGCAACGUGCAUGGGCAGAUUCAGCAACAGUGUGCGUCAACGAUUCGACAGGACAUGGGUUGAUGUUCGACAGGAAUCCUAACUUAGACCAUGGACAGUCCAAGGCAUACAAACACCUACUCUGGCAGCGUGGAAGUUGGCAAAAGGGACAACUGGCUUGUUGGGUGGCAGGCUAUGGAAGAAGCAGCAAUUGCAGGCAAUUUUCGACAGUUAUCAGCAGUUUUCCAGGAGGCCAAACUGACCAGAACGUGGCCCAUGUCUUGGGAGGCAGUUAUGUUGUAUUAUUCCAUGUAAUAGGUUGUACAUAGGGUGUAGCAUGCAAUGUUCUGGUAGGCAGCAGAACACUUGUGCAUGGCACACACGCUAAUAAACUUGUGUAUCCUUUGUUGACGAGACUAAUGAAGGUUGGGAAUGUUUUCCUGUAAUAUCUUGUGUGCUUGGUUCUGUACAGCUUUGCUUGUGUAUUCCGCUUGUCUAUGUAAUGGGAGUGAGUGUGGGAAACCUCUUGGUGAGGGAAACACGAGUGAGGUGAGGGAAAGGCUGAGUCUAGCUAGUCAUCAACCUCCUGUCACGACCCGAUCCCCGGAUCCAUGACUGGCACAUAGGCAAGGUUCCCCUCCAAGGUUCCAUACCUAUGCGAACCCAAACUUACACACAAACUUAUCCUAACUCAAUUAGAGUUCAACGCAGCAUUAAUAACAAAAUCAACUUCAUAAUAUAAUUGAAUUGUCUUAAUACAAGAGUUUAUAUAAGUUCAGAGUUUUGGAGCACUAACUAGACAUAAAGGAAAGGUACCAAGUACAACCAAAAAGCAGGUUCUGAAGGUCCAACAAAAUGACCUGUUAUUAAGCUAUAAGCCUGAAAAGGAUAAAUAAUGAGAUGGUGAGUUCAACAACUCAGUGAGUAGAUAACGUUCAAUACACACACACAAGGUAAUACAGCAAUGAGAAAUAUAUAUACAAUUGGCUUUAGGUUCUUAUGGAAGUUUUCUCAAAUUGGCCAUAACAAGAAGAUCAUAUGGUAAAACUCGUCAGAAAAUCAAAAUGCAAUGAGCAUGAGGCUCCGUACUGUGGGAUGAUCAGUCCACACAGGUUGGUGACUCCCCCGACCAACUAGGGUUCAGAUACGAUGUGCACAAAGACUAACACUACCCUGUUAGCAUGGGUAUUCUGACUGACAUACCAUAGGUUUAUAAUCAUAAUCAAACAGACAUAUUCAUAUCUCAAGGCUCAACUCAUGACAUCAAUCAAAUGAGGAGCUAUCAAUUCAGAAGUCAAUUCAUAAUAUAUAUACUGGUUCAUAUCAAUAAUUCGGAUUCAACAAUUGAUCAUGCUUAUCAUAACAAGGAUAAUAAUCAACAUAUAUAUUAUCAAGAAGCAUGAUCCAAUUCAUAUUAACAAAUCAAAUAUUUAUAAUAUUUCUCAUGCAUAUGGAAAAUUAUCCACUCACCUGACUCAAAAGCAAACAGAAGCCAAAAGCAGACACCGAAGAAAAUCCUACUGACGUCCCGCCGGUAGAAUAUCAGGAUUAUCUGAAUAUAAAGGAGACAUAUUUAAGAACGACUCGAAAGAACAUUUAACCUAUUUAAUAAACUUAACUAAUAAUGUAUUCCGUAACCCUAUAUGUUUUUGAACUAACUAGUCAAUUUUCUCAAAAACCCAAAAUUUAACGGUUUUUUCCGAAAUCUAAUCCAUAAUAAAACAACUAAUAAAAUUGGCAAUAAUUCACUAAAUAACCCUUAAUUAUUCAUCAAACUAAUCUGCAAAAGCUAAUAUUACAGAUAGGGAAUAAUCUGUAAUUUAUCCUAUUUUUAAGGGUCAAAUUGCAACUUUUGUCUAAUUGAAGGACCAAACUGAAAUUUAUCAUAAAUCCAUGAAUAUACUGAAAUUCUGACCAUAAUUAGUCCUCAUUUCUGUCCAGAUCAUCUCAUUAUACUCCAAGGACCAUUCUGGAAUUUUACCAAAUUUUUAGGGUCAAAUUGUAUUUUUUGCCAAAUUGGAGGACUAAAUUGAAAGUGUUAAAUUCUCUUAUCUAUACAGUAAUUCUGUCCAUAAUUCAUAUGUUAUUCUGUUCAGAAUCUCGGAAUAGGCUCCAGGGACCAAUCUGCAAAUUUUCCAAAGUUUGGGGACUAAACUGUAAUUUUCCAAAAUUGAGAGACCAAACCGAAAUUUUGUCAUCUUCAACCUCCAACCCAGAAUUCCAACAGAAAACCCACUGUUCUUUCCUUAUUUCUAACACAAAUUCACCAUUCAAACAAAAUCAUAACUCAAAAUCAUCAUCUUUCAAUUCAAUCUCUCAAAUUCAACCAAAUAAUCAAAUACCCACAACAAUUAACCCUACAACAUCCAAAUUAACUCAUAAAUCAAACUCAAAACACAAAUUUCAUAACCCUAACAUUUAUCAAAAUCAAAAUUAAAGCUUAAUUAACACAUAUUUAUACAUAAUCUUACCUUUUUACUUAUUUCCUUCAAUUCCUUUCUAUUUCCCUUCUAAUUUCCCUCUUUUCUCUUCUUCUUCUUUCUCCCUUUCUCUCCUGCCGGUUCUCUCUCAAAAUUCAGAUCCCUCUUUCCUCUUUUUUUUUUACUUCCUAUUUAUAUAUAUUAUCUCUUUAUACAAUUAUUAUUAUACCCCUCAUUUAAUUUAUUCCUACAUCUAAGCAUUCAAGGGCCUUGUUGCCAUUUCCUAUCUUUUAAUACAAAACAUUACACCUCCGAGGACAGAUUUCUCUCUAAGGUCUGUUUUUGGGAUAAAAAAUUGACCCUGUGACAGUUCCCAUAGUGGGAAUGGGCGGGGUUGGUAAAACCACGCUUGCUCAGCUUGUAUACAAUCACAGCAGAGUACAAGAGUGGUUCGGUCUCAAAGCUUGGGUUUGUGUUUCAGAAGAUUUCAGUGUUUCGAAGUUAACUAAGGUUAUCCUUGAGGGGUUCGGUUCAAAGCCUGCUUUUGAUAAUCUGGAUCAGCUCCAGCUUCAGUUGAAGGAGAGAUUGCAGGGAAAGAAAUUCUUGCUUGUUUUAGAUGACGUUUGGAAUGAAGAUUAUGAUGAAUGGGAUAGGUUUCUUACCCCCCCUGAAGUACGGAGCACAAGGGAGUAAGAUUCUUGUCACAACACGCAAUGCAAGAGUAGCAUCAGCCAUGAGCACUGGUCCAACUCAUCAUCUAAAAGAAUUGACGGAAGACAGCUGCUGGUUUGUGUUCGCCAAACAUGCAUUUCGUGGUAAAAAUCCCAAUGUUUAUGAAGAGUUGCUAGAGAUUGGAAGAGAAAUAGGGAGAAAAUGUAAAGGCCUUCCUCUAGCUGCAAAAACACUCGGAGGUCUGCUAUGCACCAAGAGAGAUGUCGAGGAGUGGGAGAAGAUAUUGGAAAGCAAUCUAUGGGAUUUACCCAAAGGCAAUAUCCUCCCAGCCUUGAGAUUAAGUUAUCAUUAUCUCCUGCCACAUCUGAAGCAGUGUUUUGCUUAUUGUGCCAUAUUUCCAAAAGACUAUUCAUUUCGAAAGGAUGAAUUAGUGCUCCUGUGGAUGGCAGAGGGCUUCUUAGUCCACUUUGUAGAUGAUGAGAUGGAAAGAGCAGGUGCUGAGUGCUUUGAUGAUCUCUUGUCAAGGUCGUUUUUCCAGCAAUCAAGCUUAUCAUUUGUGAUGCACGAUCUCAUGCAUGACUUGGCUACCCAUGUGUCCGGUCAAUUUUGCUUCAGCUCCAGGUUGGGGGUAAAUAAUUCUUCCAAGGCCACAAGAAGGGCUCGACAUUUUUCACUCGUAGUAGAUACGGAAGACACGGAUGGUGAAGAUACCGAAGAUGGAGAUACGGAAGGUGUUUUUUCAAGCACAAAAUUAGAAAACAUUAGUGCAGCCCAGUUUCUACGCACAUUCCAAACUUAUCCACACUAUUUGAGGUGUCCUCCCGAAUUUUAUAAUGAGAUCUUUCAGUCAACACUUGGGCGCCUACGAGUGCUAUUCAUGACUGGUUGUAGAGAUGCAACUUUGAAGUUUUGUUCAACUAACAAGUUGAAGCAUUUGCGGUAUUUGGAUCUUUCCUUUUCACAGUUCUUAGUAACGUUGCCUGAAGAAGUGAGUGCUCUUCUCAAUUUGCAAACGUUGAUCUUGCAAGAUUGCUCCAAACUUGCUAGUCUACCUUAUUUUGGAAAUUUGAAGAAUCUUGAAGGAACAAGAAUCGAAAGGUUGCCUGAAUCUCUAGAAAGGUUUAUCAACUUGCGGUAUCUUAACAUCCAAUAUACGCCUUUGAAAGAGAUGCCACCACAUAUAGGUCAACUGACAAAGCUCCAAACGUUGACUGACUUUAUUGUGGGAAGACAGAGUGAGUCUAUCAUUAAUGAAUUGGAAAAGCUACGACAUCUACGGGGAAAACUGUAUAUUCGGGUCCUUCAAAAUUUGGUGGAUGCUCGGGAUGAUGUUGGAGCAAAUUUGAAAGGUUUAAAGCACCUUGAUCAGCUGUUUCUCAUUUGGGAUGGUGACACUCAUAACGUGGAACACGUAACAAGCACGCUUGAGAAAUUAGAGCCAGAUGGAAAUGUGAAGUAUCUUGAGAUUGAUGGUUAUGGAGGUAUAAGGUUUCCGGAGUGGGUAGGAAACUCCUCUUUCUCAAAAAUAGUGUCCUUGAAGCUCAGUAGAUGUAAAAACUGCACCACCUUACCACCGCUCGGGCAAUUAACUUCUUUAGAGGAUCUCUCAAUUGAAGAAUUCGAUAAAGUUGUGACUGUGGGCUCUGAGUUCUAUGGGAAUUGUACACAAGAAGCCAUUUGAAUCCCUCAAAUGUCUAUUUUUUAAAAGGAUGCCAGAGUGGCGCGAGUGGAUUUCAGACGAAGGCAGCCGGGAAGCCUUCCCUCUUCUUGAGAAGCUUUACAUCCAACAAUGCCCCAACCUUGCAAAGGCCCUUCCUAGUCACCACCUUCCACGUGUAACAAGACUUGUAAUUAAAGAAUGUAAGCAGCUCGCGACUCCACUUCCUAGGUUUCCGAGGUUGCAGUCUCUCUCUGUUUCUGGAUCCCACUCCCUAGAGUCCCUACCCGAGGAACUUGAGCAAAUGGGUUGUUCACCCUCUGAUUUAGGGCGAAUUACAAUCCAGGGCGAAUUACAAUCCAGGGCUGCGCUUCUCUCAAAUGCGUCGCACUGGACUUGCUCCCCAAGUUAAAUUAUCUUUCUAUCUGUGACUGUUCAGAUCUUGAAUCACUAUGUGCACAUGAAAGACCUCUCAAUGAUCUCAAUUCUCUCCAUUAUUUGUUUAUCGAGAAGUGCCCUAAAUUAGUUUCAUUUCCCAAAGGAGGAUUACCUGCUCCAGUCUUAACACGACUUGAGUUAGAAGAUUGCAGGAACUUGAAGCUGUUGCCUGAGAGUAUGCAUUCCCUCCUCCCAUCCCUUUCGCAUUUGGAAAUAAAAGAUUGUUUAGAAGUUGAGUUGUGUCCAGAAGGGGGUUUUCCCUCCAUAUUACAAUCACUUGUCAUUUGUAGAUGCGACAAACUCAUUGCUGGCCGCAUGCAAUGGGGCUUGCAAACGCUCCCUUCUCUUUCACACUUUACAAUCGGUGGCCUUGAAAAUAUUGAAUCCUUCCCUGAAGAGAUGCUUCUGCCCUCAAGUCUUACAUCUCUUAAAAUCCAUUCCCUAAAACACCUGAAAUCUCUUGACUACAAGGGGCUUCAACACCUCACCUCUCUUAGAAAAUUGCAUAUAAAUUACUGCCCUAGGCUUGAGUCCAUGCCAGAAGAAGGGUUGCCCUCCUCCCUUUCUACUCCUCUUUAUAUUUACUUUUGUCCUAUGGUUGAGUCAAUGCCAAAAGUAGGGUUGCCCUCCUCCCUUUCUACUCUUAGAAUUAACGAUUGUCCUAUGCUGGGUGAACGUUGUGAAAGGGAGAAAGGUAAAGAUUGGCCCAAGAUUUCUCACAUUCCUCACAUAAAAAUUAUGUAUUGAUGGCUAUUGAUUUUUCCAACAUCAGCGGAGCCAAAAAGGAGGUAUUGCCACUAAAUAGUUUAUUUUCUUUUCAGUAAUCAAAGGCAAUUUCAGUAAAAAUUUGUCCUUUUCCACUAUUAAUUCUAUGCUUAUUUUUGGCAGGAUCCAAAUCCAACUUUGCACUUACAGUUCAUGAAGGGUUUGUCACCCCUUCCUUCUUGCCAGAACAAUAUGCACAGGAUAAAAUUGAUCUGUUUGCUCCCUCAGGUAUGACUCAUUGUGAACUUUUCCAUUCGAUGUUCUUUCUCAGUUACUCUGUAUUUCUCCACCAUUAUUAAUUCUUUGCAAUUUCAUGUCAGAUUACCACUUGCCCAUUGCAGAGUGGAGCACCAUGGUUUCACAAAACAAGAUUGCUUUGCAUUGUUUAGCUAUUUGUGUAUUAUACGUAUCAUUUUCAUGCUCUUGGUCUAAAUCCUCCAUUGUUUCUUUGCAGGAUUCUGAUCCAAAUUUUCUUCUACAAGCAUGGGCGGCCCAUAAGUUUGGAUGAAUGAAAUACAGAUAUUUUCUUCAUAUUGUCUGUCAUUCAUCAUUCUAUUUCAAUAUAUUUUUUGCUAUAAUUAAUUUUUAAAGUUGAUUUGAUUAGUAUUGUACUUUUCUCAUUCUAACAUUUGUGGUUAGAACAAGGUAAUUUUCACUGGAGUGUCAUUUUGGGAUGAGAUGAUUUUGGUUCAAAUUCCAUAAAUUGUUUCUUAAAAAAAAAUAACAAUUUAAACAAGACAAGGAGAAUGAUCUAUAGGAGCGGUGAACCUUUGGCUUCUUUCCUUUGAAUCCAAAUUCAAAUCCUGUUCUGCUGCAAAUAAACAUCACAUGCUUCAGAUUUUGAAUUUAGUAAUAGAAAAUCCAUUGCUAGAAAGGAUUAAAAAAAUAUUGAAUUAUUUAAGUGAUCUGCAACUGAUUUUUCAUUGUUGACGCGGCAAGAUCAAAUCUGCAACUGAUUCAAAAAAUAAAUUAAACCCUUAAUUAUAUAAAAUCUCCCUUCUCUCCUUCUCUCCUUUUCUGCAUCUUCAAAAAUUCAAAUUUUUUUCUCCAUCUCUUUCUCUAGUCCAUUCGCCUUCUUCAAAAAUUCAAAAUCCAAAAAAUUUUGAUUUAUCUUUUUUUAUUAUUAUUUAACUUUGAUUAAAAAAAAUUUAUUCCAUAUAAAGCUGAAGUUAAAAAAUAAUUUUGGAGCGUAGGAAAGGCCCUUUCUAAUAAAAUUUAUUUCAUGGUGUUCAGGAAUAAUUAAUAAUAUUUUAUUAGUUAUUUUUAAAAUUUAUUUUCAUAAAACAAAUAAAUACAAAAAGAAAAAAUAAUAUAAAAUUCACCCGCGUUUUGGAAUCACAAUUCAGAAGCAAGUGAAAGUGGCCAAUGUCACUCAAGAGAGCAGGCACUUGCAAAUCUACUAAUGAUUUGUUUGGCAUGGUGUUGGUAAAUUGUUUUUGAAAAAAUUUAAAUUUAUUUUUAUUUUAAAUUAAUAUAUUUUUUUAUGUUUCUAUAUUAAAAUAUUAUUUUAAUAUAUUUUAAAAUAAAUAAUACUUUGAAAAAUAAUCAAAUAAAUAUGGGAGCAUCACCCUUUCGCACAAUCAACAGAAAGGAUUAAAGCACAGAAAGUCAUCAUCUCGAGAACUCACAGCAAAGAGUUCAAUGUUGUAGUAGAUAUGUAGCUAUAUUAAAAACAUUAAUACUUCCAGCAUGCACAAAUGCGACUUCUUAAUAGUUAAUAUUGGAAAAAUUAAAUUUCCUUUUCUAAUUAAAUGAAAAUCUCUACUAAAUAUUAUGCUAUUUGAAUUUUCACCUCAUGACUACAAGCUGCACUGCACUCAUGGAUGCUUCACCAGGAUAAAGCUACAAAUGUCAGUUUAAUAUCUGCCUCUACCUAGGUCGGCCGACAAUAUUACCAAAGCUUCUCUCCUACAAAUGUCAGUUUUUAAAAUCUGCCUCCACCUAGGUCGGCCUGCAAUAGAAUACCAAAGCUUCUCUCAACUAAAUCAAGACAUGAUGACUAGCACUCGCAACCAUAACAGAACCAAUGGAAGCGAACUACUACAUAUUUGAUCAACAAGGUCAAAUUCAGUCGAGUUUUUAAGGAAAUCCAGUGAAAGAGGAACCUAAAAUACUACAUGAUUGUGGAAUAGAAAGUUUAACGGCCUUAAUUGAAUUGUUUCAGUCACUAUUUUUUCAGUCACAAAGUAACAAUUUCUGUAUCAACUCUUCUCUUCUUCUUCUUCUUCUAUCACAUCUCAAUGGAUUGCAACAGAUUGUAACAGCCCCUGUAGUUUCUCUGUUUUGAAUUAUUCAAAUAAGUUGCACAGAUUGCAACAGCCCUUAAAGAUAGGAAGCAGUUUUGAACUGCUCUAUAGUUUAGGAUUUCAAAACAAAUGUUCGUUAUCAUGUAUGUGUAUUUAACUGCUGCAAAAUGUAAAUGAAAAAUAUGAUUGAUUUCAUCAUUCCUUUAUGGUAUCAGAGCACUAAACCGAUCCACUUUAUUUUUAUCUUUUCUUUUCUUUUUCCUUCCCUUGUUCAUUACCACUCAUGGCUACAGAGUCUAAUCCUGCAACCAUUCUCAACACCAAUGAAUCACACCAAACUCUCAUCAGCAUCAAUGUUGCUGCUCAAGCCCCUCUCAAACUCAACUCUACCAAUUACCUCUCUUGGAAACUUCAAUUCCAAACCUUAUUCAUUGGAUAUGAUCUUCUUGGCUAUAUUGAUGGCUCCAAACCAUGCCCGCCAGCUACCUUGACUCAAGCCAAUACCACCAUUUCCAAUCCCAAUUACACUCUAUGGAUCCGCCAGGAUUAAUUGAUUCUCAACGCUGUUAUUGGCUCCAUUUCACCUACUAUUAUACCUUUCAUUGCUCAAGCCACCACCUCUAGCCAAGCCUGGACAAUUCUAGCAAAUACCUAUGCUAAACCCUCUCGUGGUCGUAUUAAACAAAUCAAAAACCAACUCAAAAACACCACCAAAGGCUCCCUUGGCAUCACUGAAUUUAUGCAAACUAUCAAAACGCGAGCAGAUGAUCUUGCUCUUCUUGGUGCCUCCCUUGAUGCAGAAGAAAUCACGGACAAAAUACUUGAUGGUCUCGGUGAUGAUUACAAGGAAUUAGUUCGUGCUGUCCAGGCCAGAGAUACCUCCAUCACAUUUGUAGAACUUCACGAAAAACUUCUCAAUUUUGAGGCCUCCCUUCAACAUCUCCCAUCUGAGCCACACCAUUUUCCAGCUACAGCCAAUCCCACAUAUCGAACCAACACCAAAAAUUGGCGUCCUUCUCCACCUCGUAACAAUACCACAAACUAUUGGCGCCCAUCCUACAACUUUUCCAACCGCUCACCUAUUGUACCCAUUACAAGACCCAUUUCAGCACCGGCCUCUCGUCCUCACCACAAACCAUACCUUGGUCACUGUCAAAUUUGCAGGAUUCAGGGUCACACUGCCAAUCGGUGCCCUUCCUAUCGCCUUGUACCCAUUCAUCCUUUACCCACUUCCAGCACUCCCCAACAAGGAACACCCUGGCAACCACAAGCUCACCUUGCCACCCAUCCCUCCACCACGCCAUCCUGGCUUUUAGACAGUGGUGCUUCACACCAUGUCACCUCAGAUCUAAACAACCUCUCCCUGCAUGCUCCAUAUAGCGGUACUGAUGACAUCAUGAUCGGAGAUGGAUCCACUCUUCCCAUCACUCAUACUGGUUCCACCUCUCUCACCACUCCUCUCCAUACAUUUCAAUUACACAAUGUUCUUUGUGUUCCCUCUAUGGAAAAGAACCUCAUCUCUAUUUCACAAUUCUGCACUUCUAACAAUGUUUCCAUAGAAUUCUUACCAUCAACUUUUCUUGUUAAGGAACUUCAUACCGGGACAACACUGCUACAGGGACAGACUAAAGAUGGUGUCUAUGAGUGGCCCUCUUCCUCUCCUUUCAUUGCUUUCUCAACAAUAAAGCCCACGUCCUUCGACUGGCAUCAUCGCCUAGGCCAUCCAGCUUUUUCAAUUCUCAGACAUAUUGUCUCUAGCAAUCAUUUAGGCUUGUCUUCCUCCUUAUCUUCCAAUUACUCAUGUAAUGCGUGUCUUUGCAAUAAAAGCCACAGGCUGCCCUUCUCCAACUCUACAAUUGUCUCCACCAAACCGCUUGAAAUUAUAUUCUCUGAUGUGUGGACCUCGCCAAUUUUCUCUCAUAAUGGCUUUAAAUAUUAUGUAAUAUUUAUUGAUCAUUUCACUAAAUAUAUCUGGUUUUACCCACUCAAAAACAGAUCUGAUGUCAAAGAAGUUUUCAUUCGAUUCAGAGCCAUUGUCGAAAAACACUUUAAUUCCACCAUUAAAACACUCUACUCUGACAAUGGUGGUGAGUAUAUCUCUCUAGCUAAUUUUCUUUCCACCAAUGGUAUCUCUCAUCUCACAACUCCCCCUCACACGCCUGAACAUAAUGGUUACUCUGAAAGACGACAUCUUCACAUCGUUGAAACUGGUCUAGCCCUACUCACGCAUGCUUCUUUACCCCAUUCCUACUGGACUUAUGCAUUUUCCACAGCUGUCUAUCUCAUUAAUAGAUUGCCGACUCCCACUUUAAACUUGUCCUCACCCUACCACAAAAUAUUUCAAACAGCCCCAAACUACUCCAAGUUACGCAUCUUCGGCUGCCUAUGCUACCCUUGGCUCCGCCCUUACACCUCCCAUAAACUUGAAUCAUGGUCCAAGCCAUGUGUUUUCCUUGGGUAUUCUCUUACUCAAAGUGCAUACUAUUGCCUUGAUCCUUCCACCUCCAGAAUCUACGUCUCAAGACAUGUCAAAUUUAUUGAGUCACAGUUUACCUUCUCUUCACUAUCUGGUUCAUCCUCUACUUCCCUUUCCAAUCCCAUCACUACUUGGAUUCCUGCACCAAUUACAGUUCUUUCACCCGCUUCAGAACCACCACUCCCUAUGCCAUCUGCAGUUUUCAAUACUCAGCAACCCCAAAGUGCAGCUCCCCCAUCCAACCCCAUUCAGCUUCCAACCACCAUCGCCACCCAUACAACCUCCCCUUCCAUAACAUCUUCAACAGGUACAACCUCAACCCUCCAUUCCCCACCUAAAACUCCUACCCUUCCCACUCAUUCUAUGACCACUCGCGCUAAAAACAACAUUCACAAACCCAUCACUAAGCUGAAUCUUCAUACCCGACUAUCCACUUCCAGUGAUCUAGAACCAACCACCGUGACUAAAGCCCUUCUUGAUCCCAGGUGGCGUCAAGCUAUGUCUGCUGAAUGUGAUGCCUUAGUCAGAAAUGGAACAUGGGAACUUGUUCCACCAGAUUCUUCACAGAAUAUAGUUGGAUGUAAGUGGAUAUUUCGGAUUAAACGUAACACUGAUGGUUCUAUUGAUAGGUUCAAAGCACGUUUAGUCGCAAAGGGGUUUCACCAAAGACCUGGUGUUGACUAUCUUGACACAUUCAGCCCUGUAGUAAAACCAACAACAGUGCGUGUGGUCCUCAGCCUUGCAGUUUCUCGGGGAUGGACUUUACGCCAACUUGAUAUCAACAACGCUUUCCUUCAAGGCCAUCUCUCUGAGACUGUACACAUGCAACAACCACAAGGUUUUGUUGAUCAAGAUCAUCCAUCCUAUGUCUGCAAACUUCGAAAGGCAAUCUAUGGCCUCAAACAAGCACCUAGAGCAUGGUAUCAUGAACUUCGCACUUUUCUACUUCACUCAGGUUUCAAAAAUUCUCAUACGGAUACAUCAUUAUUUGUUCUCAAUACUGCUGGAAAGAAAAUGUAUAUCCUGGUUUAUGUGGAUGGCUUAAUAAUUACUGGUGACCACACUACCAUGAUCGACUCCUUUGUGGUUGUUCUUGCUCAUCGGUUUUCCAUUAAAGAUCUUGGACAGUUAUCGUGUUUUUUAGGCGUGGAGGUAGUUCACAAUCAGCAUGGAAUUUUGUUAUCUCAAAGGCGUUAUAUUUUGGAUAUUCUAGCUCGAACUCAUAUGGCAGAUGCAAAACCUGUGUUCACUCCUAUUCCAACUAGUCCACCUUUGUUAAAAUCAGGCACUGCGUUGCCUGAUCCCUCUGAGUACAGAACGAUUGUUGGCAGCCUUCAAUAUCUCUUGAUUACCAGACCAGAUCUUGCAUUUGCAGUUAACAAGCUCUCUCAGUACAUGCACACUCCAACAACUGAUCAUUGGAGCUUUGUUAAACGCCUCUUACGCUAUCUAUGUGGCACUAUUAAUGAUGGCCUCCAAAUACAUCGCAGGUCUCCAUUAAAUCUACAUGCCUAUUCAAACGCAGAUUGGGCGGGUAACAAAGAUGAUUUCUCAUCUACCAGUGCCUAUGUCAUAUAUCUUGGUCGCAAUCCCAUUUCAUGGAGUUCUAAGAAACAGAAAACUAUUGCAAGAUCUUCAACUGAAGCGGAAUACAGGUCAGUAGCAAAUGCAGCAGCUGAGCUCAACUGGCUUUGCUAUCUUCUGUCUGAUCUAGAUGUUCAACUUCCGUGUUGUCCGGUCUUAUACUGUGACAAUGUUGGAGCUACCCAACUCUGCUCCAAUCCUGUUUUUCACUCCAAAACGAAACAUGUUGCCAUCGAUUAUCACUUCAUCAGGGACCAAGUACAAAAUGGUGUCCUUCGUGUUGCCCAUGUAUCCUCAGCAAAUCAACUUGCUGAUGCACUGACCAAGCCUCUUCAUCGUAUCCGUUUUCUAGAUCUCAAAUCCAAGAUUGGACUUCUAUCUCGAGCUCCAUCUUGAGGGGGCAUAUCACAUCUCAAUGGAUUGCAACAGAUUGUAACAGCCCCUGUAGUUUCUCUGUUUUGAAUUAUUCAAAUAAGUUGCACAGAUUGCAACAACCCUUAAAGAUAGGAAGCAGUUUUGAACUGCUCUAUAGUUUAGGAUUUCAAAACAAAUGUUCGUUAUCAUGUAUGUGUAUUUAACUGCUGCAAAAUGUAAAUGAAAGAUAUGAUUGAUUUCAUCAUUCCUUUAUCUUCUACUUCUUCUCUCUUAUUCCUUUCUAAAGACAGAAAGACAGAAGAUAAGGCUGGAUUAGGGUUAAACACAAAAAAUUCUAAAACCGUAUUUUAUUUUUUAAUUACUAUUAUGUUCAAGUCGGCCUCUUGAAAAGGUUUACGCUAAAAAAAUUGACCUACACUAGAGAACAAAAUUAGAAUCCCUAAACAUAAAGAAAAUUAGCAUAAAAUCCGAAAUAAACAAUAAAUCUAAAAAUAUCAGAUGAUGCUGGUCCGUGUUUGCCAAACAUGCAUUUGGUUAUGAAAAUCCCAUUGCUCAUGAAGAGUUACGGGAAAUUGGUAGAGCAAUAGUGAGGAUUGUCUGAUGUUCACCUAUAAUUGUAGCUGAAGAAAAGCUAGAAAUGAAACUGCCUGUAUUGGAAGUGAAACUGCUUGCCUACAAUAUAUGUGAACAUUCUAUGGCUUUGUUGCCGCCUUCUAGCCUUUCGGUGUUGCACGGUGCUGCUGCUUUUUGGCUUUUGAUUUCAUACACUAUCAGAAAAUUGAUAAAUACAAACGGAAAUAUCAAGGAAAUAUUUCUGUCGGUAAAUUUUUGAGGGAUUUUACCGACAGAAAUAUUCCCCGGUAUAUACCGAGGGAAUUACCGUGGGAAAAAAAUUAAAACAAAGCAAAAAAAAUGAUGACGUGUCAUUUUUACCAACAGAAUUACCGACGGAUUUUUCAAUUCCGUCAGUAUUUUCCAAAGAGCUCCAAAAUUAUUCACUUUCCAAUUGCACUGUUAAUUGUUAUUCUUUACGGACAAAAUCACCGACGGAUUGAAAAGUCGUCGAUAUUAUUUGGCGGUUUUCUGAAAAAAUUCAAUUAAUUUAAAAUUUUCAUUUAAAUAUUACAGACGGAAUCACCGACGAAUUGAAAAAUUAUCGGUAAUUGUUGGCGAUUUCUGAAAAAAUUUUACAAAAUUGAAAAUUUAAAUUAAAUAUUACCGAUAAAAUUGCCGAUGAAAUAAUUAAAAAAUAUUAAUAUUCAAUUAUUUGUCGCUAACGCGCCUCAAUAAAAAGCCUGAAUCCCUUUAUUUCAGACUUAUUUCUUAUUAUUCUUCUACUUCUACUUCACUAUAUGUAAAAAACAUCAAUAUCUAUUUCUUUCUCUUCUUUUCUCUCCUCACCUCCUUAUCUUUUUCUCCAUACUUGGGUAUGUCUUCUUCUUCUUUCUUCUUUUAUCCUCUUAGUUUUUUUUUUUUAAUUAAUAUGCUUUACGAAAUUUUUUCUCUCUCCUUAGCUUCACUUGCAACUACAUUAAGGUAAGAUUUUUCUUUUUUCUUCUUUUUUCAUGAUUUUUUUCACUAUAUUUGUUUUUUAUUUUAUUUUUAAUUGUUUUUGUUCUUAAUAAUUAUAUAAAUGUUGUUGUGAGAUUUUUUUUUCAUAUGAGAUCAAGUUUUAGUUGAUUUAUUUAUAGGAUUUUUAAAUUUUUAGCAAUUGCAACUUCAUUUUUUUCAUAUGAAUUUUUUUAGUUGAAUUUAUUUUUUCAUUUUAUUUAUUUUUUGCAAAUUUGUUUGAGUUGAUUUUCUUAUUCUUUUUUUCCAAGCAUUUUGAGUAUAUAUUAUAGAGUGUUGAUUUAUGUUAAUUUAAUUAUUUUAUAAUUUUUUAAAAUGAAUAUUUUAAAAAUAUUUUUAAAUUAUUACCGACGGAUUUAUUGACGGAAUAGACGUGUCGGUAAUAAUAUUUUUUUAUUACCAACGGAUUUACCGACGGACAAAAAAUUACCGAUGAAAGAUGCACAGACAGAGCAUUUCUGUCGGUGAUUUUGUUGGUAAAUUAAUUACCAACGGAAUAUGUAUCUUACGCCGAUAGAAAAAUUCCAUCGAUAAAAUUGUUAAAUGUUGUAGUGAUAGAAAUGUUGUUCCCUCUCAUCCCUGGUGUUACAUAGGCAGCUGCUGGCUCCUCUUGUAUCUUUUGGGUUCUGGCUUCGUUUGGUUCAUGCCAUUGUCUGCUCUCCGGUUGUCGAAGCUGACAGCAAUCCUCCAACUCUGUUCUCAUAGUCAGAUGCUUCCUCUGUUUUCUCCUGGCAUUGAAAUUACAGCUCUCCCUCAAAUUUUAUUGAUGAUGUGCCUUUGGUCAUCUUAAUAGCUCUUUUUUUCUUGGGAUAUUUCAUUUGAUUCCUUUUUUCUCUUUUAUUUUAAUUAUUAUCUUCAUAGUUUUAACAUUAAGUCUCUUUGAAAAUAGAAGCAGCCUAUCUUUUAUAUUUGUAAAUCUUGUUCCAAGAGAGAGAGUAGAAGUUUAUUAAAGAAAAAUGUACAUUCUCAUUCGUCACAUUCCUUGUUCGUUUAUAUAUGAAAUGUUUUUUGUUUUUCAAUAAGCGAAUCUUCAAUCGGAAGGGAAAUUAUUUUAGUGAAUAGUGUAAUGGAACUAAAUUUUGGUUAAUUUAUAAUAAAUUUAAAUAGCUUGAAAGUGAAGCUCAUCUUCUAUUUAGUUUUCUCAAAUAUAUAAUUUUAAAAUAAAUUACUUUUAAAAUAAUUUUGAGUAAAUUUGACAUUAACUUUGUUGGAUGAAUUCCAAACCUAUAAUUUGAAACCAAAUGUUUGUAUAUUUUUUUUGUAAAAGACUAAUUUGAAAAAAAAAAUUCUAAAAAAAAUGACAAAGAGUUUUUAAAAAUUCAAGAACUAAUGAAAAAUUACUUUUUUGUCGACAAGGGUGCCUCCUUUUAAGUUGCCACCCACCUUGAUGUGGCUCCAUGUUCCACUCCAAACCAUUCAUAUAGGUAUCUUAAAUAGUGUAGCCUGAGCUUCACCGGUUAUGUUUUUAAUAUAUUUUUAAAUAAAAUAUAUUUUUAAAAAAUAUUAAAAAAAAAACUAACAUUAUUAUACUGUCAAACAGAUAAUCUCAUUGCAUCUAACGCUUUAAAUUCCAACAAUGAGUACCCGAUUAAACAAUAUCUACAUUCAAUUAAAACUUAUGGUAUCAUUCCUUGACAGCGAAAUAAAGAAAAGGAGACAGAGAACCGUACUUUCAGAAGACCAUGACACAAAUCGACGGUUGAAAUCCAAUCACUCAAGGGAUGGUGACACGUUGUCAUGAGUGGGAGACAGCUGGUCUCUAGUACGAAGAGAAACAACAGCGUUUUUAUUGUUUAAAUUUAGAGUGUUUGUUUUUCGGAGUGUCUUUGUUCUCGUGAUAGCUCCUGUGAUGAUGGGUAUCUUAGUAAUUGUAAAAACAAUUGAUUUUUUUUUUGAUGAAGUUGUCCGUGUGGAUGAGAAAAUACUGAGUUUGUAGCUUAGUAAAAACAUGUUGAUGUUACUUUUUAUUAGCCCAUGGUUGGCCCGUAAAUUGUAAUGGGUCCCACAAUCACAAACCUAUGAUUCACAUGUAACUAAAUAUCUUGUUUUUGUUAUCUGCAUUAAAAAUGCAAGAGCUGCUAAAAAAACAAACAUAUUUGAUCGUUGAACAUGUUUUUAAAUUGUUUUCUUAAUUAUUUUUUAUUUAAAAAAACAUUAAUAGAUGAAGUUUAAUAAUUAUUUUAUAAAGAAGUUUUGGAAUAAAAUGAUCUAUCUGCAUGAAAAACAAGGUCAUUUUUACAGGUGGAAGAUAAAACCAAUAAGACCUAAUCCUAUUGAACUGCAUCUUGUUAUUCAAAGCAAACAAUCAGUAUCUUUAAUACUGAUUAAGGAUAUUUUUAUUUUUGCAAUUCAACUGUAAUUUCUAAUAUAAUGAUUUUUUUAUUAUAACUUGCUCCACAAUUAAUCUUUUAGAGUUAAACAAAUACUACGCAACAUUCUAGAAUGUGUAAUGAAGUUUUUAUAAUAUUCAUAGCAAUGGUCAUCAGCUAAUUUAUAAUUUAUUUAUCUACUUUAUCAAUUAAUAAAAGUGAUAAAAGAAAAGGAGAGAAGAAAUAAAGUGAAGUCUUCUUCUGCAUUAUUAGCACAUCACGUGAAAAGAAAGAUUGGCAUUUAAUAAAAGUUAUUCCAAUCAAAUAAAGCAAGGACAAACCAAGUUACUCCAUUUUCCUCUCACUUUUUCAACCGAUGGGGUGUCUUGGCAAAUAAAGCAAGGACAGACCGAGUUGACGCGCUCCCUAACUCCAUUUUCCUGGCCCGCGCAAUUCACGCAUACACAAACACAUCCGGAACAAUAUUCAUAAAAUUAAUUAACAUCCCGUAAAAAUAUACUUUAAUACAGUAUAAGGCUUCCCGUCUACCUCUGUCUUUUCAUAAUUUCGAUCCUCUAAUCAUGUAUUUUCAGUCUAAAAUAUAGUAUAAAACUUUUCUAUACCCAAGAUCCUCUAAUACUAAUAAGACUGAAAAUUUGAGAUUUGGAUAACGAGAAAAGGAGAGACUGGGGAGUGGGAACUAUGUAGUGGAAUGUCAGGGGACUCGGAUAAGGAGACAGUAAAUUUUUUAACUUUUGCAAGUUAAAACUCAAAAUCAAUUAACGAGAACAAAAACGUACAAAAUAACAUCAAUUUAAUCUCAUGUCACCUCACCUUCCACCUUUUUUUAUGUUAGUAACAAGUUCUAGAAAUAAUAUCCUAAUAUCCCACCAAGCAAGACAUGCAUUUCAAGUUCUCUUUGAGUCUUUGUCGUCUCUCUUUGUAGUUAACAAAUAGUUAGUCUAAAACACAAUAUUUCUCUCUCUAUAUAAGUAUUCCUAUCUUUUAUUUUGCUCAUUUGAUUCCUCGCCAUCUACCUCUGUCUUUCCAUGGUUUUGAUUUUCCGAUCAUGCCUUCUCGCCCUAAAAUACAGUAUAAGAAUUUCUCAUACCCAAGAUCCUCUAAUGCUGGUGUUAGUCUACUAAGAUUGAAAAUUUGAGAUUUGGGCAACCGGGAAAGGGGAGACUGGGGAGUGGGGACUAUGUAGUGGAGUGUCAGGGGACUCGGACAGGGAGACAGUAAAUUUUUAACUUUUGCGGGUUAAAACUCGAAAUCGGUCAAACUCGGUCAAACUCGUAAAAUCAGUUCGAUUUUACCGAUUUUAACCGAUUUUGAUCGAUUUCGAGUUUUAACCCGAUUUGACACGUUAUAUACAUGUUGACUCGUAAAAUCAUAAGAUUUUAAGAGUCAACUCGUGAUUUUAAUAACCUUAGAAACAACAACGUUUCCAUUGUUUAAUUUGUUUUUCUGAGUAUCUUUGUUUUUGUGAUAGCUCUUGUGGUGAUAAAGAUUAAAAAAGAUAGUUUAGAUAAAUUAUUUUUACUCGUGAUUUGUUUGAUUUAAAUAAGUAUUUAAUUAAAAUUAUAAUUAAAAAUGUUUAGGUAAAAUUAUGAUUAAAAUGGAUGUUUUAACUUAAAUUACCACAAAAAUACUGCUGAAGGUGGAGAGGAUGUGAGAUGCGAUUGGGUAUCUUAUUUAAUUGUCAAAACAUCAACUGUUGUGGUCAAUAAAGCAAGGACAACCCGAGUAAAAUGUGGGACCUAACUCAAUUUUCCUGGCACACGCAACUCACGCAUACACCCAAACACGCUAUAACACUAAUGUGAGAUGUUUUUUGAACUUCGGAGUUUACAGGCAAAUAAAGUGAUGGAAGAAGGUCUUCUUCUGCAUCAUCACAUCACGUGAAAAGCUUGGCAUUUAAUGAAGUUUUUCCAAUCAAACCCAUUCCUUUCAAAGAUGGAAUUUCUAGUAAAAUGGAGUCCAGAGCAUAACAAGGGCCGAGAGAGAAAAGGCUUUUGCGAGUUCUGUGUUCUGUAUAUUUCUCAAGGGGAAAAAAGGAAGACGAAGAAAGGAAUAUCAUAUUUCUUGUAGGAGUAUGGUUAGCACGAACUAUAAGAGAUGUACAUGAGAGAAAAGAAAAGGGAAGGCCUAUCGACUCUCUUUUUUUCUAUAUUCACAGGUAGUACGGAUCGCUUACCAUGACUAAUCCAACAUCAAGCCUUAUCGUUCAUGAACUGUGCCUAGACUUCUUUAAUCAUUUACAUAUAUAAAUUUGGUUAAUCAAGUUGGAGAAGAUCGUGUCAAGAACCAUGCUGUGUAUGUUUGAUAAUGCAGUGAAUAUAAUUUUACAAGAAUAUUUUUCAAUUAAUAAAAUAUUUCUUAAAGAAAUUUUCAAUAAUCUUGUUAAGAAAUUUGGGUGGCCAGACAUUUUAAAGAAUGAUGCUAGUUUCUGGCCACAAGAGGUCAUGCUAGUCACUUUUUGAUCAUGUCUGUGAUCUUUUUGAAUGCUCUGUUCUCCAUCAAAGCUAAUGGAAAUGUGUAUAAAUUAUCAUUUUAUCUUUAUGAAGCAUAUUGUCAGAUCACUGACCUGCUGGUGAACAUUACCAUGCAUGUUCUGCAGCCGAAGAUUUCAAAGAAGAAAACAUAAUGAUUUUGGUGAAUUGUGUUCGAACUCUUUGCAUUUCACCAUCCUCUACCUUUUAUCAUUUUGAGCGUAGUUGCCACCCACCUUUCUGUGGCUCCAUCAUGUUCCCGCUCCAAACCAUUCAUAUAGGUUAUCUUAAAUAGUUUAGCCUGAGCUUUACCGGUUAUGCUUUUUAAUAUAUUUUAAUUUAAGUAAAAUAUAUUUUUUAAAAAUAUUAAAAAAAAACAUACCAUUAAUGUACUCUCAAAAACAUAAUCCAAUUGCAUCUCACGCUUUAAAUUCCAACGAUGAGUACCCAAUUAAACAAUAUCUACAUUGAAUUAAAACUUAUAGUAUAAUUACCUGACAGCGAAAUAAAGAAAAGUAGGAACCCUGCAUUUGGGAAAUUUCUAUAAGGCCUCCAAUCUGAGGCUGUAACGAGCCCUGGAUCCACACAGAAGAAAUUUCGAGGGAAAUGGGUUGAUGUCAGAGGGAGACAAGGAAGCGUACUUUCAGGAGACCAUGACACAAAUCAACGGCUGAAAUCCAAUCACUCAAGGGAUGGUGACACGUUGCCAUAAGUGGGAGGCAGCUGGUCUCCAGCACGAAGAGAAACAGCAGCGUUUUCAUCGUUUAAAAUGAAGUGUUUGUUUUUCUGAGUGUCUUUGUUCUCGUGAUAGCUCGUGGUGGUAGUGGAUAUUUAAAGAUGAUUGAGUAUCUUAAUAAUUGCAAAAACAAUUGAUUUUUUUUUUUUAUGAUUGACACACAAAACCCUAUUUUCAUAGUUAUGUUAAUUGAAGGAUAAUAAAUGGAAGAAUGACAAAUUGCCAGGUGGAAAGUUAUAGCUCAUCACAACAAAUACUUUCCAGCAAAUUGAUUAAUGGCUGUUACAACUAAUUACAACGAAUACUCUUCAUUUCUUCUCUAUAGUUAUGUUAAUGGUAAAAAAAAGUUGGAAAUUAUAAUUUUGAAAAAUAAAUUAAAAGAUAAGUGAUGAUCAAAUUAGAACUUGAUAUUUGAUAUAAAAUAUAAUUUUUUUUAAUUAAAUCCUAACAACAAAUCACAAAUCAGUUUCAAAUUAGUGAAUGUUGCCGAAGAGAAUGGCAAAAAAGAAGAAAAUUAUAUUUUAAGAAAGUCAUGGAGCCGUAUAUUUUUAUUAGAAAAGAAAAAACAUUAGAAUUGAUUGUUAUAUUUCUUGAAACAAAUAAAAAGAAACAAAAAACAAAAUAUAAAUCAUGGAUGAAUUAAAUCCUCUUGAAGACCUGCUUCAAAUAAGAAAGAGGUAAAUACUAUUGGAAUUUAAUUGAUAUACGUUUCUUGCAUGUUGUUUCAAGUUGCAUAAAUACAAGCAAAAUACAUUUAUACAUAUUAUAUUACAAUUGAUAUAUUUUUGGUGCAGAACUGAUAUUAUCUUUUGAAAUUAAAUCCGGUUCAAGGAUGGAGCAUAAAAAAAUUUGAAUUAUUGAGUCAUUUAAUUAAUCAGCAAGGAUUAGGGGAUGAUAAAAAAAUCAAAACACCGAUUAAACUGAGAAAACUGGAAAAAAAAUAAUUCAAAAAACUAAACCUUAAAAAAACCCGAUUAGAAUAUUUAAAAAACUGGCCAAUUCGGUUUGGUUUUGGUUUUAUAAGCCUGAAACUGAAAAACAAAACCGAACCAAAAUUAAUAACCGAGCCAAACCCGAAAAAACCAAGCUAAACAGAAAAAAACGAGCCAAACAGCAAAAAAACGAGCCAAUCGGUUAGGUUUUGGUUUUUACUCUAAAAUAACCAAACCGAACCGAAACCGGUCGGUUUGAACCGAUUUUGAUUUUUUUGUUUGUUUUGAUUUUUAAAUUUGGUUUGGUUAUUAUUUUAAGGAAAAACCAAACUGAAUAAAAAAUAAUCAUCUCUAGUAGGGAUCAUCGAUGAAUCAUUUUAUUAAAAUAAUAUUUUUUUAAAAAAAUAUUUGAUAUUAUUUUAACUAAAUUUGUAUCAAGUUUUAUUAAAUAAAAUAAAUUAUUAAAAAACCAAUCGAGAUAAUAAAAUUCAUAUCAACAUUUUUUCUAAUUCAAUUUUAAAAUUGUCUAUGUCAAGAUCUGGAGGAUGUGCUUUCUACAUCAAAUCAGUAUGCAGGAUGGAGUUUCAAAACUAUAUUAUAUAUAAAAAAAGAUUUUGAAAUAAAAUGAUCCAUUUAUAUAUAUAAAAACAAAAACCUCGAGGUCUCGGGUCCACCGGUGGAAGCAUGAAUGGCGGUCUUCUUCUGCAUUAUUAGCACAUGUGAAAAGAAAGAUUAUAUUUUCCUGUGCAUAUAAUAAUGUUAUACCAAUCAAACCCUCCUUUUCCUGUGCAUAUUUUCCUGUGCACAUAAGUGUGCUUGUAACGUUUUUUUAUUAAGAAAUGUAUUAAAAUAUUAUUUUUUUAUUUUUUAAAAAUUAUUUCCAUAUUAACAUAUGAAAAUACAUAAAAAAAAAUUAAUUUAAAAUAAAAUUUUUUAAUACAUUUCUUAAUAAAAUAAUAUUUUAAAAACUGAGUUCACAUUGCAGAAAGCCUUGGCAGUUGGCACAAGUGGAAGGCAACCUAGAAACAGGUUUAUUUCAACAAUCCAUGUACUGACAUCUGUGUUUGUGGAAACAAAGUUGAAAAGGGCUACAUUUUCCUGUGAUGUGAUAUUGAUUCAGAGAUUUGUAGAAUAAGACGUGGUGCAGAACUGUAGAAGAUAAGGUACAAGACUAUGAAAGUCCUCAGGAAAACUGUAGAAUUGCACAGUUUGAGUGAGAAGUAUUAGACACCGCACUAGCCGCUGCUGUUUUUGGUAUUGUAAUACAUUCCGUAAUCUGAAAAAAAUUAUUUUAUAAAAAAUAUUUUUAGUUGAAAUUUAUUUAAAAAAAAUAUAUAUUUAAUUAAAAUUAUGAUUAAAAUUAAAGUUGAAUGAAAAAUAGCUUAAUAUAUUUAGUUAAAUUUUUUUUUAAAUUAAAGUUAUAUAUAUAGUUUUAAAUUUAAAUAUUAUAGAUUUAAGUAUUGUUAUUACAUCAUGAAAUAAAUAAUAUUGAUAUCAAAUAUUUUUUAUUAUUUUAUUAAACUAUGUGCAAUUUCAUCACGUUCGAAAUCUAUCCGGCAAGGACUACAUUUUCCAUUGUUUAUUAAGCGCGCAACAACAUCAGGUAAAAAUAUUAUUAAGAACAAAAUUUGAAUUGCAAUCAAAUUCUGCAAAUAUUAUGUCAUCAAACGAUCUCCUUCUAAUUUUUUAAAUAAAACACAAAUAAAAAUAAAAAUAAAAACUGAAUUUUUUAAUCUGGGUCGGACCCGGCAAUAACAAAAUUGGAAUUGCGAUCAAAUUCUGCAAAUACUACGUCAUCAAGCAAUCUCCUUCUAAUUUUUUUAAUAAAACACAAUUAAAAAAUAAAAAUUAAAUAUUUUUUUAACCGAAUCCAACCCGGUUCAAUAUAUUUAGCUUUGGACCGAACCUGGUCGAUCCGAAACAAUAACAGUAAUAGUGGAGAGUGAACUCCAGUGGAGUUCACUCUCCACUGCGUAGAGAAGCAGCUUUUGAUCAACCUGCGGUGCAACCUUAAUAAAAUGAUGGGUCCUAUCAAAAGAAGUUGUGUUUUUUACUUAACCAAACAAGAAAAAUUGUGGUUGCAGGUGAACUUUACCUGCGACCACAAUACCAAACAACUAUAAAAAAAAAUUAUUUGAUAUUAUAGUUGAAAAUGUGUUUUGUUCCAACCACAAAAAAAAAAUAAUGGUUCGGUAACCAUUUGAAACGUAAAUUUUGAAGAUGGGUCUCACUAAAAAUUAAGUUUACACAACCGGUUUUGUGAAGCAGAAAAUUACUGCUUUUCAAUUUACUUUUGCCCGCUGCUGCCAAGGGAAAGGAAAAAGGGCCCACCCAAUUUCUUAUUUGCUUCUUUUCUUCUCAGCUCAAGUAAGAGUAUUUCUUUUACUAUCAUCAUUUGUGCACUGCCAAGUGGAUUUAUCCGGCACUGUUCACGUAAACAGUACCCCUACUAUGAACAGUGUUUAUUGAACUGCGUCCAACUCAAAAAAAUUUAAUUUUUUUAAAAUUAUAUUUAUUUAAAAAAUUAAUGUUUAAUAUUAUUUAAUAACACUAUAUAAAUUAGAAAGAGAUUCUAUAAUAAUAUAGCAUUUGUGAAAUUUGAUCGCAAUUCUAAUAUUAUAAUCUUAAUUUGAAAAGUAUCUUUAAUCAAACACAUUAAACUACUUUUUAUUCGAUCUUAAUUUCAACCACAGUUUUAACCAAACAUAUAUAAAUAUGAAACCAAUCUAAACAGUUAAAUAAAUACUAAAAGACAUAAAUUGAAGUUUUUAUAAUAUUCAUAGCAAUGUUCAUCAGCUCAUUUAUAAUUCAUAAUUUAUUUAUCAAUGAAUGAAAAGUAAUAAAAGAAAAAGGAGAGAAGAAAUAAAGUGAAGUCUUCUUCUGCAUUAUUAGCACAUCACGUGAAAAGAAAGAUUGGCAUUUAAUAAAAGUUAUUCCAAUCAAAUAAAGCAAGGACAAACCAAGUUACUCCAUUUUCCUCUCACUUUUUCAACCGAUGGGGUGUCUUGGCAAAUAAAGCAAGGACAGACCGAGUUGACGCGCUCCCUAACUCCAUUUUCCUGGCCCGCGCAAUUCACGCAUACACAAACACAUCCGAACAAUAUUCAUAAAAUUAAUUAACAUCCCGUAAAAAUAUACUUUAAUUUAGAAAAGAUUUUAAAAUGUUAUUUUUUUAAUUUAAUAAUAACAAAGUUUUAUAUUAAAUUGUUUCAACUAAGUUAACAGGUUAGAUUUAUAAUUCGGGUUAUGAAAUUAUAAUACCUAGUUCCCAAAUAAACAAAUAUGGUGAAGUUUUUCCAAUCAAACCCCCUUUUUUUUUAGAUGUAAUUUCUAGAAAAAUAAAUCAAAGAUAAACAGACUAAAAUUUCAAAAUAAAAGAGAAAGAUGGAAUAUCCCACCAAUAUUUAACCCACUUAAAUUGAGCAUAUAAAAGAGUGUUAAAUGAAAAGUUAAAAAUUAAAAAAUAUUAUUUUGACUCUUUCAACUUUAUUUUAUACACCUCAAAAAAAUAUUAAAUAAAAUGUCAAAAUAUCUUUUCUUUCUUAUAAAUACUAUUUCUACAUGUCUAUUAAAAAAACCAAUACUAAAAAAGUGGAGCCAUCAAAAAAAUAAAUCAAUUAAAUAUAAUCAUUAAAAAAAAUAACAUCAAACUCAUUAAAAAAAAUAAAACACUUAUUUCUCUCACUCCAAUACAAUUAGCUUUUCAAAUAGUUUUUUCCAUUAAAAUAUAUAUAAUAAAAAAAAUUAUAUUUAUAUUAUUCAAAAUACUAUUUUAUCAAUUUAGCUAUUCAAAACAUUGUUAUUAAACCCAGACCGGCCCGACAAAUCGACCGGGUGGCUAGACCGGUUCGGGUUUGUCAAAAGACCGGUCAGUGCAACAACCCGGCAAAACUCAGUUGACCCGAUGAGUUGACCCAUGACCUGGGCGAACCCGGACGAGACCAGUUUUUGUUUUUUAAAUGUGGUUUUUCUCCUAUACCCUUCUUUUUUCAUUUUUUUUUUAGUUGGUUAUUAACACUUUUUAAAGUUUACUAUAUAAAUAUUAUAAAAAUAUUUUAUUUUUUCAAUGUAGGAUUUGAAACCCUUUAGUAUAUAUACUAUAUUUUUUCAAGAAAAAAAUUAUUUUUUCAAUGUGAGAUUUGAAACCUUUUGUAGAUAUAUUUUAUGUUCACAAGAAAAAAAUUAUUUUUUUUCAAAGUGUGAUUUGAAACCUUUCAGUUUAUAUACUGUAUGUUUCAAAGAAAAAAAUUAUUUUUUCAAGAUGAGAUUUGAAAUCCUUUAGUAUAUAUACUAUGUGUUUUUAGAUUAUUUAGAUGUGCUGAUAUCAAAAAUAAUUCUUAAAAAAUAAAAAAAUAUUAUUCAACCAACUUGGGUUAACCCAUUAAGCAUUAUUCUCGUAUCAUGGUUCAGAAUAACCUAAUAGAAAAUAAAUAAAACAAAUCAUGAAGUGUGAACCCCGGUUGAAAAUUAGGCAGAAAAGUAAUCUAAAUGUUUAUACAAUAAAUUUAACAGAAGUACCAAAUAAGCAUUAGAACAAACCAAAUACAGACAAAAGAAAAUAUAUACGUAAAUAUGAAUAAAAUAUUGUUGGGAGUGAGUUACCUGGAAAUAAAAUUAUCAAUAUGUAACUAAAUAAAAUUCAAAUUCACCCAGGUAAAAUUUUUAUAUAGACAAAUGCCGGGAAUUAGGAAUUUUAUCCCGGGAACAUGAAAUUUAAUAUUUGGGAUAUAAAGGGAAUUUGGUAAAAUUUAAGAGUGCGUGUGCGCGCACUCUCGGGUAAAAAGAAAAAUGGAGAGAAAAAAAGGAGAGGGGAAACUACCAUUUACAUGUGAGAGAGAUAGAAUUGUAACAAAAACAUAAAAUCUUAAAGGAAGAUCUUGAGGGAACAUUACCCAAGCCUAGUGAGCAUUAAUUGGAAGGAAUAAAAAUCAAGUGAAGGUGAGUAUAAAAGGAGAGAGGAAGUUCAACCAAGAUUAAAGAAGAGGAGUUGAAAGCUUGAUUUAGGAAGUGUUUAGAGUUUAAUUACUUGCUUGGUAAUGCAUUCUAAGGACUUUUGAUCUGAAUUUUAAUGGCUUAAAGUUCUUAAUUGAUUGAAUUUUUAAAAUUAAAAAGUUAGGGUUCUUGAAUAAAUUAAAAGGAAAUAAAAAUUUAUUGUAAUUUGUCAUGGGGAAUAAUGUGAAAAUUAGAGUAAAGUGAUUAAAUUAUUGUAAUUGAAGUAAAGAUUUUGAUAAUUAAAUAGAGCUAGUGGCCAACCAAAUGACGAGAGAUUUUAUGGGAUUUAAUUGUUAAUAAAUGUUGUGAAUUGAUGAAUAAUGUAGUAAGUAGAACUGUUUUUUGAAUAUCUCUUUAUAACUUUUUAAAUUUCAUGGAACAUUUGUGUUGAUUAUUGAGAUGGUGUUAAAUAUUACUAUCAUGAAAAUCAAAAAAGGAAUUGAUGUCUAGAUGAGGAAUAUCAUUGAAUUGUUGGUUCUUAUUAGAUUUUGGUAUGUAAUGGAGUCAUGAGACGUUAAAAAUUCUUGAGAAAUGUUAAAUUAAUAGCUAAAAUUCAUAGAAUGGUAUAUUUUUUAGAAAUAUAGUUAACUAUGAAAUUUAUUUGAUAAAAGAAAAGCAGGAACUUAUGGUAUAUUUCCUUGACAGUGAGUACCCGAUUAAACAAUAUCUAUAUUCAAUUAAAACUUAUGGUAUAUUUCCUUGACAGCGAAACAAAGAAAAGUAGGAACCCUGUAAUAUCUAGGUAAUUUCUAUACCCUUUUAGGUUAUGUUUGUUUUUGAGAAUUCACUUUCUGGAAAAUCACUUUUCACAUUUUUCUGUAUUUAUUUGCCAUUAGAAAAGUUGGUUAACGGAAAACACUUUCCACUCAAAGAAAAAUUUGGCUUGGUUUUUAGAAAAGUGUUUUCCUAAAAAAUUUGGGCGGAAAACACUUUUCGGAAGUUGUGAAAAAUUAGAAAUGUCAUAUUAUUUGCUGUUUAUAUCAAAGUUGAUCCUCAAACUUUUAAUUGCUAUAUAUAUUUUGUUUUGGAUAUUUAUUUUUCAAUUUCAUCUCUUAAAAUUUAAUUUUUAUAUUAAUUUUGGUCCUCAUUUUUAUAAUUGUUAUUUGCUUUUCCCUUAUCAUUUUUUUAUUGAAUUUUUUUAUAUAUCAAAUUUGGUGCUCAUUCUUUUGAUUGUUACUUAUUUUAUUUGAAAUAAUUUAUGAAAUGUUAAUUAUUAUUAUUUUAAUUUCUUCAUCUUUUAUUUUUUUUAUUUUUUAGAUUUGAUCUCUAUUAUUUUGAUUAUUAUUUAUUUUAUUUGAGAUAAUUUAUGAAAUUAUAUUUUUUUUCAAUUUCAUUCUCAUUCAACUUUUUAAUUUGUAAGAUUUGUUCCUCAUUAUUUUAAUAAACUUGAGAAAAAUAAAAUAUUAAUAAGUUAUUUUUCAGUUCAUUUUCCAUGACAUAACCAAACACCGAAAAAUGUUUUCCAACUUAUUUUCCAUUACACUGUCAAAUAUAAAAAAAUAAUUCACUUUUCUGAAAUUUAUUUUUCUAAAAUUUAUAUUUUUUAAAAAAUUAUUUUUCAAUAAACAAACAGUUCUUAAUAACUACUACAAGCUGAGGCUGUAAUGAGCUCAUGACAGAGGGAGAUCUGAAAGCGUAAUUUCAGAAGACCAUGACACAAAUCAACGGCUGAAAUCCAAUCACUCAUGGGAUGGUGACAUGUCGCAUGAGUGGAGACAGCUGGACUUCAAUACGAAAAGAAACAUAGCGUUUUCAUUGUUUAAUUUGUUUUUUUGGAGUAUCUUUGUUCUCAUGAUAGUUCUUGUGGUGAUGGAGACUUAAAAAAGAUAGUUUAUAAAAAUUAUUUUCACUCGUGAUUUGUUUGUUUAAAUAAAUGUUUAACUAAAAUUAUGAUUAAAAAUGUUUAACUAAAAUUAUGAUUAAAAUGGAUGUUUUAACUUAAAUUACCACAAAAGAUACUGGUGAAGGUGGAGAGGAUGUGAGAGACGAUUGGGUAUCUUAAACAUCAACUGUUGUUGGUGGACUAAAAGCCAUCCGCUUGAUUAAUGGUAAACACUUCAGGCUCCUUUCCCGCCCUUUUCCUGGCUGGAUCCUUGAUAUCUUCAAGGGGUGCCAGCGCCUUGUUCGAGGAUUGAGCAUAAAAGACUAAAAAGAGUUAAAUAAAUACUAAAAGACAUAAAGUGAAGUUUUUUAUAAUAUUCAUAGCAAUGGUCAUCACCUCAUUUAUAAUUUAUCAAUUAAUGAAAAGUGAUAAAAGAAGAAGAGAGAAGAAAUAAAGUGAAGUCUUCUUCCGCAUUAUUAGCACAUCACGUGAAAAGAAAGAUUGGCAUAUGAUAAAAGUUAAUCCAAUCAAACCCACUUUUUCGACGAUGGGAUCUCUUGGCAAAUAAAGCAAAGGACAAACCGAGUAAAAUGUGGGACAUAACUCCAUUUUCCUGGCACACGCAACUCACGCGUACACUAACACUAAUUUGCGAUAUUUUUUUACUUGGGAGUUUACAGGCAAAUAAGGGCUUCUUCUGCAUCAUCACAUCAUUUAAUGAAGUUUUCCAGUCAAACCCACUUUUUUCAAAGAUGGAAUUUCUAGUAAAAUGGAGUCCAGAGCAUAACAAGUGCGGAGAGAGAGAAGGCUUUUGCGAGUUCUGUUUUCUGUAUAUUUCUCAAGGGGAUAAAAUAAUGUCUUGUUACAGAUUUGUUUUUGGUAGAAUUGUUAGAGAUCUUAGCCGAUGCAUCUGAAUUAUAAUUUUUAGCAAUUAUACUAUUUUAUAGCCCUAAUAUCUUAAAAAAAACUUAUUUUCUAGCUUUUUUUUAUGGUAUGAUCAAACAUUGCAUGCUUACUCUCUGGUCUAUAUGACCAUUAACAACAAUCACUCGAAACCCACAGUCAUUGCCAUACAUAUUUAACUUGAUGUUUGAGAAUGUGAUAAUGAUUGUUUUUUAAAGUGUUUUUUAUUUUAAAAUAUAUUAAAAUAAUAUUUUUUAUUUUUUAAAAAAUUAUUUUUGACAUCAACACAUUAAAAUAAUAUGAAAACAUCAAAAAUAUAUUAAUUUAAAAUGAAAAAAAUAAAAAAAAUUUAAAUUUUAGUCAAAAAUAUAUUAGUCAAUAUCUGAAUGCAUGAUUAAUUAUGCACUUUGUAACCAUAAAUCUUCCUUUAAUCAUUCCAAAUAAGAAAAAAAAUAGAAAAGAUUUUCUCUAAUCUGUAUGGUGAGUCCCAAUUAUCACUGGCUUCCAAUUUCCAUCCCGUGCUUUCUAGCUGGAUUGGGUGUUUUUUCUCUUCUUUUCUCUUUGUUGGAAUACAAUAAUGCAUCACAACGGUUAAUUCCUUAUCGGUUCGUGUUGCAGUAAUUAUGAACGAUGAGUCCAUUUGACCUUAAAAGUAAAAGUAUCUGCUGUUCAUAACGACUCACUUAAGUUUGCAAUUGAGCUAAUUGUUCUAUAAUUACUGUAGCUAUGAAAGGUGAAGCACAAUUUCAUCCAAAACAAAACUCGUUAUUUUCAAAAAGAAAAAUUACCCCAAUUUUUUUCUUAUAUUUUAGUAUUUCUUAUAUUUAAAGGCAGUAUAGUUGUAAUAUUUUCAAGUAAUCGAAACAACCACCUAUAUAUCAAUUAUAUGAUAUACUGACUUGACUUUCCAAGUGUUUUGACUUUUGAGUACUAGAAGAAGAAAAUAUACUUCUCUCUAAAAAAUAAGGAAAUUUCGGAUGUAUUUUCUUUUAACUGGCGAAAAAACAGGAAGACGAAGAAAGGAAUAUCAUAUUUCUUGUAGGAGUAUGGUUAGCACGAGCUAUAAGAGUUGUACACGAGAGAAAAGAAAAUGGAAGGCCUAUCGACUCUCUUUUUUUCUAUGUUCACAGGUAGUACGGAUCGCUUACCAUGAACAUCAAACCUAUCGUUCAUAAACUGUGCCUAGACUUCUUUAAUCAUUUACAUAUAUAAAUUUGGUUAAUCAAGCUGGAGAAGAUCGUGUCAAGAACCAUGCUGUAUUGUUUGAUAAUGCAGGGAAUAUAAUUUUACAAGAAUAUUUUUCAAUUAAUAAAAUAUUUCUUAAAGAAAUUUUCAAUAAUCUUGUUAAAUUCCAACAAUGAGUACCCGAUUAAAUAAUAUCUACAUUCAAUUAAAACUUAUGGUAUAAUUAUCUGACAGCGAAAUAAAGAAAAGUAGGAACCUUGCAUUUGAGAAAUUUCUAUUAGGCCUCCAAUCCAAGACUGUAACGAGCCCUGGAUCUACACAGAAGAAAUUUCGUGGGAAAUGGGUUGAUGUCAGAGGGAGACAAGGAAGCGUCUUUCAGAAGAACAUGACACAAAUCAACGGCUGAAAUCCAAUCACUUAAGGGAUGGUGACACGUUACCAUGAGUAAAGAUGGAGACACUCACGUUUGGGAACGCUGCUACGGCUGCGUUCUCAAAAAAUUUGAUUUUUUUUUUUUUACUAAAAUUUAAUAUGAUUUGUAUCGUUUUGAUGUGAUGAUAUCAAAAAUGAUUUUUAAAAAAUGAAAAAAUAUCAUUAACAUUCAUUUUGACACGAAAAGUAAUUUAAAAAACAUCCACAACUACACUGACAAACAUGACAAGGGAGACAGCUGGUCUCUGGUACGAAGAGAAACAGCAGCGUUUUCAUCGUUUAAAAUGGAGUGUUUGUUUUUCUGAGUGUCUUUGUCCUCGUGAUAGCUCGUGGUGGUGGAUGUUUAAAGAUGAUUGCGUAUCUUAAUAAUUGCAAAAACAAUUGAUUUUUUUUUUUUUUUUGAUGAUUGACACACAAAACCCUAUUUUCAUAGUUAUGUUAAUUGAAGGAUAAUAAAUGGUAGAAUGACAAAUUGCCAGGUGGAAAGUUAUACCUCAUCACAACAAAUACUUUCCAGCAAAUUGAUUAAUGGCUGUUACAACUAAUUACAACGAAUACUCUUCAUUUCUUCUCUAUAGUUAUGUUAAUGGUAAAAAAAAAGUUGGAAAUUAUAAUUUUGAAAAAUAAAUUAAAAGAUAAGUGAUGAUCAAAUUAGAACUUGAUAUUUGAUAUAAAAUAUAAUUUUUUUUAAUUAAAUCCUAACAACAAAUCACAAAUCAGUUUCAAAUUAGUGAAUGUUGCCGAAGAGAAUGGCAAAAAAGAAGAAAAUUAUAUUUUAAGAAAGUCAUGGAGCCGUAUAUUUUUAUUAUAAAAGAAUCAAUAGAGAAAAGAAAAAACAUUAGAAUUGAUUGUUAUAUUUCUUGAAACAAAUAAAAAGAAACAAAAAACAAAAUAUAAAUCAUGGAUGAAUUAAAUCCUCUUGAAGACCUGCUUCAAAGUAAGAAAGAGGUAAAUACUAUUGGAAUUUAAUUGAUAUACGUUUCUUGCAUGUUGUUUCAAGUUGCAUAAAUACAAGCAAAAUACAUUUAUACAUAUUAUAUUACAAUUGAUAUAUUUUUUUGGUGCAGAACUGAUAUUAUCUUUUGAAAUUAAAUCCGGUUCAAGGAUGGAGCAUAAAAAAAUUUGAAUUAUUGAGUCAUUUAAUUAAUCAGCAAGGAUUAGGGGAUGAUAAAAAAACCAAAACACCGAUUAAACUGAGAAAACUGGAAAAAAAAUAAUUCAAAAAACUAAACCUUAAAAAACCCCGAUUAGAAUAUUUAAAAAACUGGUCAGUUUGGUUUAGUUUUGGUUUUAUAAGCCUGAAACUGAAAAACAAAACCGAACCAAAAUUAAUAACCGAGCCAAACCCGAAAAACCAAGCUAAACAGAAAAAACGAGCCAAACAGCAAAAAAACCGAGCCAAUCGGUUAGGUUUUGGUUUUUGCUCUAAAAUAACCAAACUGAAUCGAAACCGGUCGGUUUGAACCGAUUUUGAUUUUUUUGUUUGUUUUGAUUUUUAAAUUUGGUUUGGUUAUUUUUUUAAAGAAAAACCAAACUGAAUAAAAAAUAAUCAUCUCUAGUAGGGAUCACCGAUGAAUUAUUUUAUUAAAAUAAUUUUUUUUGAAAAAUAUUUGAUAUUAUUUUAACUAAAUUUGUAUCAAGUUUUAUUAAAUAAAAUAAAUUAUUAAAAAACCAAUCGAGAUAAUAAAAUUUUAUCAUAUCAACAUUUUUUCUAAUUCAAUUUUAAAAUUGUCUAUGUCAAGAUCUGGAGGAUGUGCUUUCUACAUCAAAUCAGUAUGCAGGAUGGAGUUUCAAAACUAUAUUAUAUAUAAAAAAAGAUUUUGAAAUAAAAUGAUCCAUUUAUAUAUAUAAAAACAAAAACCUCGAGGUCUAGGGUCCACCGGUGGAGGCAUGAAUGGCGGUCUUCUUCUGCAUUAUUAGCACAUGUGAAAAGAAAGAUUAUAUUUUCCUGGGCAUAUAAUAAAGUUAUUCCAAUCAAACCCUCUUUUUCAACCGAUGGGGUCUCUUGGCAAAUAAAGCAAGGACAGACUGAGAAAGAUAUCCAGAACAAUAUUCAUAACAAUAUUUAUAAAAUAAUAUAUAUAAUCUUUCUCAACCGAUCGGCAACUCACGCAUACAUAAACAUAUCCAGAACAAUAUUCAUAAAAUUAAUUAAUAUCCCAUAAAAAUAUAAUUUAAUUAAAAAAAAAAAUUAAAAUGAUACUUUUAAUAUAAAAAUAACAAAGUAUUAGAUUAAAAUGACUUGUUAUCAAGUAAUCAAAUAUUAACAUGAUCAUAAGAUUGAGAUAACUUCAUAUAAAAUAAAAUAAAAAUAAAUUAUAAAGUUCAAUUUAUAAUUAAUUUAAUAUUAAAGGAUGAGAUUAAAAAAAUUAAUUUAAAAAAAACAUAAAAAUAAUCCAAGUCAAUCUGUUAAACCCAUAAUUCGUCAUGAAACAAAUAUAACCUCAUAGAAAAAAAUAAAAAAAUAACUUGAUUUAAUUCGCUAAAUCCGCAAUUCUGAUAACGAGAACGAGAAAAUCUCAUAAAGAGCAAGUCAAAAUAUAUUAUAAAGUUUAAUUCUCAGUCGAUCAAAUAUUGAAUGAUAAAGAUGGAAAAAAAUUCAAUUAUAAAAACACAAAAAAACAACCUGAAUUAACUCAGGUUAACCCAUUAAGUAUUAUUCUCAGGUCAUGUGGUCAGAAUAACCUAAUAGAAAAUAAACAAAAUAAAAUUUAUAACUUAAUUUUCAAUUAACCUAAUAUUAAAAGAUGAAAUUAUAAAAAAAAAAUUAAAAAAAUCAAGCCAACUAAAUUAACCUAUCAAAACUAUAAUAAUAAUUAUUAUAAAAGUGAGAUAACAUACAAAAGACAAAUUUAAUAAUAAAAAAAAACACAUUGAUUAAAAGAAAAGGCAAAGCACUUAUUCAAAUAACUGUAUAAAAUAUAGUAAUAUAAUGUAUAAUGUAUAAUUUAUUUUUUUAAUUUAUAACUGAAAGUGAGAAAAGGAAGAAGAGAAAAGAAAUAAAGUGAAGUCUUGUGCUGCAAGAUCACCUCACCUGAAAAGUUUGGCAUUUAGUGAAGUUUUUCCAAAUCAAACCCACUUUUUCAAAGAUGGAAUUUCCAAGUAAAUAAAUCGAAGACAAACCUAGUAAAAUGGAGUCUAGAGCAUAACAAGUAGUUACAAAGCCGAGAAAGAAAAAGCUUUUGCGAGUUCUUUACACAAACUCUUACUUCUUAUGUAACCUGAACAAAAAUCCCUCUUCUUCUUCUUCUUCUUCUUCUUCUUUGUUUACUCUUCCUUCGUUACUUUGCAAAGAGGAUAAACCAUGGCUGAGGCUUUAGUAGGAGGAGCUUUUCUUUCUGCUUUCCUUAAUGUUUUGCUUGACAGGAUGGCUUCUCGCCAGGUGGUGAACUUCUUCAGUGGCCAAAAAAUCAACAAUAGCCUGCUGGAGAGGUUGGAGACAGCAAUGAGAUCUGCCAGUCGGGUGCUUGACGAUGCCGAGGAGAAGCAGAUAACAAGUACAGAUGUGUGGGAUUGGCUGGCCGAGAUUAAAGACGCUGUCUAUAAAGCCGACGACUUCUUGGAUGCGAUUGCUUAUAAAGCUCUACGACAGGAGUUGAAAGCUGAAGAUCAAACCUUCACAUGUCAUAUGCAGAGAUUUCUUUCUUUCUUUAACCUAUGUAAAAAUGGGCUGGGAGAGAUCGAAGAAGAAUUAAAAGUCCUCUUGCAGGAUCUAGAUCGCUUAGUUGAUCGAACGGUUGCCCUUGGUUUGAUCACCCGCACUGGAAAAGAACCAUCAUCGCCUAAAACACCCGGAGAAACUUCUCUGGUGGAUGAACGUGGUGUUUAUGGUAGAGAUAAUGACGAGAAAGCAAUACUGAAGUUACUUCUAUCAGACGAUGCAAAUGGACAAAGCCUAGGUGUUGUUCGCAUAGUGGGCAUGGGCGGGGUUGGUAAAACCACGCUUGCUCAGAUUGUAUACAAUAACAGCGAAGUACAGAGGUGCUUCAAUCUCAAAGCUUGGGUUUGUGUUUCAGAAGAUUUCAGUGUUUCAAAGCUAACCAAGGUUAUCCUUGAGGAGGUCGGUUCAAAGCCUGAUUUUGAGAGUCUGAAUCUGCUCCAGAUUCAGUUGAAGGAGAGGUUGCUGGAAAAGAAAUUUUUGCUUGUUUUAGAUGAUGUAUGGGAAGAAAAUUAUGCUAAAUGGGUCAGUUUGCUUGAACCCUUGAAGUCUGGAGCACAAGGGAGUAAGAUUCUUGUUACAACACGCCAUGAAAGGGUAGCAUCAGUCAUGCCAACUGUUCCAACUCAUCAUCUAAAAGAAUUGACGGAAGACUUCUGUUGGUCCUUGUUUGCCAAACAUGCAUUCGGUGAUGAAAAUUCCAUUGCGGAUGAAGAGUUGCAAAAAAUUGGUAGAGCAAUAGCGAAAAAGUGUAAAGGCCUGCCUCUAGCUGCAAAAUCACUCGGAGGUCUGCUAUGCAACGAAAGAGAUGUCGAGGAGUGGCGGGAUAUUUUGGAAAGCAAUCUAUGGGAUUUACCCAAAGACAAUAUCCUCCCAGCUUUGAGAUUAAGUUAUCAUCAUCUCCCGUCGCAUCUGAAGCAAUGUUUUGCUUAUUGUGCCAUAUUUCCAAAAGACUAUUCAUUUGGAAAGGAUGAAUUAGUGCUCCUUUGGAUGGCAGAGGGCUUCUUGGUCCACUCUGCAGUAGAGAUGGAAAAAGCAGGAGCUAAGUGCUUUGAUGAUCUCUUGUCAAGGUCGUUUUUCCAGCAAUCAAGUGCCUCUCGCCCCUCAUUUCUGAUGCACGAUCUCAUGCAUGACUUGGCUACCCAUGUGUCCGGUCAAUUUUGCUUCAGCUCCAGGUUGGGGGAAAAUAAUUCUUCCAAGGCCACCAGAAGGACUCGACAUUUAUCACUCGUAGUAGAUACGGAAGACGGAGAUACUGAAGGUGUUUUUUCAAGCACAAAAUUAGAAAACAUCCGUAAAGCCCAACAUCUACGCACAUUCCGAACUUUUCCACACAAUCGGAUGUGUCCUCCUGAAUUUUAUAAGGAGAUCUUUCGGUCAACACAUUGUCGCCUACGAGUGCUAUUCAUGACUAAUUGUCAAGAUGCAUCUAUGUUGUCAUGUUCAACUAGCAAGUUGAAGCAUUUGCGGUAUUUGGAUCUUUCCGGGUCAGAUUUAGUAACGUUGCCUGAAGAAGUGAGUGCUCUUCUCAAUUUGCAAACGUUGAUCUUGGAAAGUUGCCACCUACUUGCUAGUCUACCUGAUCUUGGAAAUUUGAAGCAUUUACGACAUCUGAAUCUUCAACGUACAAGAAUCGAAAGGUUGCCUGCAUCUCUGGAAAGGUUAAUCAACUUGCGGUAUCUUAACAUCUCAGACCACACCUUUGAAGGAGAUGCCACCACAUAUAGGUCAACUGACAAAGCUCCAAACGUUAACUGCCUUUAUCGUUGGAAGACAGAGUGAGUCUAGCUUUAAAGAAUUGGGAAAGCUAAGACAUCUACGGGGAGAACUUCAUAUUCGGAACCUUCAAAAUGUGGUGGAUGCUCGGGAUGCUGUUGGAGCAAAUUUGAAAGGUAGAAAACACCUUGUAAGCUUGAGGUUUACAUGGGAUGGUGACACUCAUGACCCGCAACACGUAACAAGCACACUUGAGAAAUUAGAGCCAAAUAGAAAUGUGAAGGAUCUUCAGAUUGAUGGUUAUGGAGGUUUAAGGUUUCCGGAGUGGGUAGGAGAGUCCUCUUUCUCAAAUAUAGUGUCCUUGAAGCUCAGUAGAUGUAAAAACUGCACCUCCUUACCACCGCUCGGGCAAUUAACUUCUUUAAAGGAUCUCACAAUUGAAGCAUUCGAUAAAGUUGAGACUGUGGACUCUGAGUUCUAUGGGAAUUGUACUGCUAUGAAGAAGCCAUUUGAAUCCCUCAAAACAUUACGGUUUGAAGGGAUGCCAGAAUGGCGCGAGUGGAUUUCAGACGAAGGCAGCCGGGAAGCCUUCCCUCUUCUUGAGUUUCUUUCAAUCAAAGAAUGCCCCAACCUUACAAAGGCCCUACCUGGUCACAACCUUCCACGUGUAACAAGACUUAAAAUUAAAGGAUGUGAGCAGCUCGCGACUCCACUUCCUAGGAUUCCUAGGCUGCACUCUCUCUCUGUUUCUGGAUUCCACUCCCUAGCGUCCCUACCCGAGGAAAUUGAGCAAAUGGGUUGGUCACCCUCUGAUUUAGGAAAAAUUAAUAUCAAGGGCUGGGCUUCUCUCAAAUGCAUCUCACUGGACUUGUUCCCCAAGCUAACUACUCUUUCUAUCUCUGACUGUCCAGAUCUCGAAUCACUAUGUGCACAUGAAAGACCCCUCAAUGAUCUCACCUCUCUCCAUUCUUUGGAAAUCGAGCAGUGCCCUAAAUUAGUUUCAUUUCCCAAAGGAGGGUUACCUGCUCCAGUCUUAACAGAACUUACGUUACGACAUUGCAGAAAUUUGAAGCAGUUGCCUGAGAGGAUGCCUUCCCUCCUUCCAU